GUGAAAAUCUGGAAACUUGCGACCCGAGCCGUUGGAUCUUUAAUUGAUAGCACAGAUGAGAGGUGGGUUUGCUAACCAGCCACUUAUGGCUAUCUUUCAUAUAACCCCCUGUCCUACACACGAAGUCUUAGAUCUCACCUUAUCCAUUGUCGCCUCCCCACGCCCCACUGCGAGGACCAUGGCGCUGCUGCCGUCCACCACCGCGACGGCCGACGACGGGGCCUCCCCUACCGCUACGACCUACAGCAGAGCCAAGACGUUCCCCACCGCGACGACAGACGACGGAUCCAUCUCUCGCUGCGACGACCUACUACGCAGCUGUCCCCCAUGACGGCGCCGCCGGGCGGAUGCUACGGAGGUAUCCGGCGAUAGCCGGCGGGGCUACCAACGGCGCUGAUGUAGGCGUCCACCUCGCCGAAGAUCUCCUGUGCGAGGAAGGCUCCCGCAAGGCACGCUGCCGACGGGGCAGGCGGUGGAAUGUGAUGUUGGUCGUUUGAAGCUUGAUUCUACAGUGCCUCCUUACAGCAGAUUUGUUGUGCGUGCUUGUCAUGUAGAGAUGAAAUUUCUGAAUGCAAUUUUGAUCUUGUGAGGUGUUAUCACUCAACGUGAAAGCAUUGUUGAUUCUCUUUAUUUAGACUGAACGGUGCUCCAACGAUGUAAUCUGAGAAUUUGUAAAGACAAAUUUUUCUGAAUACAAGCAAGUGUAUGUCGGAUGAAAGUUUACACAUAAUUCAGUCCAAGGGUGUAUCUUGGGCGAGCAGGAGUCAUAGCAGUGUGCAGCUUAGUCGCGGACAGCACGGCAGCUAAUCUGAUAAAAUGUGAACUGAUAUACAGAAUUUGUCUGAAUGCCAUAUUGAUGUACAGAAUUUUGUGAUGUAAUCUGAUUGAGUGUGAACUGAUAUAGUCGGUCUAUGUAAUCUGUCCAUGGAUGUUGCUGUCAAAUGUUAUCACUGACUAUCCAUAUGAACUUUGAGUGCUGUUUAUACUUAACUAAUGGAGUGAAUCAGUUCAUUUUGCCAAUAAUUUUUUACAAGAGCUCUUAUGGACAGAAGUUCAUCUUGCCAAUACUUUUGACAAGAAGCAUGAAUUUUCAUGCAAUUGGCAGAAAUUAAACAAAAGGACAAAAACAAAUGAGACGGCAAGAUAUCAUGCCACCUGACUACAACUAGUUACUACUCCCUCUGUUCCCAAAUAUUUGUCUUUCUAGACAUUUCAAAUGCUUACAACAUACGGAUGUAUGUAGACAUAUUUUAGAGUGUAGGUUCACUCAUUUUGCUUCGUAUGUAGUCACUUGUUGAAAUCUCUAGAAAGACAAAUAUUUAGGAACGGAGGGAGUAUCAUGCAGCAGACAACAAACUUAGUCGAGUAUCCGAAGCAAUUAAUUGGAGGCAACAUAAUAGUAGUACAAUCAGUACUAAAUAUUUUAAGUUUCAUCACCAAUAGUAACAUCCAGAAUCGAUAUGCUAAGUACGGCCAGAAUCGAUAUGAUAGGUACGGCAUUGACUUAAUUAACUACAAGGUUGAGGCUACAUAACUAGAUGAUUCUCAGAAGUACAAAAUUCAGAGAAGAAAAUAUUGAGGCUUCGACUUCAAUCUUGUACCGCCCAAAAUAAAAACAUGUGGUUGCCUCGAAUCGAAAUAAAGGAACCUGCAGAUAAACAUAAAAAAAACAGUCAGAAUGAACAUACAAAUUAUGAAAUAAUAUAGCUAUUUUGUGUGUAUGAUAACUACCUUUAUUAUUGUUGAUUCUUUUGGGGGCAACUACGACUGUCAUGGAAGCCAACCUGGUUACAUGUCCUGCAGGUGCGAGGCUUUUUCGGUCCUCCCACAUUUUUCUUCCCCUCUCCAUUCUUAUUUCUCUUCCCUUCUCCAUCCCCUUUUUAAUUUGGGAACUCAUCCCAUAUUUUUUGUUUUUGGAAUUUACCCUACUGCUCUCAAGUAGGAUUUACAAGUCCAGUUUACAUAUUCUACUGCCGGCAACUGAUGUACAUGCUACAGUACACCGACGAAGAUGCAAACAAGAAAGACCAAACCAGAUACUUCAAAAGUACAACUGAAGAAAGACAACUGUGACAUUCAGGUUAACAUGAUUCAGGUAGUGCUUGUUCUACCAUCAGGUGGAGGGAUAUGAGGAUGUUGUGGCAAUAAGACCGACCCCAUAUUAGUACAAUCAGUAACCGAAGCAGCUGUUGCUUACCUGUGCAGGGCUAAGACGAGGUUGAGGCAUGGCACAGUACGAGGAGGAGCGAGGUCCUGGAGAGGCGGCACCGAUGCGUCGACAGGGAACAUGGCCGGCGGAGGGAGAUAGUUCACGGCCAGCGGAGGGCCCCUCGUGGCCGGCGGAGGACGCAUCGUGGCUGGCGUGGGGCUCUUCGUGGCCGGCGGAGGGAGUAGUUCACGGUCGACGGAGGGCCCGUCGUGGCCGGCGUAGGGCAAGUCUCCAUUUUGCCGACGAGAUUGAAAGACGAAUCGAUCGUAGUCGAAACGUAAGGACCUGGUGCGUAAAUGAAAGGGUUAUUUGCUAAUUAGUGUUUAAGUGGCUGGUGGGAUACGACCUAAGAUCUAUGCCGCUCUUUAUUGAUCUGAUGACUCACGAGGUGAGUUUCCAGAUUUUCACUGAAUCAGCGUUUUCACUUGAUACUUCGCCAUCAUACAUAUCUGAUAUAGAUAAUUAAUACACACACACACAACCAGCAUCUAGAGACUGGCCUCUGAAAUGUGCAGAGUACUUCCCCGCCGCUCAUUAACAAGCUUUAGAAUUAUUGGUACAUGCUUUAAUGAAGGAAAUAGCCUAAAGCAAAUUGUAAGGUAUCUACGGCAAAAACGAAGCUGUACAUGACUUACAAUAUCCAUCGAUGCAAAAUGGUUGCUAGAACUGAAGCCUGAAGUACAAAAUGCAGAUAAGUUACAUGAUAGAAAUGCAUAAACUUGGACCCUGGACCACUAACUGUCUACCAAGCUAAUUUGCCAUAUAUCAUCCAUGGGUGGAUGGAUCUGAAACAGAACAUGGCACAGCUCAAAGCAGAGGAGAGGAGGGCAGAGGUAGGGGUGGGGCCUGAGAAGAAGUCACCGGGGAAGGAGGGAGGCUCCAUGGGGCCUCUGCGUCGUGGGGAGAAGGAGCUCCAUCUCCAUGGCAGCGGCCUGCCCCACGGAUGUGCGCCACUCCUGUCGUCGUCACUGUCUGCGCCAUGGCGACCUGCAGAAAAAAGAAGACAAGAUGAGGUGAGGAGGAGAGGGUGGGCAAAGAAGGAGGGGAGAGACCAACCUGUGCCGGAUCCGGCCACCUCUCACCUCGCUGUUGCUGGUUGCGGCGGAUCCCGGCGAUUUUUGGGCGCAGCAGAGAGGGAGAGGAGGGGGAUUUUCUCCGAGCGGUGCGAGAUAGACGGAUGGGUCCACUAGUUUACACGCUGAAGAAAUAGCAGUAGCGCGUUUUGCACAUCAGACCCUACAGCUAUGUCUUUAGCAGUAGCGCUGGGCACGCUGCUACUAUGUAUUAAUCUAGGGGUGUGGUGUGGCACAUUUACUAGUAGCGCUGCCAAAAAACCCACGCUGCUGCUAAGUAAUAUUAGCAAGGUAUUUACCCAUAGCGUGGGGUCCUGAACAGCCGCUACUGGUAAACUUCUACGUAUAAGCAUUUUCCUAGUAGUGGGUGACCCAAAUCUCGUUUUUCUUUUCUCAUUCGGGCUUGUCAAUUUGUAAAACUCUCUUAAUUAAUGAAUGCGGCAAAAAAAUCCAUUUGAAAUAGUUUAGGUGAUGGUGAACACAUAGAAGGUGACUGUAUCAUGUCUCGUCACAUUGGCAACGUCCCUUUUUCUGAAGAAAAAGAUAUUCCCUCCGUCCGAAAAUACUUAUUCUAAAAAUAGUUGUAUCUAGACUUGUUUUAGUUAUAGAUACAUCAAUUUUAUCUAUUUCUAGGACAAGUAUUUCUGAAUGGAGGGAGUAUUUGUUUCAGUCAAAGAAAAAUGCACGUAUCCAUAUAGAGUCUAUGUAGAAUUGCAUGCAUCGGGCAGUUCAUCCAAAAUCUCAAGCUGAUGGGGAAAGAUGGGCAAUACAUUUAUACUUCAACAGUCUAAAAUUUUGGUCAGCGUGGGUGGCGAUUUAAGGUAAUUUUAUAUCAGGAGAUUUGAAUUUUGUUAGUUCCACACCUUUAGACUUGUCAAUAUGUAAGAAUUUGGGUCCCCGCAUGUGCAAAGCUUAAUAAUAUUAUUCUGGGAGAUUUAGCUUAUGUUAUUUCCACCUUCAGGCUCGUCAAUUUGUUAAACUUUUAAUUAAUGAAUGUGGCAAAAGAAAUGCCUUCUAAUUUUUUCCCUAUUUUAAAGAUUUCUUCACAAUUCUGAUUUCAGUUGAAGAAAAAAGUGUGCUUCCAUAUUGAGUCUAGAAUUUGGGUCACCGAUGGUGCCAAUUUUCCGUAAUAUUAUUUUGCAAGAUUUAGCAUUUCGUUAUUUCCACCUUUGGCCUUGUCAGUUAAAACUCUUAAUUAGUGAAUGUGUCAAAAAAUGCCUUAUAAAAAAGUUAUCCUAUUUUAAAAAUCUUUCUUCACAAAUCUGGAGAGAAGUCCACAUAACCCCCCGAUGUUUCACAAACGGGCCAAUUUACCCCCUGAGGUCUAAAACCGGGUAUUUAACCCCCUGAGCUUUUCUAAACCAUGUGAAUCAUCCCCUAAUCCCGAUUAGAGUGGUUUUGCAGGCGGUUUUGUUGAUGUGGCAAGGUUGCGGGUACCACGGCAACUCGGCACAGUUCCUCUCUUCCCCUCCCAUCCCUAUGCCAUGGCCGUGUAUAUGGCGUCGCUCACGUCCUCCCGCCCAAACCACUCGUUGAACGGCACAGACCACAGAGGUCCCGUGAGAACAAUGCAGCGUUGAGGUACUUGAUGGAAAGCAGCACCAGCCAGCAGCCGGCUGUAUUUUGGCUUUGAUGCAAUCUCGGCUUGCCAUCGCGUCCCUUGUGCGCCGUAGUUGCCUCAGUGUCGCUCUCGCCGGCCGCGUCUGCUUCUUCCUCCGUCGACAACAACUCACCUGUGCCGCCUGCGGCUUCCAACAGAUGACGACGUCCACUGUUAGAGCUAAUGAUGAUUAGGUUAAGUCCUAUAAGGCUCAGACAUUGCAGCACGUACUUCUUGUGUUUACAUCAGGGCUUGUCCUGGAAUCAGUCCAGUAGGUCUGUACGUGCGUGUUGCAUCCGAAGGACCUCGCGUUGUAGCCGAGAGAAAUUACGUGCGCCUCGCGAGUGACGAUCUGUUUCCUCGCCGCUUCCUGCGCCAGUGACAUGCUCGCCGACGGCCUCGACCGCCCAACCAGUCUGCCUCGGAGAGCUUGAGUACGAGGCACUACCGUACUGGUCACGGACGGCGGUCGGCAAGGCCAGAACUUGCGUCCGUUGGCAGGUUGCUUGUGCAUUGCGGCGCAGCCGCCGCAUCCACGGAGGAGGUGCUCGACGGCGCAGACGGCCACGAACCCCAGCGGGCAUGCUGGCCUCGUGCUGCCUGGCAAUAGAGCAACCCCGGGAAGCUCAUCACCGAUAAGGUCACAGAGUUAGAAGAAUGGAACUCGGUGAGCUGCGUGGCAAUGUCAGGCAUAGAUGCGAUGCGUCCCAGGUGGUGAGACACUCGCUCGUGCUUAGAUGAGAAUGGACGAGGCCGGGUGCAGGUUAAGAACGAGGUGCACCGUGCCACAUCACCAAAACUGCCUGCAAAACCACUCUAAUCAGACUUAGGGGGUGAUUCACAUGGUUUUGGAAAACUUAUGGGGUUAAAUACCCGGUUUUAGACCUCAGGGUGUAAACUAGUCGGUUUGUGAAACCCUGGGGGGUUAUUUGGACUUCUUUCCACAAAUCUGAUUUCAGUGGAAGAAAAAAGCAUGUUUUUCCACUUGUGCGAUCUGUUUGCCCUGUUUGGUUUAGCUUUUAUCGUCAGAUUCCGCUGCCGCGCAGCAGAAUCUGAACCGAAAGGGCGAACCCAGCAGAAUCUGAUUUCAAAAAUUCGCUGCCAAAAUCUGAAUCAAAAGUGAAAGCAGCCCGGGACGUGCUUUUCAAAACUGAUUCCGGUGCGAGCCAAAAUCUGAAAAAGAUGUAUCAGCUGGCUUGCCAAAUGACCUACAUUUUUUUCACAUCAGAUUUUUCACAACUGUUUUUUCACAUUAGAUUUUUCACAGCUACUUUUAAAAAUCCAGAGCCGAACCAAACAAGGCAAAGACGUUUGAUCUAGCUUAUGCAAGCGAUGUGGUACAAUAAAACGUUCAGCAGAACCAGGACUAGGAGAGGAGACCUCCUAUUGAAGCGUGCGUCCAACAGUAGAGCCUUCGCUGAAGCUCACGCAAACGGGCCGGUCCAUUGGCAGCGUCGAACCUAUAAUUCACGAAAAACAAAACGUGCCGAGCGAAGUCGAACUCCCGACCUCUUAUUGCGGAGCACCAGUGGUAACCACUCGGAAUGGUAGAGUAGCGUUGUAAAAUGCAGCGCUAAAGUUUUAAGUACUAGGUACAUUAGCAGAUCCGUCUUUUUUCAGAAAAACAAAUUAACAUUCAAGGGAAAACUGUGAACGAAGUUUCUUUAAAAAAUGCGAAUACUAUUUGAAAAUGUGAACAAAUUUUCAAAUUCAAAGAAAACCUUUAAAAGGGAACAAAAAUUGGAUAACAUGAACAACUUUCUAAGCUCUGAACAAUUUUGUAAUAUACGCUGAACAAUUUAUAAAUACACAUUGAACUUUUUUUAUAUUCGCUGAACAAUUUUAAUUACACGUUGAACAUUUUAAUGAUGUACAUUGAACAAUUUUGAAAUACGUAAUGCACAUUUUUUAAGAUACCCUGAAAAUGUUGUUAAUAUACAAUGAACAUUGUUUUAAUAUACAAUGAACUUUUCGUAUAAUACGGAACAAAAGAAGGAAAAGAAAAAAUAAACAAAAAAGGGGAGAAGAAAGAACCAUACGAAAAAUCGGAGAAAAUAAAACAAAAAAAUGUGAAUGAAACACAAAAGGGAAGAAAAAACAGAAAUAAAAAAGCAAAGAAAAAAUCGGGAAAAAACAACUGAAAACCGUCCAAAAACAGUGAAAAACUGAAAGCAAAAAAACCAUAGAAAAAAAACCCCAAGAAACAAGGAAACAGCAGCGAACCAAAUCCGUACGUGGGCCGGCCCAAGUGGGGACUUGCUUCAGCGAAGGCUCGUCCUCUUGACGCCUGCGGGCGUCAAAUCGGAUCUGCCCUGGGAGAGCAUGUCCGGAGCCCUGCGCGCCACAGUGUAUCAGGCUGUAUCUCGGCCCAACAUCCCCCUACCCACGAGUUUUUUUGGGCCAGGCCCGUCCUGUAAAGCCAUGCCUCGGGCUCCGCCGCUCCGGCUUCAUCGUCGAGUCACCCGUCCUUCGCGGGUUUUUUUUUUUGGAAGUCUCCUUCGCGGUUGAAUCGUAACCUGUGACAUGCAAGAUACCAGACACGUCUCAGUAAUGCGACCGUGUCAUCUUCCUCCGUGUUUCAGCAACUCCUUGCACGACGCACCAAAGACGCUACAGAGCCUUUGCAUAAUUAACCUGGGCACGCAUGGUGGUCCUCAUCAGAAGAAAAUACUCCCUCCAUUUUUAUUUAUUCUGCAUAUUAAAGUUGACUGAAGUCAAACUUCGUAAAGUUUGACCAAGUUUAUAGAAAACAAUAUAGACAUUUAUCAUAAUAAAUCUAUACGAUGUGGAAGUACAUAUAAUAAUAAAUCUAAUAUUAUUGAUUUGUUAUUGUAUAUCUUAAUAUUUUUGUAUAUAAAUUUGGUCAAAGUUUGUAAAGCUUGACUUUGACCAAAGCUAAUAUGCGAAUUAAAUAAAAACGGAGGAAGUACAAGCAUUUUUCGGCAUAUUAAAGGCCCGUAUUUCCCGGCGUCCGUCCGUCCGCAUACGGGGCGGGGCACGCGCCACGGGUGGCUGGACUCCAUAUACUCCCUUCGGUCUUUUUUACUCUGCAUAUAAGGAUUGUCUGAAGUCAAACUUCAUAAAGUUUGACCAUAUUUAUAUGGAAAAAUAUUAACAUCUAUAAUGCUAAACUUAUACAAUAUGAAAAGUAAAGUCAUGACGCAUCUAAUGUUGUUAAUUUCACAUUCUAAAUGUUUGUAUUUUUUCUAUAAACUUCGUCAAAGUUUACGAGGUUUGACUUCAGACAAAUCUUAUAUGCGAACUAAAAAGGACCUGAGGGAGUAUGUCACCACUCAUCACGUCGAACGACCCUGCAUGAUUUCAUAAGGGCGUCUCGGACGUCGACCAUCAAACCGCCUAAUACGUCCGAUCCACGCGUGUUGUGCCAUUGUAUCGGUCCGUAGGGCUGUAUGGAUGCACUUUUUUUCCAUAAAUCGAAGACAAACGUGAGCUUUGUGGGCGUUUGAACAACAACCACGUCUCCUUUUGACCACCCUAACCUAUCCAAAACUAUCCUCCCUCACACGCGUGAAUUCUCGCAUGGCGUCAGCUGCCCGCAUUCAUAUCGUCAUAGAGCGGCCGCUCCACAUUGAAACCGGGCCAGAGCAGAUACGACCUCUCACUGGCUCAACCAUUGACGCGGCGCGCCGGCCGAGGGCACCACCCGCUGCAUGCCCGGCUAAACAAGCCUCCUCGCUGCAUUCAGACGUCUGCAUUAAACCCGCGCAUGUCGAGAAAUCUACUCCGGCCAUACGUCCGUCCAUAAGCGAAUCGGCAUUAACCACAACGUUGGGCAAGCUCCUCCCUCCAGCCGACUAUUUAAGGGAGACCAGACGUCGGGAAAGAACCGCAGCACUCCGCCGCUCCUCAUCUCCUCCCUCCACCAUUUUUUGCACCCUUUUGGUGGCAUCUGACGAGCGGGAAGAGCAGUUCUCCAGCAUAAAAGACGACCGGGUGGAAUGUUGAGUCCGCCGGAUACGAGCCAUGCAACUCGCUGCUCCACCUCCAUCGCCUAGCUCGAUGGAGCAAAUUGCCGCUCCAAGCUGGCGCAUGGUUCAGCACCUCGCCGCUCCAAGCCAGCUCGCGGAGGCUUGCAAGUUUCUCUAGGCAGGCACGUGCGGGAGCAUGGCAGAACGGGCAUCGUGGCUGCCAUGGACGAGGCCACACCAUCCGCCGUCAACAUUGGCUAAACCACGCCCGGUUGGUGGAGAAAGACGCGGAACUCGCCAGGGACUUCAAAAACGAUGUUCACCAACUCUUCUUCCAUUGCAACUCAAAGUUGGUAACGAUCGUAUUUAAUCUUGUAUGCAUCUUCAUGGUGACUCUGGGAAUUUGAUUGGUAGCACGACUUUUGUUUUGUUUUCUACUAAGUUUUUCAGCAGAUGGGACUUCAAGCCGUUCAAUGCUGAUAUUGAAUUUGUAUUGACCACUUUUUGCUCAUUUUACUAUGAUAUGUUUAAAUUUAGCAACAAUAAACAUGUGAAAAAUGGCGUCGACAGUGUGUUAUCUAAGCAUAGGUUAGUGCCAUAAACACUUUUGAAGGAUUCCCCCACAAAAAGAACACUUACGAAGGAUUGGUAUAUCCCUAUGGCUUUGUUAAUGGUAAGCAUUGGUUUGCAAAUAUCAUUUCAUGUUGCAUUUUGUAGUGUUCGGGCCAAUGAUCGCCUAAACAUGUUGUACAUAUUUCUAAGUUUUUGUCUGUUAAUCUAAAAAAGGUGUUUAACAAUUUGUUUUGCUGUUGUCGCUGUCAUGUCUUCUUUGUAUGGUCUUCAUAACUUAACAAUGCAACAGUUUGCAAGACCUCACACUAUGCACACCAGAUUUAUCACAUACCACUGAUAUCCGAGGUGGUGCAAGCGGUGCUGGCAUGUGCGAUAUCAUGUCAUACCAUUGAAGCUAUGUGCUUUAAUUUGUAUCAUGUUUACAUCUUGCUUUCUGUGUCAUCUAUCUUAACUUCGAUUCACAUGAACAAGGUUUUUGCUAGCUAAACAGUUAGUACAUGCUCCACGGCACAAGAUCUUUUUUGUGGUUCUUCCAGAAUGGUAGACAACACAAAUAAAUCAUGAACUAGAAGUUGUAUGAUUUGUUUUCAUCAAGUUUACACAUAUCGCUGCCAUUGUAUAUGACAUGACAUGCCAUACUAGGGUAUUACUACUUAAUUCUGAUAUGCACAGUACUAUCCAAAAACUGAUGAAAGAUGUGCCAGAUAUUGCUUCAUGUUCUUUCUCCAGCUCCAUGCAUUACUUAGUAUGGCUGGAUACUGCAAUAUUUUUCAAGUAUUUGCACCAUUUAAAUUUCAAUAAACAAUCAUAUCUACAUUUUGACACUUUUUUUAUGAUUUUUUUAUUAUUUUAUUGUAUAAAUAGACAUGUGUGCCAACACGCACCACCAACGAUCUAGUAUCACCAUAGGAAUUGGCGCCAAUGUGAACAUUUGGGAUUAUGCGUGGGAAGAGGGCCUGAGGCGUAAGGACAUGGCGCAUUCGAUCUAUGCCGUUUCUGAAAGAAAGCGUUGGACCUUCAGAAAAAUGUCAUACACAAGAAUACUUGGUUUGAUCAUAUUUCGGAAGCAAUAGCUUCACUAUUCAACAUUUGCAGGAUUUUUGCACCCUUUGGUGCCACAUAUUGCAAGUUCGUCUUCAAGAGGAUCAAUUAGACACCAUGGUUAUUGCAAAAAAGAAAACACUCUUACAUUAUGAGACGGAGGGAGUAUUAGUGUUAUUCAUCAAAUAUUAGUGUUACUAAAUAAUUAUUUCAAUUUUUUGAAUUUUGGUCAAAUCUGGUCAAACUAUGGUCAAACUUAUUCAAGAAAUAUUAGUGUUGCUAAAUAAUUACUGUUUUUUAGAACAAUAGUUUCAAACUCAAAUGGUGAAACUAGUGACCUAAUGCUCAAGCUAAACUGCUGGGGGUUAAUAGGAUUGACAGCUUACAUUUGUCAGGAAAACAACAAGUGCAGACUUGGAAAGUAGGGGGAUAGAACUCCAAAGUUAAGUGUGCUCAGGCUGGGGGAGUGAGAGGAUGGGUGACCGGCCGGGAAGUUAGACGAUUUGGAAUGAGUGAUCCAAACUUGAGCAGUUAAGAGGGGUGAUUAGAGACUAAAUCAUCAAAUAAUUCAAUUCAGAAAAUUGAAAAUCGAAAAAAAAAUCCAAAAUUUUCAAAAAGAAAAUUCAAAAAAAACCUUUAGUACCGGUUGAUAACACCAACCGGUACCGGUACUAAAGGUCCCCCAUGCCACGGCGCGAGCUCAAGCCAUGUGGUGGGCCUUUAGUGGCGGUUCGUGCCGAACCGAUANNNNNNNNNNNNNNNNNNNNNNNNNNNNNNNNNNNNNNNNNNNNNNNNNNNNNNNNNNNNNNNNNNNNNNNNNNNNNNNNNNNNNNNNNNNNNNNNNNNNNNNNNNNNNNNNNNNNNNNNNNNNNNNNNNNNNNNNNNNNNNNNNNNNNNNNNNNNNNNNNNNNNNNNNNNNNNNNNNNNNNNNNNNNNNNNNNNNNNNNNNNNNNNCGGUUACAGAACCGGCACUAAAGACCCUUACGAACCGGUUUUAAAACUCUGUUUUCUACUAGUGAAAAUAUCAUACACAAGAAUACUUGGUUUGAUCAUAUUUUGGAAGCAAUAACUUGACUAUUCAACAUUUGCAGGAUUUUUGCACCCUUUGGUGCCACACAUUGCAAGUUCGUCUUCAAGAGGAUCAAUUACACACCAUGGUUAGUGUAAAAAAAAGACUCUUAUAUUAUGGGACGGAGGGAGUAUAUUAGAUGCCAUUUCUUGGAAUGACUCCUUGGCAGCUAGUCCCUUCAUUUUUGUUAGUCCGCAUAUUAGCUUUGUUUUAAGUCAGACUUUGUAAGCUUUGACCAAGUUUACAAAAUAAUAUAUCGUCAUAUACAAUACCAGAUGAACAUCAUUAGAUGUCAAUAUUGGAUAUUUAAAAGAUGGUUAUAUCUGGUCGAAUCCCUUUAUUUUUAUUUACUCUGCAUACUAGUUGUCAAUAUUGGAUGUCAAUAUUGGUUACAUCAUUAGAGGGCACGUAUUCCCUGCGUUUGCAUCCGGGGUGGGGCAGGCGCGACGGGCGGGCUGUCCCGGGCACGUUACACGUACGUACGCGUGAUCUAGGUAGGCCCCUAUCCAUUCAUUCAUUCAUUCCUCCCCAUGUAUGUCAUCACGUCGAGCGACGGUGCAUGAUUUCAGUACACGCGGACCGGCGAGGCCGCGAUUUCAGAUUCGGCGCAUGCACACGCCGGCACGCCCGGCUUUGGUUUGGUCUGGCAGGCCCACUGGCCGGCCACUCGGGGCGCGCAUUCGGCCUUUGCAACCUGGAAUGUUCGCUCUCUUGUACUCGUUCGCCCCACGCCCAGCGCGAGCCGCCAACCCACAGCUGUAGCUUGAACUUGCCUAACAAAAAAAGGCUGUAGCAUAAAACGCUGGGGCCUCGCCUUUUGCCUAUUUUACCCGGGUAGUUCAGAUUCCCGGGCUGGCUGCUAGCUCACCGCACAUGAUGAGAGUGCGCCACUGGCCCCGAGCUUCGUUUGAAUCUGAAUAAUCCGGGGUCCGGGGGCUCCUUUCUUCUCCACCAGGAGCAUCUCCCCUGGACUCCGGUCCUGGUUAAUGGCACCGGCACGCCAUCCGUAACCAAAGCUGCUCAAAUCUAACUAACACGGUGUGCCUUGGCGUGCUUCCAAGUUCCAAGAACCGCCUGUGCAUGCCUCUCUUGCACAUCCCAUCUCAAUGGCGUUUUCUCUUAAAAAACCACAUCUCAACAACUUUUGUUUCAGAACCAGACAAAUCUUAAGAGCCAGUACCAAUUGGUUUGUUUAGGCAGCUAAUAAAGCCUUGACGAUCUGCGUACAGCCGUAAAUUCCUUCACGUGAAUAAUCCACAACCAGUACCACUUGCCCAAGUUGCAGCUGUACUGCCACGGCGGGCGCACAGAGGUUCCUUGGCCAUUAAUUACCUCUCUUCACUGCCGUGCGCCACUGCCCUGCUGCUCCGGUGCAUUUACCUGCCUGCCUGCCUGCCUGGCUGGACGCCUGGACGGGCGCUCGCUGCAUCUGCAUGUGCAGCUGUUACCUACCCCACUGUCUUUACUCGCACUCUGACUCCAUGUUACUCAAGUUGUGUACUCGUACGCGUACGUGCCAGCACAUUUCAGUUGUAUUCUUGCUUGUCUUACCGGAUUGUUCGACCCCUCGUCCGUUUCCACUGCUUCUAUUCCGUCCAUACGCUUCCGAUACGUUCAACCACCACGUACUGCAAUGCACCGGUGAUCAUUUGGCCAGUGACUGAAGAGCAUGUUCAGUACUCUACUGAAUGUUGGUAUCUCAGAACGGGUCUUGGAUGCCCACACAUCUCGACACAUUGCACACGAUGCGACUAGAAGAUUUGACAGCCCGGUUAGUUAACAGACAAGGAGGGUCUGGAGCUCUGGAUCGUGAUCUGGAUCUUGGCGCGAGAUGAUGGAUCUUGAGCUCUCCUUUUUCUCCUGCGGCUGAAAACUCGAUCCGGAUCUCUGAGUUCAGACAUUAACGUGACCUUGAAGAUAAGGGUGGCGCGCAUUUUCAAUGGCAGCGUGGCACAUGCUUGCUGGGACGACGCACUGUUGAGUUCCAACUUGAGUUCAUCUUCUGUUUGUGGUAAACGCCUUUCAUUUUCCGACUAUGACCGAUCGAUCCGCACACGCUCCGUAGGAUAGGCCGUAGCCACUGCCGAGAUGAUGCCGCUACUACUGCUACGAUGAUCUUUGACAUUUGUUCGCGUCCGAUCGCCCGAUCGGGACCUGGGGCAUGGCAGAGCCGGGUAGCGCUGGCUAGCUAGGUAGAGUACUAGUCUUGGCGCAUGCUUCGCUGGAGCGAUAAGAGUAGACUGAUUGAUGGAGCAGGGUUCAUGAGAGGAGGAGGCGGCACAGUUCUUUAGCUGAAAAAGAGUUCAUACACGAGCAUGGGUGUAUGAUGGGCCUCGGUUUGGACUUUGGAGCCGUUGCCAGCGCCUGUAUCUGGACUCACCGGAGGAGCGGCCGCAGUGAUUAGCGCGCACGCUUAAUCGAAAUGGACCACUAAUCUGACUGGGCCACAACACGAUGCUACUCUUAAUCUGAGUAAACUUACUCCAGUUUUGCUAGAAAAAAAAUGUGAGCACCUCUGUUAUCGAUGCUUUGCUGGAGAAAAGAAAAGAAAGACGUGCGCGUGCGCUGGGAAAGAGAAAAACCGAGGAAUACGUCGCGCCUCCCGAGCCUACCACUGUAGUAUAGUGGGAGUAGUAGAUCCCACGCACGGCCACCCCGGGGAAAAUUCAACCAGCGGUAAGGUGGGCCCAUAUCUCUAUUCCUAAUGGAGCAGUUGGUAGUCUCGCUUCCAGGUUUUUUUUCGUCCCACCACUUUCGUCCGGUUAUUUUCCGUAGGUUAACCGUCGUAGAUUUUUUUCGUCGCCUCCCUCACUUCAUCGGUUUAUUUUCACUUCACCCUCUCACACAACGAAAAAAACUGAACGGAUCAAAACUUUCUAUACUGACGCAAAUUAUUUAGUAAUGUCUUUAUGUAAAAGAAUCAAUCACAAUCAAUCUCUAAAGAUCAAAUCUAAAUUAAUUAAUCUUCAUAACGUUUGUUUUCUUCCGAAUCACGUGCAUAACUUUCCUUCCUUGUUUGGGCAGAAACUGUUUGGUAUAGCAGAGAUUAGGAAGCUUCCUAUGAGUGUAGUAAUAGGAAGUAUUUUUUUUCUUGAUGAUUUGUUUCCAUGCAUGAUGAUAAUAAAUUAGGCCAACAUUCACCACUAUUUAUCAACGUCAUCAAUCGUAUCCAUUCCUAUCAGUUUUAAGGGAAUCUGCUCGCUAUGUCUUUUUUAAGGGGAUCCGCUCGCUAAGUCGUCGUCGCACGUUAUUUUCACAAGCAAUUCCCCUAAAAAGGCGUGGGUAUUGGUAGUUGAACGCCCGCUAGGUUUUCCGCAUGUCCCAUCCUCGCGCUGUGCCGCCGCCACCCGCCGAAUUUCCAGCCGCCCGAGCCCGUUAACUUCGCCAACCAUCAGGUCGACUGCCCCCGCCCCAAACCCCCAUCCCUGAGCACUAGCUAUCGCCGCGUUGCCGCCCCAAGCUCCACGCCACCGGGAACGAAUCAAGCGCCGUCCCGACACCGCCGUCGCCGGCCCAGCACCUCCAGCCUUGCAUGGACAGCUUCAAUGUGCAGUCUCCCUUGCUGCCUCACCUUCUGCUAGCGCAUGCAGCGGCGGGGUUGGAUGCGUGCGUGCUUGUUAGCUUGCUCUCCGUGCGUACGUACUUGUUCUGCGUGCGUCGCACCGGCCAAUGCGCAUGAUGCGUGUGUGCCUACUUUUCUGUAUGUGUAUACCAGCGUGAUGCGUGUGUGCGUUGCUGUGUGUGUAUGAUAUAGAUGGCCCGAGUGUGUGCAUGUUGUGCUCUGCUCUCUGCUGAUCUAUGUGUUGGUGCUCCUGCUAUAUGUUCAUGCCAUCAAAUGAAAUUUCUGUUAAUCUUCUGACAUGUUGAGUUGGUUCUCUCUGUCUUCUGAGGGGGUGAAUGCAAAGCAGUCUAUUAAGCCAGACACUAUUGCUGAGCUAAAUUGACAAAAAAAUAUUGGUAGCCAUAGUUGUAGUUUAAGUAGUAGCGAGUUGUCUGAUAUGUAUAAAGAGCCCAUUGCAACUGAGCCCGUUGCUAAAUUGACAAAAAAGGUCGCCAGUGUCACUUGAUAUGUAUGAGAAUAUUAAAUGUAUUAUUAACAUGAUUAAUAUUGAACUCUUAAAGUUAAUGUGGCUCCGUUGCAACGCACGAGGACUCGUGGUCCUGGUGGCGGGGGUCACGCGCGGGCGGUUGGGGGCCAGGGAUCAGCGGCGUGACGGGCAGACGGGCGUGUGAAGGAACGUGGAAGGAACCAGCCGCCCGACAUCCGUCGCGGUCAAAGCGUGCCUGUGCGCGCGUCGUCGCCGGCGUUGGAUUCCCUUUCCCUGGGGUGAAAAUUGGAAAACAGUGAUGGCAAUCAGUAAUCACCAAAAGGAGUACUAGUAACACAGAGAGCUUUUGCAGCAGCAGGGGGCAAUAAAGCCUGGCCCUAUCAUCGUCCGCCAGUGCCAGCGCCCUCUCGUCUCUGCUGUGGUCCGCUGCCCAGAGCCUCACUAUCCCCGGCCUCUCGCCGCACGCAGCGCGGCCGCACCGGCGUCCUCGUCGUCCCGUCGUCCCGUCGUCCGUCACCGCGGUAACUGACUGGUAUGCCGUCAGCCUCCCAUCCCGCUCCCCUGCUUCGCCUCCCUCCGCGUGUUGAUUCGUUGGUUGGUUGGUUGUUUGGUUUCGUCCCCUUCCUCGCCGUCGCCGUCACCGGUGACGCGACGCGCGCGCACGUACCACCACCUACGAGUGUAGGAGUGGAGUGCUCCGCUCUGCGCUGCGCUCCAGGUUUGCCGCCACCACCGACCGACCCUUUUCUUCUCCUCGCGCGCGAGAGAGCGGCUCCAAAACGAGAAUCUGCCUGGGUGGCGCUUGGAUGUGGAUUUGCCAGCGACCCGCGCCCCUUUCCUGCGCUUCUAGUCCGGUCCGGUUGGUACUAGUACUAUUCUACUGCUCCAGUAGGAGUAGAUAGAUAAUGGUGGCUGUUGCCAUCCAUGGCCAUGUUCCAUGGCCUGGCCACUCAUGGAGCAGUGGGGAAUACUCGAGCGAGUCUUCGAUUUGAAUCCGCGAGCGUGGCCGUCCUCCCGCACGCAAGCGCACCAGUAACCAGUCCCGAUCCGUGUCUCCCGGCCGCAUGCGUGCACGCCUCCCCUCCCGCCGGAACUGUAUCUACAUUCUCCGGAUUAAGAUCCAUCCAUGUACUAGUAGCAGCAUUAUUCUACGGUGGUUUCCUGUAUGACCAGUGUGGCGGUUACUAGCACUGCCGUUCGUGCGAGUCCACCAUUUUCUCCUAAUUUAAUUUGGACGCUCCGCCCCGGCGCCCGGCCGGCGGUGGUUAAGCCUUCCCAUUCCACGGCGAAGCAGGGCAAAGAAUUCGCGAUUAUUUCGCCCGUCUAGGUGCCUUGUCCCCUUCGGCCGGGCCGGAGAUCCAGCUGGAGAAAUUCGUCGCCGCCCGGCGGCCGGUGAGGCGGGCCUCUCCCCCGCUUCUCGCGUACUACGUGCGUGCAGUCGCCAAAUGUGGUUGUGGCUGUGUGCGGAGCAUGGACUGCGCUGCGCUUGCGACCAGUCAGAGCGGUGAGUGGGAUCGAGCAUCGACGGAGAAUUAAUAAUUUAGUUAGCUGUGAUCUCGCCCACAGCGACGGCGCAGCGGAUUAAGAUGCCCGUCGACCUCUCGGCUCUUGUGGCGUGGCCCUGGACGUGGUGCCGCCGCACUGCAGCGGUGGCGCGAGAAUUGUGGACGUGGCGUAGUUAGUGGGGAUCGUUUCCGUUUCCAUUUCCCCCUUUCCGUUCAUACUUUAUACUGCUCCGUAUUAUGCUUCCAAAAGGAUUUUUUGUUGUUUACAUUACCCGCCGCCGUCGUCAUCGCAGCUCAUCAAAGCAAAUGAUUUCCUUCCUUCGCUUUCGGUCUCUCCUUUGCUGCCUUGCGAAUCUCGUGUCGGCGGCGGCACUCCCCCGUGAGAGUGCACACUGCUACCGGGCGGCUAUAAGAUGAACCGGGGUUUUCCUUUCCUCUCACACCUCUCCUUCCCAGGGCACCAACCGCUAGACAUUUUUGCCGGUUUCACCUUGCUCUUGCGAGUUCGUGUUCGCGCGCAUGCGGCGGAUUGCUAGCUGCUCCUUCUGAGGUAUACAGACAUACAUACUUGCAGCUGCAGUCAUGUCUGUCGAGUGUACUGUAUGGGCUUUUAGGCGUUCUCUGUCGAAUCAUCAAGGUUUCUGUGGCCGUUGGGGUUUACACAUAUAGCUUGCUGUUUUGCCGGCUGGUUUUCUGCAACUUGCCGAUGAUCAUGCUGGUUUUCAGCAACUUGAGUUUUCGGACAGUGAAAGUGAUAAAAAGAAACCACCACCUGGUUUACUUUAAGUAAAGCAUGCUCCCUUGUGUCUCACUACUUCUCUAUGGUGCCUAGAGCCAGCAGGGGAGCCUUUGAAUGGCCUAGCCUAAUGUUUGGUCUUUACGUGCUUACUUUCAAACACUAGUCUUUCUUUACACUGCUAGGCCGUUGUAUCUUGCUGCUCUAUUAUGAUGGCUAUGGACAACAGAGGAGCCUUUGAGUGGACUAGGCCUAAUGCUUGUCCUUUAACUGUGUUUUCAAACAUCAAUCCUUCCUUGCACUAGCUAGCUCAUCUUUGAUUUUUCCUUGUUGCAUAAGCGUCAUUCAAUGUUUGCUCACAUGAUUACCACACUUUCCCCAGGUCUAUACAUAUAGUCGGCGGUGAUCGAUACCAGACGCAGUGCCAAGAUGGGGAGUCUGCACAAGACCACCUUUGUUCUCCUCAUGUUCUGCUUGGCGGCGUUGGGAAGCGCGGAUUAUCUCAAGUACAAGGAUCCGAAGCAGCCUCUUGGCGUUCGCAUCAAGGAUCUGCUUGGUCGGAUGACCCUCGCUGAAAAGAUCGGCCAGAUGACCCAGAUUGAGAGGGAGAAUGCCACAGCAGAGGCCAUGUCCAAGUACUUCAUAGGUGCCUCUCACGUCCCUUGUGCUAAAUUAACAACUGCAGAUUCUGAAGGGUUGCAGAGCUGUCUGUAAUAACAUUUUGUAUGAUGCAGGUAGCGUACUGAGUGGUGGAGGCAGUGUGCCUUCUCCUCAGGCAUCCGCUGCGGCUUGGCAGUCGAUGGUGAACGAGAUGCAAAAGGGCGCCCUUUCCACCCGCCUAGGUAUUCCGAUGAUCUACGGUAUUGAUGCCGUGCAUGGUCACAACAACGUCUACAAAGCUACCAUCUUCCCACAUAAUGUUGGCCUCGGAGCUACCAGGUAGAAACUGCUCUCUUUUUUAAAUUUUGAUUGAUGUGACAGUGAAAUGUCAUAUAUCCUGUAAUAUGGAUGUCUAUAUUAUAUUAGAUCAACUGUGACACAUAUGUUGAUCUGAAUUAAUAUGUUACUGUCUUCUAGGGACCCUAUGUUGAUAAAGAGGAUAGGAGAAGCAACUGCUCUUGAAGUUAGAGCAACGGGAAUUCCUUACGCUUUUGCUCCGUGUAUUGCGGUAAUAGAUCAUACUUCUUGGAUGGUUGAUACUUUAGUAUGGAUGCCAAAUGUGCCUUGCUAUUGUUCCUAGAAACUCACCCGUUGAUGUUGCUCAGGUGUGUAGAGAUCCAAGAUGGGGACGCUGCUACGAAAGCUACAGCGAAGACCCAAAGGUUGUCCAGUCCAUGACCACACUUAUCUCUGGUCUGCAAGGCGACGUUCCGGCUGGUUCUGAGGGAAGGCCAUACGUUGGUGGAAGGUAAUAUACAUUUGACAGAUAUACUAGUAGGUAACUUGUGUUCUGUGCUUUAAUCUGAAGAGGCGGAAUUAACUUCGUUGUCACUCUUGGUACACUGCAGCAAGAAGGUUGCUGCAUGCGCAAAGCACUAUGUCGGUGACGGUGGUACGUUUAUGGGGAUCAACGAGAAUGAUACAAUCAUCGACGCCCAUGGGCUGAUGACUAUCCAUAUGCCUGCUUAUUACAAUUCUAUCAUCAGAGGUGUCUCCACUGUUAUGACCUCGUACUCUAGCUGGAACGGCAAGAAAAUGCACGCCAACCACUUCCUUGUCACUGAUUUUCUGAAGAACAAGCUCAAAUUCCGGGUCAGUUGCUCAUUAGAAAGGCAGAACAAUUUCACUCUUUGUUUUCUUCAGGCCUAUUUUAAGAUACUGAUGUAAUCAAUUUGGUGGGAUUUCGCGCAAACAGGGUUUCGUGAUUUCAGACUGGCAAGGCAUUGAUCGGAUUACUAGUCCUCCAGGUGUGAACUAUUCUUAUUCAGUUGAGGCCGGAGUUGGUGCCGGUAUUGACAUGGUAAGAUGUGCAAAUUACAUAUACUUCAGCCAACUUCAACUUUUUGGAUAAAACAUGAGUAAAGAUAGGAUGUUUCUUAUCUGAUACACCGUUGACAGUUGUUAUCUCUUCUAGAACUAAUACAAAUAUGCCAUUUUCUUCCAUUCUGACCAUGCUCUGGUAUACACUAUUCUGCAGAUCAUGGUUCCUUUUGCCUACACCGAAUUCAUUGAUGAUCUGACAUACCAAGUAAAGAACAACAUUAUCCCCAUGAGCAGAAUCGAUGAUGCUGUCUACAGGAUUCUUAGGGUGAAGUUCACCAUGGGCCUGUUUGAGAGCCCCUAUGCUGACCCAAGCCUCGUUGGUGAACUCGGGAAGCAGGUUAGUUCUCAACACCACAUUUUCAACACUUCAUUUGUCAGGAUCCAUGAAUUCUUACUAUAAAUUCCGUCCCAUUGUUAGGAACACCGCGAUCUCGCUCGUGAAGCCGUCAGGAAGUCAUUGGUGUUGCUGAAAAAUGGAAAAUCUGCCUCCGCUCCGCUGUUGCCUCUCCCGAAGAAGGCCGGCAAGAUCCUCGUCGCCGGAAGCCACGCCGACGACUUGGGCAACCAGUGCGGAGGAUGGACCAUCACAUGGCAAGGACAGACCGGCAACGACAAAACUGCCGGUAAAUAUUCAUUGCUUGCUUGUAGUACUAAUAUGUGGCAACGUCGUCGGAAAUUGGGCCAAAAGUUGAUGGAAUCAUGUGAUGAAACGCAUGCAGGGACGACGAUCCUUUCGGCGAUCAAGUCCAUCGUCGACCCCAGCACGGAGGUGGUCUUCUCGGAGAACCCGGACAGCGCCGCCGUGGACAGCGGCAAGUACGACUACGCCAUCGUGGUGGUCGGCGAGCCGCCCUACGCCGAGACGUUCGGCGACAACCUCAACCUGACGAUCCCUGCCCCGGGUCCCUCGGUGAUCCAGAGCGUGUGCAAGAGCGUCAGGUGCGUGGUGGUGCUCAUCUCCGGCAGGCCGCUGGUGGUGGAGCCGUACAUCGGCGCCAUGGACGCGUUCGUCGCCGCGUGGCUGCCCGGCUCCGAGGGCCAGGGCGUCACCGACGUGCUGUUCGGCGACUACGGGUUCUCCGGGAAGCUGGCCAGGACGUGGUUCAAGUCGGUGGACCAGCUGCCGAUGAACGUCGGCGACAAGCACUACGACCCGCUGUUCCCCUUCGGGUUUGGCCUCACCACUGAGGCCAACAAGUGAGUCGGCUGAGAUAACUGAGAUGGGAUGUAUCUCGGUUGGGCUGGAGAGAUGGGACACAUACAUACAUUGCGUUUUGUGGUUGAUUUGUUAGCAAUAAAAGAGCGAUGCGUUCUUACAGAUCCGGUGGUGUUACAGCAAGCCGUCCGAUCGCCAUAAUAAUCGUCGUUAUGACAAUUUUAACUGAAAAGACCGCCCUAACAAAGCCGUCAUCCUGUCCUUGGUCGCCAUAAUUUUCAAAGGUGCUUCAAAUCGAGCCCGUGAGCCUCCAUAUUUGACUUAUGUGGGAAAUAUUUGGAGCGCACUCCGUCUAGAAAAUGGCUUGGCGUGAACAACAUUGCUCUUCUGGUCUGCUCUGCCGCCUCCCCUCUAUUGCCGUAGCGUCGUCUUUCACCGCUUUCGGCUGCCCCAGUCCCUGUCGGCGACGGUAUCGACGACACCUUGAGCCUUUCGUCUGAUUUCAUCGUUUUGGACUUAUCUCGCGCCUUCUACGCCUUUGGUGGUUGACGCACCUCCUGCGCCUUCGAUGAUCGACCGCCACCACCUAGGCCAGCAUCUCGUUCACGUUGCCGUGGGAGUCCGACAAUGAGGUGACAAAGCCUAUGACACUGCAUGAAGGCGGCGGCCUCCUCCCGCGGGUGACGAAGGGACAGAAGAAGAAGACGAGGAAACUAGGUACCCGCGGCCCUUCCCCAACUUGCUUCGUCCCUCCGGCCUGCAAAACUGGGGCACCUUCCCGGUCGUACGCCGGAGUAGAUACGACGACGUGGUAUAAAAAUGAAUCCUUUGCCUUGUAUUUGGUUUUUGUUCAAUUUAACGCGAGGUGAUCAUGGAAAUUUGUUGUCAAAUGGGCAACGUUUACUAUUUAGUGACGAUUUUCUAAAUUUGGAUGGAUCGAUCUUCAACGAAGAAUCAUUUAUCAAUGCGAUGAUGGUUCAGUCCGAGACAAAUGUUGUGGAUCUCGAUGGCACAUCGUUAUCGCUUUUUGAUCAUCAGUUUGACCAAGAUAUGGAAUUUGAUCAAUUCGAGCCCCACUGGCUCGGCAAAGAAGACAAUUUGGGGAAACAACUUUAACCCCUGAUGUGGAUGUUGCGCUUGCCCUAUCAUGUCAAGAUAUCUCUCUUGAUGUGAUUGUCAGGAAAGAUCAAUCGGCAACAAAGUAUUGAAAGCAAAUUGAGGAGCGUUUCCAACAUCAUCUUGGGUGGAGACCGAAACGUAGUAUCAAAUCUCUCACUACCAAUGGGGUAUGAUUCAAGAGAUGUGCAUCUGUUGGGUGGGUUGCAAGGAGCAAGUGAAGCACUCUCCUCCUAGCGGUGUCAACAUUGAUCAAUAUGUAAGUAUAAUCUUGUUCUGCAUUUGUUUGCCACAUUUGCAUUAAUUUAAGCAUUCUCAUCAAUCUGUGCAUUUGUUUGUUUUAGGAUGAGAUAGCCCAAGAGAGGUACAAACAAAUGACUAAGUCGAAGGGCAAACCGUUUGGCCUCCAACAUUGUUGAGAUUUAUUAGAAAAGCACAAGAAGUGAAAGAUGAGGAGUGAUGACGGUAACCCAAAAGCUGGAAAGUACACCAAUUCCUCUUUGGAGAUGGACGGCUACACAUAUGUUGUAGAUGGAGAGGAAAUGUCAAAUGUGCCUAGAAGUACUACUACGAUGUCUACGGCGGGUCGGCCCGCUAGGAGAAAGUAUGAAAAGCUAAGGCUCAAGAGAGGAGUGGUGGAGGCGAUUAAAAGAGACCGAUGAGUUGACAAAGACAAGAAACAAGUACACCAAGAAGAGGAAGUAAGAAAAUUUAGUGAUGGGCGAGACGAAGAACCAAGACAAGAGGGUUAGGUGAGGUGUAAUGCAACAGAGUAGACAAGGUCAGGAAGAGGUGGUGGCGCCUAGAUCCAAAUGUAGCAACAAAUGGAGAUGCGUAGGCUUGAAAUGCAGUAGAAGAUGGAGGCGCGUAUGUUCCAAAUUAAGGAGGUUAGGGCAAGAGAUUAUCGCAUAGCCAAGCAGAAUCGAUUCAUCAUGUUAGAUCUAAACCUAAUAGAUCCAGCGGCAUGAGAUUUUUGGGCGUGACAGUGAGACUUGAUCAUUAUUUUCUAGAAGCUCGAAGGAGGGGACGAUGCAGAAGGCGGGAACAUGUGAUUUGUACAUGUCACUGUUGGAAUGAUUUUGCAACUUAUCAAAAAUUACGUGCAUGUUCGUUUGAUGUUCUAAAUGUUUAAAUUUGAAAGGAACUAAAGUGUUUGAACGUGAAACCGAUUGUUUUUAUGAAAUAUGAGAUAUAAUAACUUUGAGGUUGGGUGUGAUUUGCAUUCUCUUCGACCCCCCCCACCCUGAAGGAAAUAUGCCCUAGAGGCAAUAAUAAAGUUAUUAUUUAUUUCCUUAUUUCAUGAUAAAUGUUUAUUAUUCAUGCUAGAAUUGUAUUAACCGGAAACAUAAUACAUGUGUGAAUACAUAGACAAAUAGAGUGUCACUAGUAUGCCUCUACUUGACUAGCUCGUUGAUCAAAGAUGGUUAAGUUUCCUAACCAUAGACAUGAUUUGUCAUUUGAUUAACGGGAUCACAUCAUUAGGAGAAUGAUGUGAUUGACUUGACCCAUUCUGUUAGCUUAGCACUUGAUCGUUUAGUUUGUUGCUAUUGCUUUCUUCAUGACUUAUACAUGUUCCUAUGACUAUGAGAUUAUGCAACUCCCGUUUGCCGGAGGAAUACUUUGUGUGCCACCAAACGUCACAACGUAAUUGGGUGAUUAUAAAGGUGCUCUACAGGUGUCUCCAAAGGUACUUGUUGGGUUGGCGUAUUUCGAGAUUAGGAUUUGUCACGCCGAUUGUCGGAGAGGUAUCUUUGGGCCCACUCGGUAAUGUACAUCACUAUAAGCCUUGCAAGCAUUGCAACUAAUGGGUUAGUUAUGGGAUAAUGUAUUACAGAACGAGUAAAGAGACUUGCCGGUAACGAGAUUGAACUAGGUAUUGAUAUACCGACGAUCGAAUCUCGGGCAAGUAACAUACCGAUGACAAAGGGAACAACGUAUGUUGUUAUGCGGUCUGACCGAUAAAGAUCUUCGUAGAAUAUGUAGGAGCCAAUAUGGGCAUCCAGGUCCCGCUAUUGGUUAUUGACCAGGGAGGUGUCGCGGUCAUGUCUACAUAGUUCUCGAACCCGUAGGGUCCGCACGCUUAACGUUCGUUGACGAUAUAGUACUUUAUGAGUUAUGUAUGUUGAUGACCGAAUGUUGUUCGGAGUCCGGGAUGAGAUCACGGACAUGACGAGGAACUCCAGAAUGGUCCGGAGAUAAAGUUUGAUAUAUGGGAUAAUAGUGUUUGGUCACCAGAAGGGUUCCGGAAAUCACCGGAAGGGGUUCUGGAUGUUUCCCGAAAUGUUUGGGUACGAGAACACUUUAUUUGGGCCAAAGGGGAAAGCCCACAAGGUUUUUGGAAAGCGCAAAAGGAAGUUUUGCGGAGUCCAGGGGCCAGACGCGAGGGUCCCUGGCGUCUGGGUCCAGACGCCGGGAACCCUGGCGUCUGGCCCUGGAGUCCGAGAAGGACUCCUGCCUUUCGGGUGAAACCGACUUUGUGGAGGCUUUUACUCCAAGUUUCGACCCCAAGGCUCAACAUAUAAAUAGAGGGGUAGGGCUAGCACCCAAGACACAUCAAGAAACACCAAGCCGUGUGCCGGCAACCUCGUCCCCUCUAGUUUAUCCUCCAUCACAGUUUUCGUAGUGCUUAGGCGAAGCCCUGCGGAGAUUGUUCUUCACCAACACUGUCACCACGCCGUCGUGCUGCCGGAACUCAUCUACUACUUCGCCCCUCUUGCUGGAUCGAGAAGGCGAGGACGUCACCGAGCCGAACGUGUGCAGAACUCGGAGGUGUCGUGCUUUCGGUACUUGGAUCGGUCGGAUGUGAAGACGUACGACUACAUCAACCGCGUUGAUAUAACGCUUCCGCGAACGGUCUACGAGGGUACGUAGACAACACUCUCCCCUCUCGUUGCUAUGCAUCACCAUGAUCUUGCGUGUGCAUAGGAUUUUUUUUGAAAUUACUACGUUCCCCAACAGUGGCAUCCGAGCCAGGUUUUAUGCGUUGAUGUUAUAUGCACGAGUAGAACACAAGUGAGUUGUGGGCGAUAUAAGUCAUACUGCUUACCAGCAUGUCAUACUUUGGUUCGGCGGUAUUGUUGGAUGAAGCGGCCCGGACCGACAUUACGCGUACGCUUACGCGAGACUGGUUCUACCGACGUGCUUUGCACACAGGUGGCUGGCGGGUGUCAGUUUCUCCAACUUUAGUUGAACCGAGUGUGGCUACGCCCGGUCCUUGCGAAGGUUAAAACAACACCAACUUGACAAACUAUGUUGUGGUUUUGAUGCUUAGGUAAGAACGGUUCUUGCUAAGCCUAGUAGCAACCACGUAAAACUUGCAACAAUAAAGUAGAUGACGUCUAACUUGUUUUUGUAGGGCAUGUUGUGAUGUGAUAUGGUCAAGAUAUGAUGCUAAAUUUUAUUGUAUGAGAUGAUCAGGUUUUGUAAUCGAGUUAUCGGCAACUGACAGGAGCCAUAUGGUUGUCGCUUUAUUGUAUGCAAUGCAAUCGCCCUGUAAUGCUUUACUUUAUCACUAAGCGGUAGCGAUAGUCGUGGAAGCAUAAGAUUGGCGAGACGACAACGAUGCUACAAUGGAGAUCAAUGUGUUGCGCGGGUGAUGAUGGUGAUCAUGAAGGUGCUUCAGAGAUGGAGAUCACAUGCACAAGAUGAUGAUGGCCAUAUCAUAUCACUUAUAUUGAUUGCAUGUGAUGUUUAUCUUUUAUGCAUCUUAUCUUGCUUUGAUUGAUGGUAGCAUUAUAAGAUGAUCUCUCACUAAAUUUCAAGAUAAAAGUGUUCUCCCUGAGUAUGCACCGUUGCCAAAGUUCGUCGUGCCCAGACACCACGUGAUGAUCGGGUGUGAUAAGCUCUACGUCCAUCUACAACGGGUGCAAGCCAGUUUUUGCACACGUAGAAUACUCAGGUUAAACUUGACGAGCCUAGCAUAUGCAGAUAUGGCCUCGGAACACUGAGACCGAAAGGUCGAGCGUGAAUCAUAUAGUAGAUAUGAUCAACAUAUUAAUGUUCACCAUUGAAAGCUACUCCAUUUCACGUGAUGAUCGGUUAUGGUUUAGUUGAUUUGGAUCACGUGAUCACUUAGAAGAUUAGAGGGAUGUCUUUCUAAGUGGGAGUUCUUAAGUAAUAUGAUUAAUUGAACUUAAAUUUAUCAUGAACUUAGUACCUGAUAGUAUUUUGCUUGUCUAUGUUGAUUGUAGAUAGACGGCCCAUGCUGUUAUUCCGUUGAAUUUUAAUGCGUUCCUUGAGAAAGCAAAGUUGAAAGAUGAUGGUAGCAAUUACACGGACUGGGUCCGUAACUUGAGGAUUAUCCUCAUUGCUGCACAGAAGAAUUAUGUUCUGGAAGCACUGCUAAGUGCCAAGCCUGCUGCAGGAGCAACACCAGAUGUUAUGAACGUCUGACAGAGCAAAGCUGAUGAGUACUCGAUAGUUUAGUGUGCCAUGCUUUACGACUUAGAACCGGGUCUACAACAACGUUUUGAACGUCAUGGAGCAUAUGAGAUGUUCCAGGAGUUGAAGUUAAUAUUUCAAGAAAAUGCCCAUAUUGAGAGAUAUGAAGUCUCCAAUAAGUUCUAUAGCUGCAAGAUGGAGGAGAAUAGUUCUGUCAGUGAACAUAUACUCAAAAUGUCUGGGUAUCAUAAUCACUUGACUCAAAUGGGAGUUAAUCUUCCUAUUGAUAGUGUCAUUAACAGAGUUCUUCAAUCACUGCCACCAAGCUACAAGAGCUUCGUGAUGAACUAUAACAUGCAAGGGAUGGAUAAGACGAUUCCCGAGCUCUUCGCAAUGCUAAAGGCCGCGGAGGUAGAAAUCAAGAAGAAGCAUCAAGUGUUCAUGGUCAAUAAGACCGCCAGUUUCAAGAAAAAGGGCAAAGGGAAGAAGAAGGGGAACUUCAAGAAGAACAACAAACAAGUUGCUGCUCAGGAGAAGAAACCCAAAUCUGCACCUAAGCCUGAAACUGAGUGCUUCUACUGCAAGCAGACUGGACACUGGAAGCGGAACUGCCCCAAGUAUUUGGCGGAUAAGAAGGAUGGCAAGGUGAAAAAAGGUAUAUGUGAUAUACAUGUUAUUGAUGUGUACCUUACUAGAGCUCGCAGUAGCACCUGGGUAUUUGAUACUGGUUCCGUUGCUAAUAUUUGCAACUCGAAACAGGGACUACGGAUUAAGCAAACACUGGCCAAGGACGAGGUGACGAUGCGCGUGGGAAAUGGUUCCAAAGUCGAUGUGAUCACGGUCGGCACGCUACCUCUACAUCUACCUUCGGGAUUAGUUUUAGACCUAAAUAAUUGUUAUUUGGUGCCAGCGUUGAGCAUGAACAUUAUAUCUAGAUCUUGUUUGAUGCGAGACGGUUAUUCAUUUAAAUCAGAGAAUAAUGGUUGUUCUAUUUAUAUGAGUAAUAUCUUUUAUGGUCAUGCACCCUUGAAGAGUGGUCUAUUUUUGAUGAAUCUCAAUAGUAGUGAUACACACAUUCAUAAUGUUGAAGCCAAAAGAUGCAGAUUUGAUAAUGAUAAUGCAACUUAUUUGUGGCACUGCCGUUUAGGUCAUAUCGGUGUAAAGCGCAUGAAGAAACUCCAUACUGAUGGACUUUUGGAACCACUUGAUUAUGAAUCACUUGAUACUUGCGAACCGUGGCUCAUGGGCAAGAUGACUAAAACGCCGUUCUCCGGUACUAUGGAGAGAGCAAUAGAUUUGUUGGAAAUCAUACAUACAGAUGUAUGUGGUCCGAUGAAUGUUGAGGCUCGUGGCAGAUAUCGUUAUUUUCUCACCUUCAUAGAUGAUUUAAGCAUAUAUGGGUAUAUCUACUUAAUGAAACAUAAAUCUGAAACAUUUGAAAAGUUUAAAGAAUUUCAGAGUGAAGUUGAAAAUCAUCGUAACAAGAAAAUAAAAUUUCUACGAUCUGAUCGUGGAGGAGAAUAUUUGAGUUACGAGUUUGGUCUACAUUUGAAACAAAGCGGAAUAGUUUCGCAACUCACGCCACCCAGAACACCACAGUGUAAUGGUGUGUCCGAAUGUCGUAAUCAUACCUUACUAGAUAUGGUGCGAUCUAUGAUGUCUCUUACUGAUUUACCGCUAUCGUUUUGGGGUUAUGCUUUAGAGACGGCCGCAAUCACGUUAAAUAGGGCACCAUCAAAAUCCGUUGAGACGACGCCUUAUGAAUUAUGGUUUGGCAAGAAACCAAAGUUGUCGUUUCUUAAAGUUUGGGGCUGCGAUGCUUAUGUGAAAAAGCUUCAACCUGAUAAGCUCGAACCCAAAUCGGAGAAAUGUGUCUUCAUAGGAUACCCAAAGGAGACUGUUGGGUACACCUUCUAUCACAGAUCCGAAGGCAAGACAUUCGUUGCUAAGAAUGGAUCCUUUCUAGAGAAGGAGUUUCUCUUGAAAGAAGUGAGUGGGAGGAAAGUAGAACUUGAUGAUGUAACUGUACCUGCUCCCUUAUUGGAAAGUAGUUCAUCACAGAAACCGGUUUCUGUGACACCUACACCAAUUAGUGAGGAAGUAAAUGAUGAUGAUCAUGGAACUUCAGAUCAAGUUAUUACUGAACAUCGUAGAUCAACAAGAGUAAGAUCCGCACCAGAGUGGUAAGGUAAUCCUGUUCUGGAAGUCAUGCUACUGGAUCAUGAUGAACCUACGAACUAUGAAGAAGCAAUGGUGAGCCUAGAUUCUGCAAAAUGGCUUGAAGCCAUGAAAUCUGAGAUGAGAUCCAUGUAUGAGAACAAAGUGUGGACUUUGGUUGACUUGCCGUUGAUCGGCAAGCAAUUGAGAAUAAAUGAAUCUUCAAGAAGAAGACUGACGCUGACGGUAAUAUUACUGUCUACAAAGCUCGACUUGUUGCGAAAGGUUUUCGACAAGUUCAAGGGAUUGACUACGAUGAGACCUUCUCACCCGUAGUGAUGCUUAAGUCUGUCCGAAUCAUGUUAGCGAUUGCCGCAUUUUAUGAUUAUGAAAUUUGGCAUAUGGAUGUCAAAACUGCAUUCCUGAAUGGAUUUCUUGAAGAAGAGUUGUAUAUGAUGCAACCGGAAGGUUUUGUCGAUCCAAAGGGAGCUAACAAAGUGUGCAAGCUCCAGCGAUCCAUUUAUGGACUGGUGCAAGCCUCUCGGAGUUGGAAUAAAUGCUUUGAUAGUGUGAUCAAAGCAUUUGGUUUUGUACAGACUUUUGGAGAAGCCUGUAUUUACAAGAAAGUGAGUGGGAGCUCUGUAGCAUUUCUGAUAUUAUAUGUGGAUGGCAUAUUACUAAUUGGAAAUGAUAUAGAAUUUCUGGAUAGCAUAAAGGGAUACUUGAAUAAAAGUUUUUCUAUGAAAGACCUCAGUGAAGCUGCUUACAUAUUGGGCAUCAAGAUCUAUAGAGAUAGAUCAAAACGCUUAAUUGGACUUUCACAAAGCACAUACCUUGACAAACUUUUGAAAAAGUUCAAAAUGGAUCAAGCAAAGAAAGGGUUCUUGCCUGUGUUACAAGGUGUGAAGUUGAGUAAGACUCAAUGCCCGACCACUGCAGAAGAUAGAGAGAAGAUGAAAUAUGUUCCCUAUGCUUCAGCCAUAGGCUCUAUCAUGUAUGCAAUGCUGUGUACCAGACCUGAUAUGUGCCUUGCUAUAAGUCUAGCAGGGAGGUACCAAAGUAAUCCAGGAGUGGAUCACUGGACAGCGGUCAAGAACAUCCUGAAAUACCUGAAAAGGACUAAGGAUAUGUUUCUCGUUUAUGGAGGUGACAAAGAGCUCAUCGUAAAUGGUUACAUUGACGCAAGAUUUGACACUGAUCCGGACGAUUCUAAAUCGCAAACCGGAUACGUGUUUAUAUUAAACGGUGGAGCUAUCAGUUGGUGCAGUUCUAAACAAAGCGUCAUGGCGGGAUCUACGUCUGAAGCGGAGUACAUAGCUGCUUCGGAAGCAACAAAUGAAGGAGUCUGGAUGAAGGACUUCAUAUCCGAUCUAGGUGUCAUACCUAGUGCAUCGGGUCCAAUGAAAAUCUUUUGUGACAAUACUGGUGCAAUUGCCUUGGCAAAGGAAUCUAGAUUUCACAAGAGAACCAAGCACAUCAAGAGACGCUUCAAUUCCAUCCGGAAUUUAGUCCAGGUGGGAGACAUAGAAAUUUGCAAGAUACAUACGGAUCUGAAUGUUGCAGACCCGUUGACUAAGCCUUUUCCACGAGCAAAACAUGAUCAUCACCAAGGCUCCAUGGGUGUUAGAAUCAUUACUGUGUAAUCUAGAUUAUUGACUCUAGUGCAAGUGGGAGACUGAAGGAAAUAUGCCCUAGAGGCAAUAAUAAAGUCAUUAUUUAUUUCCUUAUUUCAUGAUAAAUGUUUAUUAUUCAUGCUAGAAUUGUAUUAACCGGAAACAUAAUACAUGUGUGAAUACAUAGACAAACAGAGUGUCACUAGUAUGCCUCUACUUGACUAGCUCGGUGAUCAAAGAUGGUUAAGUUUCCUAACCAUAGACAUGAGUUGUCAUUUGAUUAACGGGAUCACAUCAUUAGGAGAAUGAUGUGAAUGACUUGACCCAUUCCGUUAGCUUAGCACUUGAUCGUUUAGUUUGUUGCUAUUGCUUUCUUCAUGACUUAUCACUAGUAGAAAAGGGGGCAACGGUCCAGGCCGGGUCAGCCCAUUAGUCCCGGUUCAGUCUAGAACCAGGACCCAUGGGGGCAUUGGACCCGGUUCGUGAGCCUAGGGGGCCGGCCGGGCCACGUGGGCCAUUGGUCCCGGUUCGUCUAGACCUUUUGGUCCCGGUUGGUGGGACGAACCGGGACCAAUGGCCUCGCUCCUGGCCCACCACCAUUGGUCCUGGUUGGUGGCUCGAACCGGGACCUAAGGCUCCCCUUUAGUCCCGGUUCAUGCCACCAACCAGGACCAAUGAGGUGCCUAUAUAUACCCCUUCGCGUAAGAGCAGAGCACACUGCUCUGUUUUUUUCUGACGGAGGGGGAGAGGGCUUGGUGGUGCUCUAGCUCACCUCCUAUGCACACAGGGUGUUCGAUGGAAUGCCCGAGCCACACUACUUAAGCUUUCUCCUCUCCAAACUCGACCUUCAAGCUCCAUUUUCCUCAAUAUUUGUCUAGGUUUAGCGGUCCGUCACGCCCCGUCCCCAUCUUCACCGCCGUCGAUCACCCGCGCCGAGCUCAUCGCCGACACCACCGUGGUGAGCCUCUUAUUCUUAUCUUCUUUUUGAAAGGAAAAAUAUUCUUACUUGUAUGUUUACAUAGAUACUUGUAUUAUUUUCUUACUUUUAUUAUCGCAUCUUAUAUAGUGCGAUGGUUUUGGUAUCCGCCUCCGUCGGCCCUCGUCCUGUCUAUGAUUCGGAUGUGGUAUAUAUAUUAUCUUUAUAACUAUUGGUUCAUUUAUUGUUUAUGAAAAUUAUGCCGACCAACGUGACAUAAAUUUUAUUUAUGUAGGAUGUAUGUGAAUCGGAAAUUCCAACCGACCCUAUUGUCGAGAGGUUAAAUUUAGUUGAAGAAGAAAACAAUUUGUUGAAGGAAAAAAUAAAAAAAAUUGAGGAGGAGAAGAUGAUAUUGGAGUUGCAUGUUGCGGAUGUCGUCGAUGAUCACAAGAUCAAGAUGGAUGCAAUGCGCUUGAAGAUUAGAAAGAUUAUAAAAUAUGCCAUUCAUACCGAGGCUUGGUAUCAUUAUGUCGUUGGAUCAAUUGUUACCUUGGUUGCGAUUAUGAUCACAUUUGUUUUCGCAUUGAAAGGUUUUACAUAGUUUCAAUGUAUGGUUUAAUUAAUUAGAUGCUCUGGAGAGCUAUAUGUUGUUAGAUGAGAACUAUGUAUGUACUUUGGUUUUAAUGUGAUGACGAACUUCUAUUAAUUUAGACACUUAAUUAUAUAUAACGCACGCAGAUGAACCGGAAAUGGAUGUACGGUGACAGACACACCUCCGAGUACAUUAAGGGCGUGCAUGAGUUUCUCGAUGCGGCUGAGGCAAAGAAGCAGAAUGGUUUUAUGUGUUGUCCAUGCACUGAAUAUGGGAAUACGAGGUCUUACUCUAACCGGAAAAUCAUUCACUCCCACCUGCUUUACAAGGGUUUCAUGCCACACUAUAAUGUUUGGACGAGGCACGGAGAAAUAGGGGUUAUGAUGGAAGACGGCGAAGAAUAAGAGUAUGAUGACAACUAUGUGCCCCCUGAAUACGGUGAUGCUGCAAUGAGGGGAGCUGGUGAAGAUCAAGAGGAACCAGACGAUGUGCCCAAUGAUGCUGCAACAGGUGAAGCUGCUGAAGAUCAAGAGGAACCAGACGAUGUGCCCGAUGAUGAUGAUCUCCGCCGGGUCAUUGUUGAUGCAAGGACGCAAUGCGAAAGUCAAAAGGAGAAGCUGAAGUUCGAUCGCAUGUUAGAGGAUCACAAAAAAGGGUUGUACCCCAAUUGUGAAGAUGGCAACACAAAGCUCGGUACCAUACUGGAAUUGCUGCAGUGGGAGGCAGAGAAUGUUGUGGCUGACAAAGGAUUUGAGAAGCUACUGAAAAUAUUGAAGAAGAAGCUUCCAAAGGAUAACGAAUUGCCCGACAGUACAUACACAGCAAAGAAGGUCGUAUGCCCUCUAGGAUUGGAGGUGGAGAAGAUACAUGCAUGCCCUAAUGACUGCAUCCUCUACCGCGGUGCAUACAAGGAUCUGAACGCAUGCCCGGCAUGUGAUGCAUUGCGGUAUAAGAUCAGACGAGAUGACCCUGGUGAUGUUGACGGCGAGCCCCCCAGGAAGAGGGUUCCUGCGAAGGUGAUGUGGUAUGCUCCUAUAAUACCACGGUUGAAACGUCUGUUCAGAAACGAAGAGCAUGCCAAGUUGAUGCGAUGGCACAGUGAGGACCGGAAGAAAGACGGGAAGUUGAGAGCACCCGCUGACGGGUCGCAGUGGAGAAAAAUCAAGAGAAACUACUGGGAUGAGUUUGCAAAGGACCCAAGGAACGUAUGGUUUGCUUUAAGCGCGGAUGGCAUUAAUCCUUUCGGGGAGCAGAGCAGCAAUCACAGCACCUGGCCCAUGACUCUAUGUAUGUAUAACCUUUCUCCUUGGAUGUGCAUGAAGCGGAAGUUCAUUAUGAUGCCAGUUCUCAUCCAAGGCCCUAAGCAACCCGACAAUGACAUUGAUGUGUACCUAUGGCCAUUAGUUGAAGAACUUUUACAGAUGUGGAAUGGAAACAGUGUACGUACGUGGGGUGAGCACAGACAGGAGGAAUUUAACCUAAAGGCGUUGCUGUUCAUGACCAUCAACGAUUGGCCCACUCUCAGUAACCUUUCAGGACAGACAAACAAAGGAUACCACGCAUGCACGCACUGUUUAGAUGACACUGAAAGUAUAUACCUGGACAAAUGCAGGAAGAAUGUGUACCUGGGCCAUCGUCGAUUUCUUCCGACCAACCAUCAAUGUCGAAAGAAAGGCAAGCAUUUCAAAGGCGAGGCAGAUCACUGGAAGAAGCCCGCCAUGCGUACCGGUGAUCACGUGCUUGCUAUGGUCAAUGAUUUACACGUAAUCUUUGGAAAGGGUCCCGGCGGACUAGCUUUUCUGAAUGACGCUGAGGGACACGCACCCAUGUGGAAGAAGAAAUCUAUAUUUUGGGACCUACCCUACUAGAAAGACCUAGAGGUCCUCUCUUCAAUCGACGUGAUGCACGUGAUGAAGAACCUUUGCGUGAACCUGCUAGGCUUCUUGGGCGUGUAUGGGAAGAUAAAAGAUACACCUGAGGCACGGGAGGACCUGCAACAUUUGCACGAAAAAGGCGACAUGCCUCCGAAGCAGUAUAAAGGUCCUUCCAGCUACGCUCUUACGAAAGAAGAGAAAGAAAUCUUCUUUGAAUACCUGCUCAGUACGAAGGUCACGACUGGCUUCUCGUUGAAUAUGAAGGGAAUAAUAAAUAUACCAGAGAAAAAGUUUCAGAACCUAAAGUCUCAUGACUGCCACGUGAUUAUGACGCAACUGCUUCCAGUUGCAUUGAGGGGGCUUCUACCGGAAAAUGUCCGAUUAGCCAUUGUGAAGCUAUGUGCAUUCCUCAAUGCAAUCUCUCAGAAGGUGAUCGAUCCAGAAAUCAUACCAAGGCUAAGGAGUGAUGUGGCGCAAUGUCUUGUCAGUUUUGAGCUGGUGUUCCCACCAUCCUUCUUCAAUAUCAUGACGCACAUCCUAGUUCAUCUAGUCGACGAGAUUGUCAUCCUGGGGCCCGUAUUUCUACACAAUAUGUUCCCCUUUGAGAGGUUCAUGGGAGUCCUAAAGAAAUAUGUCCGUAACCACGCUAGGCCAUAAGGAAGCAUCUCCAUGGGCCAUCAAACAGAGGAUGUUAUCGGGUUUUGUGUUGACUUCAUUCCUGGCCUUAAGAAGAUAGGUCUCCCUAAAUUGCGGUAUGAGGGGUGACUGACUGGAAAAGGCACUCUUGGAAGUGACUCAAUAAUAUGCAGGGACGGAUAUUCUUGGUCUCAAGCACACUACACAGUUCUACAGAACUCUACCUUGGUGACCCCGUAUGUCGAUGAACACAAGAACAGUCUGCGCUCCAAACACCCGGAGCAGUGCGACGACUGGAUUACAUGUGAACACAUCAGGACUUUCAGCAGUUGGUUGGAAACAUGUCUCAGAGGUGACAACACUGUUUGUGAUGAGCUGUACUUGUUGUCCAGGGGACCAUCUUUGACUGUAUUGACUUACAAAGGAUACGAGAUAAAUGGGAAUACAUUUUACACGAUUGCCCAAGAUCAAAAGAGCACCAACCAAAACAGCGGUGUCCGCUUUAAUGCAGCAAUCGAGAGCAGAAAGGACACAUAUUAUGGUUACAUAGUGGACAUAUGGGAACUUGACUACGGACAUGAUUUUAAGGUCCCUUUGUUUAAGUGCAAAUGGGUCAAUCUGUCAGGAGGCGGGGUACAGGUAGACCCACAGUACGGAAUGACAACAGUGGAUCUGAAAAAUCUUGGGUACACUGACGAACCGUUCGUCCUAGCCAAUGAUGUGGCACAUGUUAUCUAUGUGAAGGACAUGUCUACCAAACCGAGAAAAAGAAAAGAUAAUGAAGCAAAUACAUCAUACGAUGAGCCAAAGCGCCACAUAGUUCUUUCAGGAAAAAGGGAUAUCCUGGGAGUGGAGGGCAAGACAGACAUGUCUGAAGAUUAUGAAAAGUUUCAUGAAAUUCCUCCCUUCAAUGUCAAGGCUGACCCAAGCAUCCUGAUAAACGAUGAAGAUUAUCCAUGAUUACGGCGCAAUAAGCAAAUGACACAAGCGAAGAAAAAAUGAAGACUUUCUCCCGCAACUAUUAUGAUGAUACCAUGCCAACUUUGUAACACACGAGUAUGCUAUGCUAACUUUUUCAGAGUUCAUUUGAAAACUAUGAAUUUAUGUUGAAUUUUCUCUAUAGGUGCAUCUAUGUUUAUUUUUUAGUAAAGUUAAUCACAAACUUGUGAUUCACACAAAUUUCAAAGAAUUCAAAUUUUAACUAUUCAAAUUUGAAAACUAAUGACACUAACAGAAAGUUUAUAAUUUUUCUAAAACUAAUGGCACUAACAGAAAGUUUAUAAUUUUUCUGACCUAAAAGCAAAAAGAAUUAAAUAAUAAAGCAAAAAACAAAAGAAAAUAAAUAAUACAGAAAACAAAACAAAAAACUGGGAAAAAAAUAAAAAUAGCAACAAUAAGUAUUUUGUUGUAAGUAGAAACAAAAUAAAACAAANNNNNNNNNNNNNNNNNNNNNNNNNNNNNNNNNNNNNNNNNNNNNNNNNNNNNNNNNNNNNNNNNNNNNNNNNNNNNNNNNNNNNNNNNNNNNNNNNNNNNNNNNNNNNNNNNNNNNNNNNNNNNNNNNNNNNNNNNNNNNNNNNNNNNNNNNNNNNNNNNNNNNNNNNNNNNNNNNNNNNNNNNNNNNNNNNNNNNNNNNNNNNNNNNNNNNNNNNNNNNNNNNNNNNNNNNNNNNNNNNNNNNNNNNNNNNNNNNNNNNNNNNNNNNNNNNNNNNNNNNNNNNNNNNNNNNNNNNNNNNNNNNNNNNNNNNNNNNNNNNNNNNNNNNNNNNNNNNNNNNNNNNNNNNNNNNNNNNNNNNNNNNNNNNNNNNNNNNNNNNNNNNNNNNNNNNNNNNNNNNNNNNNNNNNNNNNNNNNNNNNNNNNNNNNNNNNNNNNNNNNNNNNNNNNNNNNNNNNNNNNNNNNNNNNNNNNNNNNNNNNNNNNNNNNNNNNNNNNNNNNNNNNNNNNNNNNNNNNNNNNNNNNNNNNNNNNNNNNNNNNNNNNNNNNNNNNNNNNNNNNNNNNNNNNNNNNNNNNNNNNNNNNNNNNNNNNNNNNNNNNNNNNNNNNNNNNNNNNNNNNNNNNNNNNNNNNNNNNNNNNNNNNNNNNNNNNNNNNNNNNNNNNNNNNNNNNNNNNNNNNNNNNNNNNNNNNNNNNNNNNNNNNNNNNNNNNNNNNNNNNNNNNNNNNNNNNNNNNNNNNNNNNNNNNNNNNNNNNNNNNNNNNNNNNNNNNNNNNNNNNNNNNNNNNNNNNNNNNNNNNNNNNNNNNNNNNNNNNNNNNNNNNNNNNNNNNNNNNNNNNNNNNNNNNNNNNNNNNNNNNNNNNNNNNNNNNNNNNNNNNNNNNNNNNNNNNNNNNNNNNNNNNNNNNNNNNNNNNNNNNNNNNNNNNNNNNNNNNNNNNNNNNNNNNNNNNNNNNNNNNNNNNNNNNNNNNNNNNNNNNNNNNNNNNNNNNNNNNNNNNNNNNNNNNNNNNNNNNNNNNNNNNNNNNNNNNNNNNNNNNNNNNNNNNNNNNNNNNNNNNNNNNNNNNNNNNNNNNNNNNNNNNNNNNNNNNNNNNNNNNNNNNNNNNNNNNNNNNNNNNNNNNNNNNNNNNNNNNNNNNNNNNNNNNNNNNNNNNNNNNNNNNNNNNNNNNCCCUGCCCUGACGCCAUCCUCGCCGCCGACCCCGCGCGCGCGGUCCUCUCCUCAGCUUGGUCCGGCCGCCGGCGCCCUCCCUUUGCAAUAUUUUUUCAUGCUUGUUUAUAUAUAUAUAUGUAAUGAUUUUUUUUAUAGAAUAUGAUGUUUUUUUCAUAGAUGAUCACAUAUAUGAUGUAUGCACGAAUGUGGAUGAAAUAUGAUGUUUUUUUGUUCAUAGAACAUGAUGUUUUUUUUAAUUCACAGAUUUUUUUUGUUCAUAAGAGAGGCGGGGACGUUGAGGGUUCAUAGAUGUAUUUUUCAGAAGUUUCUAACAUGCAUAGACGGAUUUUAGACCACGGGAGCACCCCCUCCCUAUCGUUGCAAAAUUUGCUAAGUGAUAUUAAGAAGGAAGGAAAAGAAGGAUAGGAAAGAAAGAAAAUAAGAAGAGGAAAGAAAGAAGAAGAGGAGAGGAAGAAGAGGAGAAAUAAGUAAGAAGAAGAAAAAAUAAGAAAAAGAAGAGGAGAAGAAGAAAGCAAUAGAGGAGAAGAAGAAAAAAUAGAUAUUCUAUUUUUUCUUUUUCUCCUCUAUUGCUUUCUUCUUCUCCUCUUUUUUUUCUUCGAUCUUCUCCUCUAGCUAUUCCUUUCUUCUUCUCCUCUUUUUAUUUUUCUUUGUUUUCUUAUGUCUUAUUGUGUAUAUUGCUUCUUUGUGUAUAUUAUGUAUAUAUAUUGUGUAUAUUGCUUCUUUUCCGAUUUUUUUUUCAUAUAUAUGUUUGUAUUUUGUAUUUUAUCAGGUCUGUCGUCGUCGAUAUACCCCUCCCGAUAACUUCAACACGAGGGGGGUCGAUAUACCCUAAAUAGCAAGUAUCGUCGGUGUGAGAUACAUGUGGCCGUCGGUGUCAGACACUACAUCCACGUCCCACAAGUGACGCGGGCUUCGACGCCCACGUCACUUGUGGGACGUGGAUGUAGUGUCCNNNNNNNNNNNNNNNNNNNNNNNNNNNNNNNNNNNNNNNNNNNNNNNNNNNNNNNNNNNNNNNNNNNNNNNNNNNNNNNNNNNNNNNNNNNNNNNNNNNNNNNNNNNNNNNNNNNNNNNNNNNNNNNNNNNNNNNNNNNNNNNNNNNNNNNNNNNNNNNNNNNNNNNNNNNNNNNNNNNNNNNNNNNNNNNNNNNNNNNNNNNNNNNNNNNNNNNNNNNNNNNNNNNNNNNNNNNNNNNNNNNNNNNNNNNNNNNNNNNNNNNNNNNNNNNNNNNNNNNNNNNNNNNNNNNNNNNNNNNNNNNNNNNNNNNNNNNNNNNNNNNNNNNNNNNNNNNNNNNNNNNNNNNNNNNNNNNNNNNNNNNNNNNNNNNNNNNNNNNNNNNNNNNNNNNNNNNNNNNNNNNNNNNNNNNNNNNNNNNNNNNNNNNNNNNNNNNNNNNNNNNNNNNNNNNNNNNNNNNNNNNNNNNNNNNNNNNNNNNNNNNNNNNNNNNNNNNNNNNNNNNNNNNNNNNNNNNNNNNNNNNNNNNNNNNNNNNNNNNNNNNNNNNNNNNNNNNNNNNNNNNNNNNNNNNNNNNNNNNNNNNNNNNNNNNNNNNNNNNNNNNNNNNNNNNNNNNNNNNNNNNNNNNNNNNNNNNNNNNNNNNNNNNNNNNNNNNNNNNNNNNNNNNNNNNNNNNNNNNNNNNNNNNNNNNNNNNNNNNNNNNNNNNNNNNNNNNNNNNNNNNNNNNNNNNNNNNNNNNNNNNNNNNNNNNNNNNNNNNNNNNNNAUCGUCAGUGUGAGAUACAUGUGGCCGUCGGAGCCCGUGUUACUUGCUAUUUAGGGUUUCCUCUACCGCUCGGCGACCCUCGACGACCCUCGUUCCCGAUAAAAAAAAGAGAAAGAAGAAGAAAAAAAGAGGAGAAGAAAGAAUAGAGGAGUUCUUACUCCUCUAUUCUUUCUUCUCCUCUUUUUUUUCUUCUUCCUCUUCUUUUUUUAUCCUUGAAGCGUUGUCGAGGCCACCCCAAACCCUAGAGAAGCAGCGUCGAGGCCACCCCAAACCCUAGAGAAGGAGCGUCGAGGCCACUAAUUAAUAUUAGUUCUACGUUUGCCACUAACAUAUCCAUCUGUCAUGUUUGAAUAAUAAUUGCCAUGUUGUAAAUAUUUGUAGAAACUAUGGACACCGCCCGAGACGAAGUACAAGAAGAGUUGUUGGGGGACAUAAUCGCACGACGAAGUGAUGCCGUCUGCUCAUUGUUUCUCAACGACACCGAUGGUCUGGAAGCAGCUGGCUAUGAUUAUGAUGGCUCCGGUGACAUAAUGCCGGUGCAAGAAGGAGACCGUGAGGAUGGCUCCGGUGACCCAAUGCCGGUGCGAGAAGGAGACCGUGAUGACGUCUCCGGUGACCAAACCGAGUCCGGCCAUAUAUAUAUAUAUUAGUUAAGCUUGUGCUGACUAGCUAAUUGAUGCAUUCAUUGUUUUGGUAUGUACACAUAUUAAUUAAGUCUUUGUUCUUUUUUCUAGCCCUCCGGAUCGAGCACAACUUCGGUAAAGAGACGAGGCCCGAAGAAAAAGUUGAUCUCGGAUGAAAAGUUUGAGAUCAUAGCAAUCGCGCCCGACGGCCAACCGAUUGAACCCCUCCGGACAAAGAGCGCAUUUGUUGCUCAGUGCGGGGUUCUGGUUAGGGACAAGAUCCCGAUCAGCAUCCAGCAAUGGUUAAAGCCGGCUACAGAAGACCCUAAGGUGUCUUAUGUCAAUGAUAUGCAGAAAAAUGAUCUUUGGACUGAGCUGAAGUCAAAUUUCACCCUACCGCGAGAGGAUGAUCCGGAGAAGCCAGUUAAAGAGCAAUUAAUCAAGUCUUUUGCUCUUAAGAGGAUGGCAGAACUAUUCAGGAGGUGGAAGAAAGAGAUGAAUAAGUUUGUCAAAAAUAAAGAGACACUAGAAUUCAAGGGCAGAUAUGAGAAGAUCAGAGAUCACUGGCCCGCAUUUGUGGCCCACAAGACAUCAGAAAAGAGUAAGAAGAUGUCGGCGACAAACAAGCAAAAUGCUGUGAAGAAGAAGCAUCACCAUCGCACGGGGUGAGGUGGCUACCUCGUAGCCCGGCCUAAGUGGGCCAAGACUAAGAAUGAUCUGGUUGAUAAAGGGAUCGAACCAGAGACAAUUAACUGGCCAGACCGUUGCCGGACUUGGUUCUUUGGGGUUGGCGGAACCUUGGACCCUGUAUCAGGAAAGUGCAUUUGGACGAACGAUUAAAUGGACAUACCAGUCAAGAAGCUUGAGUAGUAUAUCGGAGCAGCGCAGCAAGGGACGUUCGUUCCAGACAGAGAGAACGACGAGCUCACAAUGGCCCUCGGGAAUCUUGAGCACCCUGGACGGACACGAGGCACGCCAGGCUCCAUUCCGUGGAAGGUUGGGUUUCCGGACGCAGGCGGUUACAAAUGCCACGAGAGGAGGAAGAAAGUGGAGUAGACCCAACUACAGGCGCUGCACGCUAGGGUACAAGCGAUAGAGGAACGAGAAGCAAAUCACAGCAAACGAACUGCCGAAGCUUCCCCCGAAGCUACCCCGUCAUCUCAGCGGAGAAGCAGCGUGGCUUCCACCGAGCUGCUUCAGCCGGAGCAUGUCUUGACAGAUCCAGCCAGCUAUCCCGUGGAUGCUACCACGGAGUCUCAAAAUUGCCACCUUAUGAUGCAAUGGAUUAAUAUGAAGGUCAAGGCGGCUGUUGGCUCUGUUUUUCCUACUGAACCCGACGCAACUUUUCACUGCCGGCCAAUUCCAGAAGGAUAUGCUAGGGUGAUGGUGGAUGAAAUAAUGGAGGGAUUUGAGGACCUCCAGCUUGACCACCCUACCGGUGAAGGGAGACUCGGCUGGGUUCUGCUCUGAAGACUCCAUGCCUAUGGCGGAAGGAGCUCAUCAACCUUCCGAAUUGGACGCCUCCGCCUCCUCCUCCUCCUCCGGCGAGUCAGGGCACUCCGCCUCCUCCACCGCCUCCUCCUCCGGCGAGUGACGAUUAGGGCACUCGACCGGCUCCUUCUCCGGUGCAUGGCGGCACUCCGCCUCCUUCUCCGCCUGCGCCGGCAUGCCCAAGCAGCCAGCCUCCUCCUUCUCCGCCUCGUCAGCAAGGGCAGAAGAGACCUGCCGCCGCUCCGGCUGCUCCGGCGCGUCAUAGUCCUUCUCCUCCGCCUCGUAAGAAAGUAAAGAAGAAAACCGCUCCGUCUGCUCUGCCGGCGUCUAGCAGUACAGCCAGAGGCGGGAGGACAUACAAAUUCAGUCCUAGCGACAUCGACGCUAAUGAUCCGAGGAUGGUGCCCGGUUAUAGCAAUCUUGGAGAUUACCUGCCCGACGAUGUACAUUAUGAUUUCAUGGAGGUGCAGAUACAAAGAUACGAGUACGGGAAGCCUCUCGUCAAAGAUGAAAGAUCUCUAUCAAUGAUGAUGCGAAGAUUGCAUGAUUGGUACUUGAAAAUCUGUAGAGAGUCUGGGGGAGGAGUACUUUGUAUGUGAGAGUUAAAAAGGAGCAUGACCUUGUUGGAAUUGUACUGCUGCAUGUUCCAUUUGAGGAGUUCUUUCAGUUUUUCAAUCAAUUGGCCCUCGAUAAAGCAACGGUCACCUACUACCGUCUAUAAGUAGUACUACUUCUGUCAUAAAGUCUCUCUAUAUAGCUCAGCUCUUUCAUUGCAUGUAUUUAUAAUUAUCCUCACUAUAUUAUGCAGAUUGAAGAUCGCCGAAUUGAAGAAAAGACAAAUCGGUGAUAUUGGGUUCAUUAACACAAAUCUCAUAGAUGCAACUCAGGUUAAAUUUCAUACCGCAGAUACCGAGGCCAACUUGCUACGAUCGUUGGUAAUAAAUGAAAACAAAGAUAUAAUACUCUUUCCUUACAACUUCAAGUGAGUGUUACUGUCUUGUGCAUAUUCAGUUUCCCUUAUAUAUUAGUCAAGGUUAUAGUAAUGUAAUUGAUGAGUUAUGCAUGCGUGUGCAGUUUCCACUAUAUUCUCCUAGAGAUUAAGCUUGAGCAGGGACUAGUAACCGUCUUAGACUCAAGAUGAAAAGAUCCCUAGGACUAUGCGGACAUGACUCAAAUGCUCGAGAAGUAAUCUAAAUCGAUCAUUAUCCACCAUAUCAGCAACUUUGUUCAUUUCCUGAUAUAUCAAGUAAUUGUUUUCUUGGUCUGGCAGGGUUUGGAAAAAAAUCACCAAAAAAGCUCCGGGACUCCCGAAGAAGCUGCAAUUUAGACACCCGAAAGUAAGUACUAUAGUAGCAUGUUCCGCGCAUCUCCUAUUGAUUCAAGAGCUAGUUUCAUCAAUACCAUUUGGCAUUCUUGCUUAUCAGUUUGAUUGACCUCUAUUUCUUGUAAAGUGGUUGUGGCAGGAACAAGGGAAUGAUUUCUAUGGAUACUAUGUUUGCGAGUCCAUCCGCCACAUGACCUGUGAGCGGGGCUACUCUGACGAACAAUAUGAAGUACGUAAAUAACAACAUUCACAAUUUUAUUUUAUUACCAUCAUUUGUGUUGAGUUUCAUUCAUUCAUAUAUAUAUAUAUGUAUUGACCUCCUUCUUCAAAUUAGAUGUUUCAGAAGCGGGAUGAACUCCUAGCACCAGCUCGCAUGCGAACAAUUCAAGAGGAAUUGGCGGCAUUCUUUCUUGACCACGUGAUCGCUGAAGACGGAGAAUACUAUGUGGACCAUGUGUCCGUAUGUUAGGCGAUUAUAUUUGUAAGAGAUAAUUGUUGUAUAUAUGUAGCCGGUAGUGUCGGAUAGAUAUAUGAGAACUUGUUGUUCGACCAAUCUCUCGGAGAAGGAGAGGUGGUCGAUACCACUUCUCUCUGUAUGCAUAUAUGUUCAUGACGAUCUUCCGUUUCCUUCGUUUGCUUACUAGCUAGCUAGCGUGUCUAGUCCUCUCUAUACGUAUGUAUAGUACGUAGCAUCGACCAAGAACGGACAUAAGAGAGGACACUUCUCUCUAUUAAUUAUAACUAGCUAACACAAUAUAUGAAACACCUAAAUUAACCCCCCAAAACCCCCCAACCCCCCCCCCCUUUCAAAAAAAAAACAAAAACCCCAGCCACAGAAAUGCUGACGCGUGGAUGCCUAUUGGUCCCGAUUGGUGCCACCAACCGGGACAAAAGGCCCUCCUGCCUGCGCUCCGCGCACAGGCCACGUGGAGGCUGAAAGUGCUAGUGAUCGACUAGGGGGGAGGGUGAAUAGGCGAUUUUUAUGAAAGUCUUCAAAACAUGUAAGUUUCGAAGACAAACGAUAGAAAUAAACCUAUUAUCAUGCAGCGGAAGGUAGACUACACUAGACAAACCAUAGUCACGUAUUCAAUGAAGUGAAAGCACAAUGACUAAUAGCAGCUAGGCAGUAAGGAUCAGGUAGGAAGAUAUUGUGAAGCCAAUCAGAACAAGUAAUCACUCAGUGAAGUCAAAUGUUGAUGCUAACGUACAAUGACUUCACAAGAACCAACAGUAAGUAAAGGGAAGGGAAGGAUGAAACCAGUGACUUGUUGAAGACAAUGAUUUGUUGGACCAGUUCUAGUUGCUGUGACAACUGUACAUCUGGUUAGGGAGGCUGAGAUUCAACUCAGAAGACCUCGUCUUCACCUUAUUCCUCUUGAGCUAAGGAAACCCAGUCCUCGCCCAAUCACUCUGGUAAGUCUUCAAGGUAGACUUCCAAACCUUCACAGACUUCGUUCACCGGCGAUCCACAAUGACUCUUGGAUGCUCAGAACGCGACGCCUAACCGGCUAGAGGAUUCACAGUCCUCAAGUGUAAUAAGUCUUCAGAUCACACAGACAAGAAGACUUAAGUGAUGCCUAACACUCUUUGGCUCUGGGUGGUUAGGGCUUUAUUUUCUCAAGGAAUUCUCUCUCAAAGGCUUCGAGGUGGGUUGCUCUCAAACGACAAAAGCCGUACUUUAACUCUGAGCAGCCAACCGUUCAUGGUUGUAGGGGGUGGGCUAUUUAUAGCCACUAGGCAACCCGACCUGAUUUGUCCGAAAUGACCCUGGGUCACUAAGGAACUGACACGUGUUCCAACGGUCAGAUUUCAAACACACACGACAACUUUACUUGGGCUACAAGCAAAGCUGACUUGUCCAACUCUGAACAAGAUUCGCUCUCAUAGUCUUCACUCGAAGACAUAGGAUUUUGGUUAAGCAUCACUUCAGUCAUUCUGACUGGUUCUCUUGGACCCCACUUAACAGUAUGGUGGUUCCUAUGACUCAACAAAGAAGAAAAAGAACUACAAAAGAUCUAAGUCUUCGCGCUCCAUAGUCUUCAUGCGAUGUCUUCUCUUGUCAUAGUCUUCAAUGUGAAUGUCUUCACAUACCACCUUUGACUUCAAUGUCUUCAUACAUUUUAGGGGUCAUCUCUGGUAGGAAAACGAAUCAAUGAGGGACUUCUACCUGUGUUAUCCUGCAAUUCUCACAAACACAUUAGUCCCUCAACUAGGUUUGUCGUCAAUACUCCAAAACCAACUAGGGGUGGGACUAGAUGCACUUACAAUCUCCCCCUUUUUGGUGAUUAAUGACAAACUAGUUGAAGUUUUCAACAGGGAAUAUAAUAUGUGAACUUUGUAAAGGAUAAGGAAUUGUCUUCAUAAGUUGCAAGGGCUCCCCCUAAAGAUGUGCAUACAAGUAAUUUGCUUUUGGAAUGCAAAUGCACAUGGCAGGUUGUACUCGUGGAGAUCUUCUUCAACUUAUGAUGACAAUUCAUCAUGCAUGAAAAGUAUGUGAAGAUAAUGACAUGCAUAAUGAAAAAUGGAUGUCUGCAAAAUGAUCUAAGUGUGGAAUUUAUCGUCGCACAUGCGGAAUUUAUCAUCACAUCACAGAAUAACAAAUAAGUAGCAGACGACCAUCGACUUUAAGUGUUACAACUCAAAGAACCAAAUGUAUCAAAAUGAGAGUUGUAAACACUAGGCAAAACAUAAAGUAACCGCCCACAUGGACCCGCUUGAAGACUAUCAAACUCAUAUGCUUCUCCCCCUUUUGUCAGGAAGGACCAAAAAGGUUUUAAGACAUAGAGCAUCUACUCGUUCCCAUGAAGAGUAGGUGAAGCAGCAAGGUCAUCGGUGGUGUUCGGCGGUGCAGAAGAACUUGGGGUAGUGUCGAUGCGUGCAGAAGUAGGGGGCGGUGAAGUAGCAUCGUCUUCGUCCUCGAUUAGAACUCAGAGUCUUCAAGAGAUGGAGUUUGUCACAGCACAGUCCUUCGGGGAGGUGUGGAGUCAAACUUGAAACGUACAGAGAAGCCAUCCUCUUGAAGAUCAUCCUCAGAACACAUAAGCGUCAGCCCUUUCCAUGUACGCCGACAGGUUUCAUGGGCAACAAAGGCAUUCUUGGUGGCAAGAUUGCGAAUGCGGUUGACAUCCACCAAGAGGCUUUGCAUUUGGCGCUUCAGCCAGUCAUGAUGCCUAUCCUGUUUCUGAUGAAGGGCAACCAGAAGCUCUCGGUCAUUGAGAACACGAGAUCGCUUCUUGGGCCAUUGGGCAAUAGUUCUUUCAGUGGCUUCAGUGAGGGCAUGAUGAGGUGCACGUGUAGUACCAGCCAGAGGAUAGACACGAGUGACUGCUUCAACUCCUUCAAUGUUCUGAGAGAAACUUUGAUGCUCAACAUUUUGAUGACUAAGAGGCUCCUUGGCAGGCUCUGGAUAGAUGGCUUCAACGGACAUAUCCACGUCGGGCGGAAAGAUCCGAUGAUUGCAAGCAGAGGGCUGAUAUGAGAUAGGUGAGUGGAGUUUGAUCAGCCGCAUUAUCCAUGGAGCGUAGAACUUCAAGCCAAAAAGAUCAGAUCUAGAUGCAGCAAGUUGGCGGAUGAAGAAGUCUUGUGCAUUGAAGCAUUUGCCAUGAAGAAUAUAGAAGACCAAAGUCUUCAUUGCCCCUUCCAGCUUUGCAUGUGGAGACUGUCCUUUGAUGGGCCAGAGAGUUCGCCUUAUAAUGUGAUAGAUAGUGCGUGGUAGAUACGCAAGGUCUUCAACAAAGAACUCCUUAGGAUAUGCAGCAUCUGGAGGCAAAGGCUUCAUCAUACUAAGCAUCUGACUCAUGUUCUGUUCAGGCUUCUGAAAGAUGCUCUCCAUAGCUUCACUGUGAAGCUAGCAGCCAGGUUCAUAGAGAUCUCCAGGAGUGGGCAGACCAGUGAGCUCAAUGAUAUCAAAGGCUUUGGCUUCGUGAUGAACAUUUCCGGUCAUCCACUCAAGGACCCAAGUCUUCGGAUCUCUGUUGUAGCCAUGUAUGUGAAGAGUGGCAUAAAAUUGGAGCAGCAACUCUUCAUUCCAGUGCUCUUGGUCGGUGACGAAAGGCAACAAGCCAGCCUCUUUGAAGCAAUCCAGAGCUUCUUCCAAGCAGGGCAGUCCAGUUAUUGCUUCGGUGUCAAGACGCAUAUGAGGGAAGAUGCGACCUUGAUUGUACAGAAUGCAUGAGUAAUAACUUCGCUGCGGAUAGCUCCAGAACCGAUCAGAAGAUAUUCUUUCCCUUGAGUAGGGGUUCUUGAAGCUAUUGAAGAAGGUGUUGUCUGCUUUGAACCCGUUGACAUUAAAGGAUCCAGGUGCUGUGCAGGACCUGGAAACCUGGGCAAGCUUUGCAUCGGCUUCUGUACCUGAGGCCUGUGCCCAACAUGAUAGUCAAACUGAGGACCAGCAGCAGGCGCAGGAACAGGAGCAGUAGCAUCAUUUGCUUCACUGACUUCUGGCUCAUUGGUUGGUGUAGGCUCCACAUUUGCUUCAGCCAUGACAACGUCAUUGGCUUCAUUUGUGUUGGUGGUGGCAGCCUCAAGAUUUUCUACCUCCAAUUUAUGAGCUAGAGGGUCGGGCACAGACACGUUCUCCUCGAGAACAGGUUUUUCAGUAAUGGGGGGAGUAGGGACACGUUCUUCUUCUUGAGUGUCAUCGGCUGAUGCAGUCGGAAUGUCUUCAGCAGCUUUAGCCUCAGAUUCAGACACAUUCAUAGUAGGAGUGGCAUCUGGAAACACUUGACGUGCAACAGAGUGGUGGGGCACUUCUCCUUCUGGAACGCUCGAGAGAGGGACUUGAGACCUUGGUCCUUUGUGAAGCCUGCGUAAUGCUGGCGACGCCUUUGGAGAUUGAGUUGGCUGGGCCUCAAAGUCAUCUUCUUCUUCUUGUCGAGGUAGUGUGACUUGUUGUUGUGGGUGAUUAGCCCAUGAUGCAUCCUGAGCAAUUGGCGUCAGAGGACGACCAAUGCUGAUGAGUUCACUAUGCGUAAGCACAGGCGAUGAUACCUGUUGGUGCUCGAUCUGAGGAAGAACUACAUCAUCUUCAACAUUGUCAUGAUGACCAAUGUCUUCAGCAGCGGUGGGAUCAACUGCUGGAAUAUCUUCAGCUAUAUGAGCUCUGUGGAAGCAGGCUCAUGGAAAAUCAGUUGGUGCUCUUGGUGUGUAGAUGCAGGGUGAACCAUUGAGAUAGAUUCAACAACUAAGGGCUCUGUGGGAGCAGCCCGAUCCUUCUUGGUCUUCCGCUUCUUCUUGGAGGGAGAAGCAUCAGAGGCUUCAGGAUGUUUCCUCUUUCUGGCUUCAGCCUCAGCAGUCCUUGUCUUCUUCAGUUCUGAAGCGGUUGACCUGACCUUUGGCUUCGAGCCAGUCAUGCUGGCUGGGAAGACAAUGAGAUGUGCUUCCUGCCUUGGUGCGUCGGGCUCGGCCACAGCGGGCUUCUUCUUCUUCUUUGUAGCCAUCCUGGGAUCGAUGCCAAGACGCCCAAGGGCCUUGCGCUUCUCAGCCUCAUUGUAGACUUGCACACACUUGUCAGCCAGGCUCUUCAUGCGCUCAUGAGAGCCUUAAGCUUCUUCACGCUUCUUGAGAUAGGCUUCUUUGAGCUCGUGCAGCAUGAUCUUGAAGUUCUUGACCUCUUGCAUGCUGAGCUUGGCCAUAUGCUUCUUAAACUGAGCUUUCUCAAAGUCGAUCUUUUGUUUCAGUUCAACGAUGCGCUGAGCUAGAGCUAGCUCUGAAGCAAUGUCGCCAUGGAAGGCGACACUGAGGCCAAUUGGAAGUUGUAGAUCUUCAAAGCUGAGGUUGGGCGUGUCAAACCACUCAUCAAUGAAGUUGUGGAUGAUUGCCACGUCAAAGAGAGGCAAAUCAUUGAAGAUUUCUCCUUCUUCUUUGCUCUUGAUCAGUUGCUCAAGAGCGUCAUCUGCAAGAUCUUCAUCGCUGGACAGAUCAAUGGCGUCGUUGCGCAGAAUAGCAGCAGCAGUCAGUUCUUGGCUGGUGUGUUGCAAAGGCAUCUUUACUCUUGAGGGCUUGGAGAUGCGUGACAAAUCUUCAGACUGCACACUAUCUUCAGGAGGUGCAGUAGCCAGUGGCUUCGCUCGUGAGAUUUUUGGUGCUGAGGCAGGCAUUGAAGCUUUAGGCUUCUUCAGUUUCUUUGGCUUCGGCGGGGCAGGCGCUUCAUCAGAUUCAACGUCAUCUGCAGGCUCAUCCACAACUGUCCCUUGAACCUUGAUAUGGGUGAUGAGACCUUCCAGGUUGUAGAAGGGCCCAACAAGAUUGGGUUCAGCUUCGCGGGUGCCAUCGGCACGGGGAGCAGAAGGGCCAGGGUUGAAGUCAAGUCCCCAUGACUUCUUGUUUUGCUUGCCCAAAUUCUUGGCAAACUGGAAGUUGCGCUUGAACAGAUUGUCGUCACGACACCAUAGACGAUGGGUGUGCAUCUGCAGGCUGUGGUCCACGGACCAUGCAGGGAUAGAAGCCUUGUUCAAUGGCUUCAUCUCUGGACCUGGGUUGAAGAUUUUUGUAUAGGAUGUCUCCCCAAGGUCGCUUGAUGGCAUUUUUCUCAGCAUAUUCCUGGGUCAUAAACUGGUAUUUGAACCAUUGUUCUGCCCAAUAUCUUCGAAUCCAUUGGAUUCGGGUCUUGCGCUGAUUGUAAUCCUCUUCAGGAUCUGUCUUGUAAAGCUCUGAGAGGUCAUCAGGCAAAUCUCUUGACGUUCCCCCACGACGCUGUCUGCCACCCUUCCUUACUGAUUUCUCUGCAGCCAUGAACUUCAAACUGAAUGGCUUCAACACGUUCAAAGGCUUUCGCUUGCUUGACAAACAGGAACUGGCUUCGGGAGAAUUUAUAUGAUACUGUAAGAAUUCUGCAAAUGAAUGCAGACUAUGAGAACCAAGGGAUUCUCCCACGGACAUGUACGUGUGACAACAUUAAGGUUCGAGGGAAGGGGAAGAGGUCAUAUGCAUUCUCAGAAGAUUUUAAAGAUAAAUCAGUUUAGAAGACAUUGACCUCAUCGUGCGAAGACAUUCACUCAUAGAUAAGGAGUUGGUUCCAGAUUUGUACGAAUCCACGGAUCAGUACAAGUGAGGAAUCUAACUACUUUGUGAAGCAUAAGUGAACAUACUAGGCAUAUUAUGAGAUGCAGUAUGAAAUAGAUCCAACUUGUGUGAACUAAAACUUCUUAUGGUAGAAAGUGAUGAAUCUAUAGGAUCAAAGGGGCUGUAAAAAGGAAGUUUUAUUUGCCACACAAAGAACUGCUAGACGGAGUGGAAGAGGAGGCCAAGCAGUUCGAUCGUCCGUGCCCUAACUUAGCGACGAAGGACACCUACGGCGACGACGGAGAAGACGAUGUCCGCGGCCGGCGUGAAGACGGCGUUAGAGAGGUUGCGGCAGCUAAGCGCUUCGUCGCCGGCGUCGACGAGGGCUAGCGGUGGCGCUAGGGUUCGUGCGAGAGUGGAAGAAAGGAUAAUGACUAUGGUGAGGUGUGUAUUUAUAGGGACAGGGACGGCACAGUGUUAUUACACAGGUGCCCCUGGCGAUCCACAUCUGAAGGACACGUGGCCAUCAUGCAACAUAUCGGAGGUUGUUCCACGUUCCCACGCACACCUGGAUUGUCGGGUGGUCAUUCCCACUUCUUCGGGUUUCAGGUGAAUGAAUUAGCAUUGAAAGCAGACUUAAUGUUUGUCUCUAUAUCUUCUGCUGACAAGGAUGCAGAGAAGACAUUUGACAGUUUCAAGAGAAUGCAUAUGAUUUGAGAUAUAGAGUUUGAGAUAGAAAGCAUAGAGAGGUUAGGGUCCGAUCAUAUUCACUUAGUUCAAAAGAUUCAACAAGAAGACAUAGCUAUAAGUGAAUGAUGUAGAGGACAGAACACUAGUAUAUAUAUAUAUAUAUAAUCAACAUAGUGAAGAUAAUCAUGAAGACAUGUUGAGAUUGAAGCCAAACCAAAUGUGAAGACAUAGCAAAUGCAACGCAUGGGUGAAACACUUCAAACAGAAGAAUUUGGUGGUGGCGUUACCCACCGUAUAGGAAGUAUUAGACCCAGACACGACGCACAAUUAUCGUGGCGCUCUGAAGUCAAAUUCCACAUUAAUGUAUUCACACUUAGAAUGUAUGUCUUCAUUGAUUGAAGAUAUACUUUAUUUCGUGUGUUGCACAUCUAAGUCAUCAAUAUGCAUAAGUGUUAGGAUGUGUGCCUGAUCACAGGACAUUUGAGGAUUCCAGGAUAUUUAGCUCACACCGUAACUUGCAAAAUCUCUUCUCAUCCAAGGGCUUGGUGAAGAUAUCUGCCAAUUGCUCUUCAGUGUUGACGUGUAUGAUAUCAAUAUAUUCCUUCACAACAUGAUCUCUGAGAAAGUGAUGAUGAAUUUCAAUGUGCUUUGUCUUCGAGUGCUGAACUGGGUUGUUGGCGAUCUUGAUGGCGCUUUCGUUGUCGCAGUAGAGUGGCACUUGCUUCAGAUGAAUGCCAUAGUCUUUGAGUGUUUGCUUCAUCCACAGAAACUGAGCGCAGCAAGAUCCAGCAGCAAUGUAUUCAGAUUCAGCAGUGGAGAGAGAUACAUAGUCCGCUUCUUUGAAGACCAACAUACAAGUGAUCGUCCCAGAAAAUGACAUGUGCCUGAUGUAGACUUGCGAUCCACCUUGUCACCAGCAUAAUCAGCAUCCUAGAAUCCAACCAGAUCAAACUCUGAGCCCUUUGGAUACCAUAAUCCUAGUGUUGGGGUGUAAGCCAAAUAUCGAAGAAUUCGCUUCACAGCUAAGUGAUGCGAUUCCUUUGGUGCCGCUUGGAAUCGAGCACACAUGCAAACACUAAGCAUAAUAUUUGGCCUAGAUGCACAUAGAUAAAGUAAAGAACCAAUCAUGGAGCGGUAUACCUUUUGAUCGAACUCUUUACCAUUGUCGUCGGGACCCAGAUGAUGUUUGGCUGGCAUUGGCGUCGUGAAGCCUUUGCAGUCUUGCAUACCAAAUUUCUUUAGGCAAUCUUUGAGGUACUUCUCUUGAGAUAUAAAGAUGCCGUUGCGUUGCUAACGUAUUUGAAGACCAAGGAAGAACUUCAGCUCACCCAUCAUGGACAUCUGAUAUUGCUCUUGCAUCAUAUAUCCAAACUCUUCACUGUAUUUCUGAUUGGUGCAGCCGAAGAUAAUGUCAUCCACAUAUAUUUGGCACACAAACAGUUCACCAUCAUAUGUCUUCGUGAAGAGAGUGGGGUCGAGGGAACCAAAUUUGAAGCCUUUGCUCUUCAGGAAGUCUUUGAGUGUGUCAUACCAAGCCCGAGGGGCUUGUUUCAGGCCAUACAGUGCCUUGUUGAGCUUGUACACCAUGUCAGGAUGUUUUGGAUCUUCAAAGCCAGGCGGUUGUGCAACAUAUACUUCUUCUUCAAUCUUGCCAUUGAGAAAAGCGCUCUUCACAUCCAUUUGAUAUAGAAGUAUGUUAUGAUGAUUUGCAUAGGCCAGCAGUAUAUGUAUGGCUUCAAGUCUAGCCACAGGAGCAAAUGUUUCAUCGAAGUCAAUCCCUUCAACUUGAGUGUAUCCUUGAGCAACGAGACGAGCUUUGUUUCUGACAACUUGACCAUGCUCAUCUUGCUUGUUGCGAUAUAUCCAUUUGGUGCCUAUUAUAUUGUGCUUGCGAGGAUCAGGACGCUUAACCAGUUCCCAUACAUUAUUCAGCUCAAACUGUUGAAGCUCUUCUUGCAUAGCUUGAAUCCAUUCAGGUUCCAUGAAGGCUUCUUCAACUUUCUUGGGUUCAGUUAUUGAGACUAAUGCGAAGUGCCCACAGAAAUUUGCUAGCUGUGUUGCCCUUGAAUGAGUGAGUGGACCUGGUGCAUUGAUGCUAUCAAUUAUUCUCUCAAUCUGCACUUCAUUUGCAACACGAGGAUGUAUAGGACGAAGAUUUUGCUCUUGCUGAUCAUUGUCAUUGUUAGAGGGAUUGUCUUCAGGCUGAGCAUUGUCUUCAGGUUGAUCAGGUGCAGAGAUGAUAAGUUCCUCUUCAGGUUGAGCUUCAGAAGGUAUGAUUUCUCCAGUUCCCAUAAGUUUGAUUGAUUCACUGGAUGGAACUUCAUCUAGCACAUUUGGCAGGUGCUCUCUUUGUGAGCCGUUAGUCUCAUCGAACCGCACAUCCACUGUUUCAACCACUUUAUAAUGAAAGAGGUUGAAAACUCUGUAGGAGUGCGAAUCCUUUCCAUAUCCAAGCAUAAAACCCUCAUGUGCUUUUGGUGCAAAUUUUGAAGUGUGAUGUGGAUCCUUGAUCCAGCACCUGGCGCCAAAUACUCUGAAGUAACUGACAUUUGGCUUCUUGCCAGUAAGGAGCUCAUAGGAUGUCUUGUUCAGAAGCUUGUGAAGAUAAACACGGUUGAUGAUAUGGCAUGUAGUGUCAAUGGCUUCAGGCCAGAAUUUUCUCGGAGUCUUGUAUUCAUCAAGCAUCGUCCGAGCCAUCUCAAUAAGUGUUUUGUUCUUGCCUUCGACGACGCCAUUCUGCUGUGGCGUGUACGGAGCUGAGAAUUCAUGUGUGAUGCCUAAGGUAUCAAGAUAUGUAUCUAGGCCAGUGUUUUUGAAUUCAGUGCCAUUAUCACUUCUGAUGUGCUUUAUCUUGGCGCCAAGGUUGUUCAUUGCUCGAUUGGCGAAGCGUCUGAAGACAUCCUGCACUUCAGUCUUGUAAAGGAUUAUAUGUACCCAAGUAUAUCUUGAAUAAUCAUCAACAAUGACAAAGCCAUAGAGACAAGAAGUAGUAGUAAGAGUUGAGUAAUGAGCGGGACCGAAAAGAUCCAUGUGUAGCAGUUCGAAGGGUUGAGUCGUUGUCAUGAUUGUCUUCAAGGGAUGCUUGGCCCUCGUCAUCUUUCCUGCUUCACAGGCACCGCAUAAGUGAUCCUUCUUGAACUUGAUGCCCUUGAUGCCUAUGACAUGCUUCUUCUUUGCAAGGGUGUGGAGGUUCCUCAUGCCAGCAUGCCCUAGCCUUCGAUGCCAGAGCCAGCAUUCAGAAGCUUUUGCUAGAAGACAUACUGCAAGUUGUGGUCCUGCUGAGAAAUCUAACACGUACAAAUCAUCUUUCCGAUACCCUUCAAACACUAGAGAUUUGUCAGAUUCCAUUAGUACAAGGCGACGGUAUUUUCCAAACAUCAUAAUCAUGUUUAAAUCACAAAGCAUUGAGACAGACAUUAAGUUGAAACCAAGGGAUUCAACAAGCAUGACUUUAUCCAUGUGUUGAUCCUUUGAGAUUGCAACUCUACCUAGACCCAAUACCUUGCUUUUACCAGUGUUAGCAAAUGUGAUGUGACUUUUGUCAGAUGGACGUAAAGUUGAGUCCAUGAGAAGACUUCGCUUGCCAGUCAUGUGAUUUGUACACCCACUAUCAAUAAUCCAUUCUGAAGCAGCUGGUGUCGUACCCUAUAGUGCAGUUAGGGGGAUAGGCUUCACGAAGAGAAUUGUGAAGCAAAAACACUUGACGAACCAGUGGAUUAUUAAAGUUUAGAUCGAGAUUAGGACUGAUAGGGCCAGUUGCAAGUGAUUCAGGAACAAAGUACAUAAUAAGACCAUUUGGGCAUUUGAUCUUGCACCCUACAAGAUGUUUAAGGUCCCCAGCAAUAGUGUUAGACGAUUUUGGUUUUCGGCUGGAGACCUUUCCCUGCAAAAGAGAGUUAAGCUUUCUUAGCCACCCACAUCUUCAAGGGUGGCUUCGAAGCAAUGAGUCUAAGUGCAGCAUCUGAGAACUUUGGCUUUGGAGCCCUAGCAAAAAGUCUUGCAUGUGGACAAUAGUACUCAUAAGAAUAAGCAGAAUAGUUCUUGGUCUUAUGAACAUGGCAGUUUGAUGAACCACGCUCAUAUUCAUAGGCCUGAGUAUGGCUUCCCCGCAAAAUAUUUGCGUUAGUGCGACUCAGGUGAGUCCUCUAUCUGUAUGAAGACUUUGGACCGUAUGAAGCCUGUGGUCUGGGGUUUGUCUUCUUCACCUGUGGUGUCAUGAUGACAUUCACAGGAAGAUUCUCCAAACACCUCUUCGGCACCCAGAUCUUCUUCACAGGUGGUCCAUUCCUGCAGUUAGUACCAAUAUACCUGGAAAACACUUCACCAUUCUGAUUCUUAAACAGUUUAUAGUUUGCGUCAAAGGAUUCAUCAAUAACAAUGGGGUUAGCACAAGUGAAGCCAAAUAGGGUGGAUGGAUCUGCUGAAGGUUCCUUUGCAGCAACCCAUGUGGUUUUGGGGUACUGCUCAGGUUUCUAGUAAGAGCCAUCAGCAUUCAUUUUCCUUUUGAACCAAACACCCUCUUUCCUAGGGUUUCGGUUCAGGAUCUGCCUUUUGAGGACAUCACAUAGUGUUUGAUGCCCUUUGAGACUUUUGUACACCCCUGUUUCAAGCAGUGUUUUCAACCUAGCAUUCUCAUCAGCAAUAGCAGUGGUAUCCUCAGCAGAGGGUUUAGUUACCACAUCAACAGUUGAAGAUAUUGCAACAGUAGCAGUAGUAGAACAUUCAGCAUCAGAAGUAGCGUUAUCAUGCUCAAUGCAUUUAAGACAUGGUGGUUCAAAUCCUUCCUGAGCUGAACUGAUCUGUUCGGCGCGAAGUGACUCGUUUUCCUUUUGAAGAUCUUCAUGAGCCGCUCUCAAUUUCUCAAGAUCUUGCUUCCUUUGAAGAUAAUCAUAGAAAAGCAUUUCAUGAGUUGUUGAGAGCGUUUCAUGACGACUUUCAAGUUCCUCAUACUUAACGUGAAGAUUGUUUAUGUCUUCAACUAAGGACUGAGAUCGAGUCAUUUCAGCGUCUAACAGAUCAUCGCUUUUGUCUAACAGUUUUUGAAUGUGUUCCAUAGCUUUCUGUUGUUCAGUUGCAAUUUUAGCAAGUGUUUUGUAGCUAGGUUUGGGACCACAAUCAGAGUCAUCGUCACUAGAUGUUUGAUAGUGAGUAGUGCGUGUGUUUACCUUGGCACCGCGUGCCAUGAAGCAGUAGGAAGGAGCGGAGUAGUCCUUGUCAUUUGCAUCGGGGUCAGUGAUGAAGUCAUUGUCUUCAGUGUUGAAAAUGGACUUGGCAACGUAUGCUGUAGCCAGACUCGCAACGCCAGAAUCGGACUCCUCCUCAGACUCCACCUCCGCCUCCUCAGAAGCAGACUCCUCCUCAGAAUCCAUUUCCUUGCCAACAAACGCACGUGCCUUGCCAGAUGAGCUCUUCUUGUGUGAUGAAGACUUUGAGGAAGACUUGGAAGAAGGCUUUGAGUAUUUCUUCUUCUUCUUAUCGUCAGAGUCAUACUCCUUGCUCUUCUUCUUCUUGUUGUUCUCAUUGUCCCACUGUGCACACUCAGAGAUGUAGUGGCCAGAUUUCUUGCACUUGUGACAUGUUCUUUUCUUGUAGUCAUGAGCAGAAGCUUCAUCAUUCCUUGAGCUUGAUCGUGAAGACUUUCUGAAGCCUUUCUUCUUGGUGAAUUUUUGGAACUUCUUCACAAGCAUAGCAAGCUCCCUUCUAAUGUCUUCAGGAUCAUCAGAGCUGCUGUUAGAUUCUUCUUCAGAUGAGGAGACAGCUUUUGCCUUCAAGGCACGAGUUCGACCAUAGUUGGGACCAUAGAUGUCUCUUUUCCCAGAAAGCUGAAACUCGUGUGUGUUGAGCCUCUCAAGUAUGUCAGACGGAUCGAGUGUCUUGAAAUCAAGACGUUGUUGAAUCAUCAGGGCUAGGGUGUCAAACGAACUGUCAAGUGAUCUCAGGAGUGUCUUGAUGACUUCAUGCUUGGUGAUCUCAGUAGUGCCGAGGGAUUGAAGCUCAUUUGUGAUGUCGGAGAGUCGAUCAAACGUGAGCUGGACAUUCUCAUUGUCAUUUCUCUUGAAGCGGUUGAAGAGGUUGCGAAGGACACUGAUUCUCUAAUCUCUCUGGGUUGAGAUGCCUUCGUUAACCUUGGAGAGCCAGUCCCAGACUAGCUUAGAUGUUUCCAAAGCACUCACGCGGCCAUACUGUCCUUUGGUCAGAUGACCACAGAUGAUAUUCUUGGCAGCAGAGUCCAGUUGAACGAACUUCUUGACAUCAGCGGCAGUGACACCUUCUCCAGCCUUGGGAACGCCGUUCUUGACGACAUACCAUAGGUCGACAUCAAUGGCUUCAAGAUGCAUGCGAAUCUUAUUCUUCCAGUAGGGAUAUUCAGUUCCAUCGAAGACGGGGCACGCAAUGGAGACUUUAAUUAUCCCUGCAGUUGACAUAGCUAAAACUCCAGGUGGUUAAACCGAAUCACACAGAACAAGGGAGUACCUCGCUCUGAUACCAAUUGAAAGUGCUAGUGAUCGACUAUGGGGGUGAAUAGGCGAUUUUUAUGAAAGUCUUCAAAACAUGUAAGUUUCGAAGACAAACGAUAGAAAUAAACCUAUUAUCAUGCAGCGGAAGGUAGACUACACUAGACAAACCAUAGUCACGUAUCCAAUGAAGUGAAAGCACAAUGACUAAUAGCAGCUAGACAGUAAGGAUCAGGUAGGAAGAUAUUGUGAAGCCAAUCAGAACAAGUAAUCACUCAGUGAAGUCGAAUGGUGAUGUUAUCGUACAAUGACUUCACAAGAACCAACAGUAAGUAAAGGGAAGGGAAGGAUGAAACCAGUGACUUGUUGAAGACAAUGGUUUGUUGGACCAGUUCCAGUUGCUGUGACAACUGUACGUCUGGUUAGGGAGGCUGAGAUUCAACUCAGAAGACCUCGUCUUCACCUUAUUCCCCUUGAGCUAAGGACACCCAAUCCUCGCCCAAUCACUCUGGUAAGUCUUCAAGGUAGACUUCCAAACCUUCACAGACUUCAUUCACCGGCAAUCCACAAUGACUCUUGGAUGCUCAGAACGCGACGCCUAACCGGCUAGAGGAUUCACAGUCCUCAAGUGUAAUAAGUCUUCAGAUCACACAGACAAGAAGACUUAAGUGAUGCCUAACACUCUUUGGCUCUGGGUGGUUAGGGCUUUAUUUUCUCAAGGAAUUCUCUCUCAAAGGCUUCGAGGUGGGUUGCUCUCAAACGACAAAAGCCGUACUUUAACUCUGAGCAGCCAACCGUUCAUGGUUGUAGGGGGUGGGCUAUUUAUAGCCACUAGGCAACCCGACCUGAUUUGUCCGAAAUGACCCUGGGUCACUAAGGAACUGACACGUGUUCCAACGGUCAGAUUUCAAACACACACGACAACUUUACUUGGGCUACAAGCAAAGCUGACUUGUCCAACUCUGAACAAGAUUCGCUCUCAUAGUCUUCACUCGAAGACAUAGGAUUUUGGUUAAGCAUCACUUCAGUCAUUCUGACUGGUUCUCUUGGACCCCACUUAACAGUACGGUGGUUCCUAUGACUCAACAAAGAAGAAAAAGAACUACGAAAGAUCUAAGUCUUCGCGCUCCAUAGUCUUCAUGCGAUGUCUUCUCUUGUCAUAGUCUUCAAUGUGAAUGUCUUCACAUACCACCUUUGACUUCAAUGUCUUCAUGCAUUUUUAGGGGUCAUCUCUGGUGGGAAAAUGAAUCAAUGAGGGACUUCUACCUGUGUUAUCCUGCAAUUCUCACAAACACAUUAGUCCCUCAACUAGGUUUGUCGUCAAUACUCCAAAACCAACUAGGGGUGGCACUAGAUGCACUUACAGAGGCCCAUCUGUCCCGGUUCUGGAUUGAACCGGGACUAAAGGGACAGGGCAUUGGUACCAACCCUUUAGUCCCGAUUCAGGAACCGGGACAAAAGGUCCUUACGAACCGGGACAAUAGGCCCUUUUUCUACUAGUGUAUACAUGUUCCUAUGACUAUGAGAUUAUGCAACUCCCGUUUACCGGAGGAACACUUUGUGUGCCACCAAACGUCACAAUGUAACUAGGUGAUUAUAAAGGUGCUCUACAGGUGUCUCCAAAGGUACUUGUUGGGUUGGCGUAUUUCGAGAUUAGGAUUUGUUAAUCUGAUUGUCGGAGAGGUAUCUCUAGGCCCACUCGGUAAUGUACAUCACUAUAAGCCUUGCAAGCAUUGCAACUAAUGAGUUGGGAUGAUGUAUUACGGAACGAGUAAAGAGACUUGCCGGUAACGAUAUUGAACUAGGUAUUGAGAUACCGACGACAGAAUCUCGGGCAAGUAACAUACCGAUGACAAAGGGAACAACGUAUGUUGUUAUGCGGUCUGACCGAUAAAGAUCUUCGUAGAAUAUGUAGGAGCCAAUAUGGGCAUCCAGGUCCCGCUAUUGGUUAUUGACCAUAGAGGUGUCUUGGUCAUGUCUACAUAGUUCUCGAACCCGUAGGGUCCGCACGCUUAACGUUCGUUGACGAUAUAGUACUUUAUGAGUUAUGUAUGUUGAUGACCGAAUGUUUUUCGGAGUCCGGGACGAGAUCACGGACAUGACAAGGAACUCCGAAAUGGUCCGGAGAUAAAGUUUGAUAUAUGGGAUAAUAGUGUUUGGUCACCAGAAGGGUUCCGUAAAUCACCGGAAGGGGUUCCGGAUGUUUCCCAAAAUGUUUGGAUACGAGAACACUUUAUUUGGGCCAAAGGGGAAAGCCCACAAGGUUUCUGAAAAGUGCAAAAGGAAGUUUUGCGGAGUCCAGUGGCCAGACGCCAGGGUCCCUGGCGUCUGGGUCCAGACGGCGGGAACCCUGGCGUCUGGCCCUGGAGUCCGAGAAGGACUCUUGCCUUUCGGGUGAAACCGACUUUGUGGAGGCUUUUACUCCAAGUUUCGACCCCAAGGCUCAACAUAUAAAUAGAGGGGUAGGGCUAGCACCCAAGACAUAUCGAGAAACACCAAGCCGUGUGCCGGCAACCCCGUCCCCUCUAGUUUAUCCUCCGUCACAGUUUUCGUAGUGCUUAGGCGAAGCCCUGCAGAGAUUGUUCUUCACCAACACCGUCACCACGCCGUCGUGCUGUCGGAACUCAUCUACUACUUCGCCCCUCUUGCUGGAUCGAGAAGGCGGGGACGUCACCGAGCCGAACGUGUGCAGAACUCGGAGGUGCCGUGCUUUCGGUACUUGGAUCGGUCAUACGUGAAGACGUACGACUACAUCAACCGCGUUGAUAUAACUCUUCCGCGAACGGUCUACGAGGAUACGUAGACAACACUCUCCCCUCUCCUUGCUAUGCAUCACCAUGAUCUUGCGUGUGCGUAGGAAAUUUUUUGAAAUUACUACGUUCCCCAACACCCCCAAUGAGUAUACAAAGAAGCAGUGCUCCAGCUUCGAAAAAAAUGUAGAAACCAUACUAUCGACGAUUACAUGUUAGAAUUCCUAUGGAGCAGAGGAGGAAUGUGAAUGACUCAUGGUUAGGAGAUGCUAGUCCACUUAAUCAGCAAUACCCUACGAUUAUACAACAGUGUUCUUGUAACGCCCUCGAUGCGGCUAUAUCUCCCACGUGUCGAAGCACGACUAAGAGGCAUAACCGCAUUGAAAGCAAUGUCGCAAAUGAGGUAAUCUUCACACAACCCAUGUAAUACAUAAGGGAAAGAGAUACAUAGCUGGCUUACAAUCGCCACUACACACAAGUACAUGAAUAAAGCAUUACAUCAUCCAAAUACAAUCAAGGUCCGACUACGGAACCAAAAUAAAAGAAGAACCCCAAAUGCGACAAAGGUCCCCGAUCGACCCCAACUAGGCACCACUACUGAUCAACUAGAACAAAACAACACAAAGGACAAGAUCUUCAUCGAGCUCCUCCUGAGCUUGGUUGCGUCAUCUGCACGGACUCAUCGGCACCUGCAAGCUGGUUUUGGAAGUAUCUGUGAGCCACGGGGACUCAGCAAUCUCGCACCCUCACGAUCAAGACUAUUUAAGCCUAUGGGUAAGGUAAAGGUAUGAGGUGGAGCUGCAACAAGCGACUAGCAUAUAUGGUGGCUAACAUACGCAAAUGAGAGCGGGAAGAGAAGGCAAAGCACGGUCGAUAAAAGUAUGAUCAAGAAGUGAUCCUAAAACAACCUACGUCAAACAUAACUCCAACACCGUGUUCGCUUCCCGGACUCCGCCGGAAAGAGACCAUCACGGUUACACACGCAGUUGACUCAUUUUAAUUAAGUUAAGGUUCAAGUUAUCUACAACCGGACAUUAACAAAUUCCCAUCUGCCCAUAACUGCAGGCAUGGCUUUCGAAAGUUCAAAACCCUGUAGGGGUGUCCCAACUUAGCCCAUGACAAGCUCUCACGGCCAACGAAGGAAUAGAACUCCUCCCGAGACGUUCCGAUCAGACUCGGUGUCCUGGUUCUUCAAGACACUUCGACAGGUUAAAACAAAUCCAGCAACACCGCCCGAAUGUGCUGACAAAUCCUGAUAGGAGCUGCACAUAUCUCUUUCCCAGGGCACACUCAGAUGAGACAUCCUACGAGUAAAACCAACCCUCAAGUUGCCCCGAGGUGGCCCCGCAGUCUACUCGGUCGGACCAACACUCAGAGGAGCACUGGCCCGGGGGGGUUAAAAUAAUGAUGACCCUCGAGAGAGCGACUCCCAGGGGAAAAGUAGGUGGUGGUGAGGCAAAUGGUAAAACCAAGGUUGGGCAUUGCUGGAGGAGUUUUAUUCAAGGAGAACUGUCAAGGGGUUCCCAUUAUUACCCAACCGCGUAAGGAACGCAAAAUCCGGGAACAUAACACCGAUAUGACGGAAACUAGGGCGGCAAGAGUGGAACAAAACACCAGGCAUAAGGCCGAGUCUUCCACCCUUUACCAAUUAUAUAGAUGCAUUAAUUAAAUAAGAUAUAUUGUGAUAUCCCAACAAGUAAACAUGUUCCAACAAGGAACAACAUCUCCAUGUUCCAACAAGGAACAAACUUCAAUCUUCACCUGCAACUAACAACGCUAUAAGAGGGGCUGAGCAAAGCGGUAACAUAGUCAAACAACGGUUUGCUAGGACAAGGUGGGUUAGAGGCUUGGUUCAACAAUAUAGGAGGCAUGAUAAGCAAGUGGUAGGCAUCAUAGCAUAGGCCUAGCAAAAGAGCGAGCAUCUAGCAAGCAAAGAUAGAAGUGAUUUCGAGGGUAUGAUCAUCUUGCCUGAAAUCCCGCAAGGAAGAAGAACGAGUCCAUGAAGAAGACAAACGGAUGUAGACGAACGGGUCCUCACAAACACGACGUUACCGGAUCCAACCCGAAGAAGCAAACACCAGAAAGAAGCACACAACAUAGUAAACAACCAACACAUGUACAUGGUAUGCUAUGCGGGAUGCGGUAUACGAUGCAUAUGCAUGACUUGACAAGGAAUGAUUGAACCUGGCCUCAACUUGGGAAUCCAAGUGUGCCACUGGAAAGAUGAGAUGAAAUCGCUUAAAAACGAUAUAAAGAUCACCGGAAACGGAGCUACGGUUUGGAAAUGGCAAGCAAUUCAAUUAUGACACCGGUAUGAGAUUUAUAGCAAGUAGCCAUCUAAAUGCAAUGAGAUGAACAUGCUACAGCACCCAAACAUGGCAUCAAAAUACAUGGCAGGAAUCCAUUCAUGAUGCUUAACAAAAGAUGAACACUGAGCUACAGCCAAUUCAUCCAUUAACAGGUUCAAACAAGCAUGGCAAAAAUGCAUAUGGUAAACAGAUUUCAGACUUAGUGAAAUUAACACUUGCCUGGAAUUUCAGAUCAGGUAGCACUCUUCGGAGCAUGAAAACUAUAUGCUACAGGAUCUGAACAUGGCAAAGUAAAGCAUGGCAUGGAGCUACUCAAAGAGCUUAACAAAAGUCCCUUAGUGACCUUGAGCUAAAAGGGAUCAGAAAAUACAAUUGCAAGCAUGUGAACAUGGCAAAACCAUAAUCAGAUCACAGACUUGGUGAAAACUGGAGCAUGCUGAAAACAGAUAUCAAGUAGGCAUGUUUACGAGCUCGAUGCACUCACUACGGAGCAAGUCAUGAUAAACUAAGCAUACAUCCAUCAAGAAUACACAAAAUGCAAGCUAGACAUGGCAAGAACAAUAACAUAGCAUGCACGGAUCAACUACAACAUCAUCGGCAAAAUCGCUAACAAGUAGACAAUCUGCCCAGAUUCACGAAAUGACAAAAGUAGAGCUCGAUUGACUCAAGCUAGGGUGCUCCAUAAUUGCAAACAAAGACAUGUAUGGAUAGAGCACUACAAGAUUAACAAAACAUCCUUACUGAUCAUCCUCAAAAGAGGCACGGAUCACUAGGAAACAACAUGAACAUAUGGCCAUAUGAGAUAAACAGCUCAAGGACUUAGUGGAAAUGCUAAGUCCCUGAAAUCAGCAUUAACGAAUGCCUCACUUUGCAAGCUUGUGCUAGUCACCACACACAUCACAAAAAUACAUGGGUUGCACCUCUCGAAAGAUGGCAAAACUCUUAACAAAACAUAUGUAGAGCUCAUGGGCAUAUCAUGCACAUAAUAAUCAUGGCAAAAAUGACAAAUAUCUAAAUGGAGCAGCAGAUCUGACAAUUAUCUCAAGUAGCACUCUUCCAACAGCAUUUCGGGCAUCAAGAUGAACUCAAAUGAAAAUGAUGCAAUGAGAUGAAAUGAUGUACUCUCUGAGAAGAACAUCUUGAUAUGCUAUAUGUCCAAAAUAGAUCUAAGGAUGCAAAGUUACGAGGCGAUGAACAUGUGCAUUUGAAACGUGGGAAAAAAUAUGGUGAGCGUUGGAUACUAAAGUGUGCUCAGGGCGAGGCUUAGCAGGACGCUCACCAAGUGGGCUCGGCCCACGGGAAGAGGAGAAGGCAGGCCGGCGGGCCGGCUGGAGCUGGGCCUGCGAGGCCAAGGCCCACGCGGCCACGCACGGUCAACGGCGUCGAUCAGAGCUGGAUCGGUUCCUCCCGAUCCAUGGUGGUGGCGGCGCUGGAGAAUCUCCGGCGAGGCUCGAGGCGACGACGGCGGCCGGAGAGCGAUGGGAAACGCCGGGGACGGCGCGGGGGCUGCCGGAUCUGGCCGGAGGUGGCCGGAUCCGGGCGAUGGCGAGGUGGAGUGAGGCGCCGGAGCGGGCGGCGCUCGCCGGCGAGUUGUGCCGCGGCGGCGGCGAAGCGCGCCGGUGAGGAGGCGGCGCGAGGUGUCGGGGAGGAUGGGCGGAGCUGGCGGCGGAAGGACCCGGGCCGGGGAGGGCCGGAUCUGGGCGCCUCGGGCCCGGCGGCGCGGGGACGGCGGCGGUGGACAGGUGACGCGCCGCGGUUGGACGCGGACAAUGGAGCGGACAUGUCCGGCGUGGGGGAAUUUUGUCCGGCGGCGCGGAGAGGACGGAGUUAGGGUUUCAUCCGCGAAUUUCGGGAGGGGAGCAUAUAUUUAUAGGUAGAGAGAGCUAGGAGAGUCCAAAUGAGGUGCGGUUUUCGGCCACGCGAUCGUGAUCGAACGCUCUAGAUGAUGGAAAGGGUUUUGGUAGGUUUUGGGCCAAAUUGGAAGGGUGUUAGGCUGCAACACACACGAGGCCUUUUCGGUCCCUCGGUUAACCGUUGGAAUAUCAAACGAAGUCCAAAUGGCACGAAACUUGACAGGCGGUCUACCGGUAGUAAACCAAGGCCGCAUGACAAGUCUCGGUCCAAUCCGGAAAUGUUUAAUCCCCACACACAAGAAGAAGAUAGAAAUGACCAUCGGAGGAGAACGGAGCACCGGAAUGCAAAACGGACAACGGGGAAAAUGCUCGGAUGCAUGAGACGAACACGUAUGCAAAUGAAAUGCACAUGAUGACAUGAUAUUCAAUGCAUGACACGUAAGCAAUGACAAGGCAACAACGGCGAAUAACUGGACGACACCUGGCACAUCGGUCUCGGGGCGUUACAGUUCUAGUGGAAACAUGUUUCAUUUGCAGAUGUUAUAACCGUGGUAUCACCAAUGUUAGCUUUCGAAGGACGCUUCAAAGAUAUCCGUCCUGGCUCCAUUUGGUUCAGCGAUAAAUGUGGAUUAGCCCAGCACAAAACAAGUGUAAUAACCUAACACAUGAGCCGAGUGUGACAAUGCGUUCCAAUUUAGCUCCAUGUUUUAGGCUCUUUCUCAUUGAAAUCAAUGUAUGUGCCUACUAGGUGAAUGAUGAUUAUCAAUUUUGUAGUCAAAAUCUUUAUUUGGUACAUGUGUAGAGGACCGCCCUCAUAUUUUGUGCCCUUGAAGUGGAUUUGUAUGGCAUGUCGCAGUCUGUCAUCCUUGGGUGAUACUAGUAAUAUUCCCAACUCUCAAGGACAAAGUCAGCAAGCACCGGUGACUUGAUGGCGGUUCCCGAGAUGAAGCCAAUGGAAAAAAUCGCCCAAGCUCCACCUCCCACUUUGAGAUCCUUUUAGUGGAAUGUUGACUAAUAUCAAUCCUAGGGAUAAUUGGUUGAGAUCACCAGCAGAUGUGCUUGGAAGUAAUCUCGCACCUUGCGAGAGACCAGGACCACUUUGUAAAACUUCAAGGUGGUCGGGCAUCGUUUCUUGGGACCAUGUAGAACCUCACUGACAAAGUAUACCUGUCACUGUUUCCUCUCAUAUUGUCCUUCCUCCUCUUGUCGCAUGACCACCGGGAUGCCACUCACGACUAUCGGUCUUGCCGCAAUGUAAAGUUCAUCGAGCUUGGGAGCUACCAGGACUGGAGGAUUGGUAAGGUAGGAUUUGACAUAUUGGAACGUUGUGUCAAAUUCUUUAAUCCACUUGAACUUGCCCAUCUUAUAGAGCACCUUGAAGAAAGAGGGGUCUUUGUUGCUCAGUCCAGCAAUGAAGCGACCGAUAGUGGUCAUGCACCCGUUGACCCGCUACUCAUCUUUUAUUUUUUUGAGGGGUUUCAUUUAUUUGAUAACUUUGAUCUUCAAUGAAUUGACCUCAACACAAUAUUGGAUAACAUGAACGUAAGAAGCUUGCCAACAUUAACACCAUAGAUGCACUUCUCAGGGUUGAGCAUCAUAUGUUUUUUCUUCGGAUGCAGAAAGUGUGUGGGACUAGUCCCCCCUUCUUAUUGGACAACAUCGGGUGAUUGAUGUACAAUUCAUGUUUCAGCCCAUCUGCUCUUCAAAGCUACUAUGGUAAGUAGUCACAAUAUUAACUAGGUUGAAAGCAUCUUGGCGUAACAAAACACUCCUAGUAGUGUGAUGUGAUUCAGAACUUCAUGCUCACUUGGCGAUAUAAAGAGUAUGCAUCCCGAACACAAAGGUACUCGUGGUCUGAUGUUGAGUCGACUAUCUCGUGGAUUCACUAUAGGGGUACAUAUAUUUGGGACAAGCUUUCUUGAGGUUGUUGAAGUCUAGGCACAUCUGCCACUUACUUGUUGGGUUUCAGGACCAACACCAGCUUGGCUAGCCAGUCGAGGUGUUUUUGAUGUCUGACCGAUCUCUUCUUGAAUGGCGACCUUUCGGUCAGGGGCUAAUAUUCCAAACUUCUGCAGGAUAGCCCCCAAGGAACACAUGAAGGUGAUAUUCAACAACUUCUCGUGGGAUCCCCAACAUGUCCAAGCUGUAACAGUAACAUCUAGAUGGUUUGGAAGGACGCGAGGAGUUCCUGCUCAUGCCGAGCAUCCAGUGUUGCCCCUGAUCUCGACGAUUAGGGAGGGGUCUAAAGUGACCCCCCGACCUCACUGUGUAUAGUCACAACCACCUUAAUUAGGUUGGGCGUGCUUCUUCAUGCCCGAGAAUCCGAUGAUGGUCAUGUCCAGGACAGAUGCCUGCGGCGUUGUCAUUGCCCUGUUUCUAACAUGAGAGUUGUAGACGAGAUUUGUUUGGGUCCCAUAGUGGGCUUGAAUUGUCGAUGAUUAAUUCACCAUCGGUCGUAUGUUCUACUGGGAGGUUGUGGAAGACAGUAGUGGGAAGAGUGGUGCUCCAAGAAUUUCAUUGAUGGUGAUGGUGACAUGGUGGUUUUACCCAAGUUUAAGCCCCCGAAUGGGUAAAAGCCCCUGCAUGUGGUGUAUAUUGAUCAAUUGGGGAAUUACAGUAGUGUAAUCUAUGUCGAUAGUCAGGCAGUUAUUUGUAGGGAGAUACGAUAUGAUUUAAAGACCAUGUUGUUACUCGGGCAUAGCUAGAUCACAGGCUUAGUGUGCUAGUCCUUAUCCCUUUUGAGUGUCUACUCGGGCAUGACUGGAUGCGGGCCCCGGUAUGUACCAAAUGUAAAAAAGACGAGGAAAAUAAAUAAAUAACUGCUAAGCUACAGGGGUUACCGUUGGAGUUGGAUCAUUGUCUGGGGCUAAAAAAUGGAGCAGCCCCAUUUGACAUCCACGGGCUUUGUUUUACGGCUUUCUGCUAGAAAUUCUCUAAGGUUCGAAAUAAAGAUUAUUAUAGCCUUUAUCUUUAAUCUAUUGUCAUUCGCCGAACUACCGUUGGCAAGGGAUGCUCUUCAUCACACGUACUGUAUACUCGUAACUACUGCCCCGUUGUCUGGGAGAUAAGCCCUGUGAAUCGGGAAUGAGGGAGUAUUUUCAGCAUGAGCGGUGCUAUGCUGAGCAUCAACUGGGAAUAAACAACUAGCUAGUCAACGAUCCCGUCCAUAGUUCCAUAUUGAUAUUGAUAGAGAGUUAGAGACCCAUCGACGCUCUGGAGGUCAUAGUGCUGCCGCAGUAACCCGAGCAAUUAAUGUGGAUGCAGAGAUCUCGAUCCCCAUCUUCACUAGCCGCCGGGUCGUCGGAGCCAGUAGCUGAUAAGGCGUGAGAUCCACUCGUUCGAAUCAGAUCCGAUGAUUUCUUUCGCUUCUUUUUUCCCGCCUUGCGAUCCUCGUGUGUACAGUGUACGUUAGACUACUCACUGGCCGGGCUAUAAAAGGAGCCGGUGUUUCCUUUCAUGGCAGGACACGAUCUAGCUCGCUCGCCCUUCUCAUCAUUCUCUCUAAGGCAGCCUCCAUUACAGGCAGCUCUCAGGCUGCUGAGUUCAUCCUGCUGUUGCGAGAAGGUAUCGGUUUCUCGCGCUUGUGUUGUGCGCUGCACACACAUUCCAUUGCCCGUUUCUACUUUUGUGGUAUACACACACAUACAGUAUUACCGUACGUGUAGUCCCUGAGCUUUGGUUGUUCUCUGUCAACUGUUAAAUACUCCUACAUGCUGGGACCGUUGUAUUUGCGCCGGCUGGUUUUGAAAUUUCGAUGUGUUCAGGUAUAGGUAGAUUGAUAUGUGUUAAACCUAGCUAUAAUCAUGCUGGUUUCCACUAACUUGAUGCAUGCCGCCGCCAAGAGAGGAACCUCUCACUGCAAUAGCCCACAGCCCCACAACUGUUCUUCUUUGCUGCAUAUAUAAGAUUCGUCGAAUGUUUACUCACAUAAUUGGUAUCCCUUUACUCAGGUCUAAGUAUAGUCAGACAAGAUGGGGAGUGUGCACAAGGCCACCUUCGUUCUCCUCAUGUUCUGCUUGGCGGUGCUGGGGAGAGCAGAAUAUCUCAAGUACAAGGACCCGAAGCAGUCGAUUGGUGUUCGCGUCAAGGACCUGCUCGGCCGGAUGACUCUCGCGGAGAAGAUCGGCCAGAUGACGCAGAUCGAGAGAGAGAACGCCACGACGGGGGUGCUAUCCAAGUACUUCAUAGGUAAACCAUAGCUAAAUAGUAUGUUGCAAAAUAUGGUGAAGGACUGCAGAGUUUGUGUUUGAUAUUGGUGUGCAUGCUGUGAUGCAGGUAGCGUGCUGAGUGGUGGAGGCAGCGUGCCUUCUUCCAAGGCAUCCGUUGCGGCUUGGCAGUCGAUGGUGAACGAAAUGCAGAAGGACGCCAUGUCCACCCGCCUGGGUAUUCCGAUUAUCUACGGUAUUGACGCUGUGCAUGGUCACAAUAACGUCUACAAAGCCACCGUCUUCCCCCAUAACGUUGGCCUCGGAGCUACCAGGUGUGAAUUUCUCUUGAUUUUUGAUAGGUUGUGAUAAUUUUGUACAAGAAGAGAAGACCACAAUGUGAUGCAUAUGUUAAUUCCCCGUCUAUAUGUAUUGUUAACGUGUCCCGGUCUUCCAGGGACCCUGAGUUGGUGAAGAGGAUAGGAGAAGCAACUGCUCUUGAAGUUAGAGCUACCGGGAUUCCAUAUGUCUUCGCUCCGUGUAUUGCGGUAAUGGAUAAUAUUGUUGCGUCUUGAACAGUUGGUCUGCAUAACAAACAUUUUUUUGAAGAAAAUAUGGCAAAGAUUUACUGUUCUUACUUACUCAUUUAUUUGUUUAUGAUCAGGUUUGUAGAGACCCAAGAUGGGGACGCUGCUAUGAAAGCUACAGCGAAGACCCAAAUGUUGUCCGUUCAAUGACCACAAUUAUCUCUGGCUUGCAAGGCGAUGAUCCAUCAGAAAUCAAGGGAAGACCAUAUGUUGGUGGAAGGUAUAUAAUAUACAUCUAAAAGAUUUCCAUUAUUUAUGGUCUUGUACCCGAACGUGUAAAUGUGAAAGUAAUGUUACAUUAGGAGAAAAAAUGUGACUAACUUUGUCAUCGCUUCGAUACCCCUUUGCAGUAAGAAAGUUGCCGCAUGUGCAAAGCACUAUGUUGGUGAUGGUGGUACGUUUAUGGGGAUCAAUGAGGGCAAUACAAUCAUCGACGAGCAUGGGAUGAUGACUAUUCAUAUGCCUGCUUAUUAUAAUUCUAUCAUCAGAGGCGUCUCUACUAUUAUGGUCUCAUACAACAGUUGGAACGGAAAGAAAAUGCACGCCAACCAUCACCUAAUCACGGAUUUCCUCAAGAACAAGCUCAAAUUUAGGGUAUGUUUCUCGUGACUGGCAAAAGAUUGAUCUCCGUAUUUGUUUUUCUUCUUCAAUAUUAAGAGAUACUCAUGUCAUUAAUCUCUUGGUAUUUUGUGCAUAUAGGGUUUUGUGAUUUCUGACUGGCAAGGCAUUGAUCGGAUUACUACUCCCGAACACCUGAACUAUUCCUAUUCAAUUGAGGCUGGAGUUGGUGCUGGUAUUGACAUGGUAAGCAAAGUCCAAGCACCUUCUAUGGACAAAGGUUGAGUUAAUAGCUAGCAUGAUAAAGUAUGUCCCUUGUCUGGUUAUGAUACAUUCUUGACAAUUAUUGUUAUCUCAUCUGCAUCUAAUACAAAUGUGGCAUUUUUUUCACUAGCUAUUUGUAAUAUAGUACACAUAAUCAUAAAAGAACAAGUUAAUUUUAAGAUGCAAAUUAAAAAAAAAAUGAAACUCCAUGGGCACUAGCACCCACGGUUUAUUGAUAUAGAAGAAGCAUCCCUCAUGAGAAUUCCAGAAAUUCGUCCCCGACGUGGAUCGAACUCUGGUCGUUAGGUUUACAAUCAUGCGCCCCCAACCACUGGGCUAUGCCCACGUCCUCUUAAGAUGCUUCUUCUAUAUCAAUAAUUGAUAUAGAGGACGUGGGCAUAGCCCAGUGGUUGGGGGCGCAUGAUUGUAAACCUAACGACCAGAGUUCGAUCCACGUCGGGGACGAAUUUCUGGAAUUCUCAUGAGGGAUGCUUCUUCUAUAUCAAUAAACCGUGGGUGCUAGUGCCCAUGGAGUUUCAUUUUUAAGAUGCAAAUUAAAAUAUGAGAAAACAUACCAAUAGGCUUCACCUCUCUCUCUCUCUCUCUCUCUCUCUCUCUCUCUCUCUCUCUUCAUUAUUGGUUAAAAGGGUAUUUUUCAUGUGUUGUUUUGCAGAUCAUGGUUCCUUUUGCCUACACAGAAUUCAUCGAUGAACUUACAUCCCAAGUUAAGAAGAACAUUAUCCCCAUGAGCAGAAUCGACGAUGCUGUCUACAGGAUUCUUCGGGUCAAGUUCACCAUGGGUCUAUUUGAGAACCCUUAUGCCGAUCCAAGCCUCGCCGGCGAACUCGGAAAGCAAGUUAGUUCCGGACAACAUACUUUCUUUCUCUCACACUUCAUUCUUGAAAAUAUAAAAUUCUUACUGUAAAUUCCUUCCCAUUGUUAGGAACACCGAGAAAUUGCUCGGGAAGCCGUCAGAAAAUCACUGGUGUUGCUGAAAAAUGGAAAAUCCGCCUACACUCCAUUGUUGCCCCUCCCCAAGAAGGCCGGCAAGAUCCUCGUCGCUGGAAGCCACGCCGACAACUUGGGCAACCAAUGUGGAGGAUGGACGAUCACAUGGCAAGGAUUGACCGGCAACGACAAUACUACUGGUAAAUAGUGUCUGUUGUUUCACUGCUUCUAGUGCUAAUUUGUAGCAACGUCGCCGUUCAUCAAUGAAACAAAAAUUCAUGGAAACGUAUGAUGAAACGCAGGGACGACCAUCCUUUCGGCGAUCAAGUCCACCGUCGACCCCAGCACGCAGGUGGUCUUCUCGGAGAACCCGGACAGCGCCGCCGUGGACAGCGGCAAGUACGACUACGCGGUUGUGGUUAUCGGCGAGCCGCCCUAUGCUGAGACGUUCGGCGACAACCUGAACCUGACGAUCCCUGCCCCCGGACCCUCGGUGAUCCAGACCGUCUGCAAGAGUGUCAAGUGCGUGGUCGUCCUCAUUUCCGGCAGGCCGCUGGUGGUGGAGCCAUACAUCGGCGCCAUGGACGCGUUCGUCGCCGCGUGGCUGCCCGGCACUGAAGGGCAGGGCGUGGCCGACGUUUUGUUCGGCGACUACGGGUUCACCGGGAAGUUGGCGAGGACGUGGUUCAAGUCGGUGGACCAGCUGCCGAUGAACGUCGGCGACAAGCACUACGACCCGCUGUUCCCCUUCGGGUUUGGCCUCACCACGCAGGCCAAGAAGUGAGUCCGGUGAGAUGACCGAGAUGGAAUGUAUCUCGGUUGGGCUGUGAGAGAUGGGAUACAUUGCGUUUAUGGUUGAUUUGCUUUCAAUAAAAGAGCGAUGUAUUCUUCCGGCUGUUGUGGUGUUAGUUCUGUUGUGCAACAAAAUCUAGCGCUUUGUUCUUCGACAUCCUCCCAUCAGAGAGUACGUGAGAAACAACGCCCCAGCCUUUCAAAAAUGUAGGGAGACCCAAAAGUGAAACAGCGCCCCAGCUUGGUGUGGAGUACUUGGCUCUACCUCUCUUGGAUUGGCAACUAAAAAGAGUAGACUUUCAAUUCCUUGAGCACAAGGUUCCAGGGAGGCUUGUCUCAUGGGAGGGCAAGAAUAUCACUGCAUUGGCCGCACCGCUCUUGUCAAGUCGGUGUUCACCUCUCAAGGGGUUUAUCAUCCGAGCACCCCUUACCUCGACCCCUCUUUGUCAUCCAGAUCCCACCUUGUUUCUGCUCGAGGGAGUUGGGAGCCGCCGCCCCUCUCCUCAACCCCCUCCCUCCCGAUCUAAUCUAAGGCUUCAAGCCACCGCCGCCCCUCUCCUCGCUGCCGCUGGAGCUCCGCGGGGCAAAGCCCAGGCGGGGGAUGAUGGCGGCGGCGGGGCCUUCCUCUACCGCGACGCCAGGAUGCGGCUGCGGUGGAGAUCCAUGCGGGUGUCCUAGACUUGCGCAUCGGUGGCGUAGCGGUGUGGGGCCCUCCGCCGUCGAUGGCUCACCCAGGCGGGGCGGCGGUUUUCGGGCGGUGGUGCGGCUCCGGUCGUGCGGUUUCCUAGCGGCAGACGUCAUCCAUGGGCAUGCUGGAUGACGGAGGAGGUUGAUCUGGUGGUCUAGCCGGGGAUGGGCGCGAAUUUGCCAGUGAAAUCUUGGUUUGGUGUCAGCCAGAAACUGCCAACGACGCCGCCCGCCAGUGUUGUUACCUCGUUGGAGGCGUUGUGGCGAUUUGUGUCCCCUGUGUGCCCCGGGGGAAACACCAGAUUUGGGCUUUCCAGAUCGGAUGAUGGCGAGGUUCCUGCGUCGUCACCCCCAUGGCAUCAUCUUUUGGGUUGUACAUCAGCUGGAGGGACAAGUGUUUGGCUUGCUGGUGGUUGGGAGCAGGUCUCCGUAUGCUUCUUAUGCGGUAACCAAGGUGGAGCGGCGUGCCAUCUACAGUAUCGACGACGGUGAGUCUUGGCGGCAAGGUGCAGCGGAGUCUCGACGCUGGAUACCAUAUGAUGAGCACGCGUAGGAGGCUGGCGUUGUCCGGCAUCGUGGUGGUGUCGACGGCAGAAGGGCCUGGAAUGAUCGGUGCAUUGAUUGCUCAUGGGACUACAGAAGAAGGCGGUGACGGAUUCUACAGCGUGCGCAUGCGGUGCAUGCUGAAGGUUUACUAAACCAGUUGGUGCUCCCGGCUAGCCAGCGGGCGGCUUGGUGAGGCCACCGGAUUUCUAGGUGUGCAUGACGCGACGUCAGGGCACAUCAUUUAUCUCGUGGGUAGGGCGAUUGUUUUCGCCAGAAAGGUGUGGCUUUGGGUUGAUCUAUGCAUUUAUUUUGUAAGACCUUAUCGAAUAAAAUAGUAAAGAUGGUUGUGUGCAUCGCUUGAUGCCGAGGAGGGGAUAAUCCUCCUUUGCGAAAGAGAAAAAAAUCCAAGCACCCUUCACAAUGUUAAGCUAGAGUAGGCUUUCCUUUGGUCGAGAACGAACAAGACCUUGGUGUAGAAUGCGAAGUCAAUUGGCAUAUCAUUGUCCCGUGGCACGACUUUCGCGGUUUUCGUGUGCUCAAUACCGAGAAAUUCACGAGGCUCUUAUAUUGCAUAGACCUUGGUUUGAAUGGAAGGAGCUAAGCAAGAUGUGGGUUGGAAUGGCCAAUCUUUGCGAUGAAACGGACGUCAAAUUGUUAUAUCAUUCACUACCAUCGUCGUUGGUGACUACGCGAGGACUCCUUUUUGGGACUUUCCCUUGGUGAAGGGCAUAAUCCCCAGGAGAUAACACCACUCAUAUAUGUGGCAUCCACGAGAAAUAAUUUGAAGACAAGAUAAACUUUAAAGGAUGAUGUUUGGAUCACCAAGAUCAAAAUUUCUACUAUCUUUCUAUGGCUCACAUUCGAGAAUUUAUAAUCCUUAGGGCACUUCUUCGCGACUUGCACCUGAAUGAAAAUGCGUGGUAGACAUUGUUUGGAAGCACAUGGCUAGUGGCCACUACUUGGGGGCAUAUGCGUACAUGGCAUAAUUUUUGGGGCUACCCCUAUGGACCUCACGGUGUGGUAAGCUUGGGCAUUGUCAAAGAUCAAAUUCUUUGCUUGGAUGCCUAUCCAAAAUAGGAUUUGGAUCGCCGAUAUACUGGACAAGAGAGGGUGGCCAAAUUGCUCCUAUGCCCCUAAUGCAAAAGAGAGUAUGAAUAUGUGGUGCAUAUUUUCUAAAAGUACUGGUUCAUUCUGAGGCUAUGGAAUUUGACCAAUGAGUGGUUCCAACUCGAGAGCAUUGUCACAUCCACAUGACACUUGGAGCUCUCUAACAAGGGCUGGUGGCUUAAUUUAUUUAAAAAAUACAAAUAUGAAAGCCAUAGCCUCCCUCACUAAGCCCAUUAAUUAGUUGGACUCUCCUGAACGAGCUUCCAGGAGUAGCAGGACGUUGGUCCUUGGAAGGUUGCUACGAAGCAGGACUGGGCAGAGAAGGUGCCGCUCGUGGACCAUUUCCAGAUCAGCUGGUCCGGUGCAUCAGAUAGGAUGGUAUGCGCGCGAUCUGCCAUAGCUACAGGUAUUGGCUGAUCUCAUGGAUGCAAGGAUGCAGUGUAUGUCGUGCGCCCAGGUGUUGCCAUUGAGCCCUUCCACCACCAUUCUGGCCUUGCGCUGGCACUUGGGGAUGCAGCUAUAGAGCAUGGGCAUAAGCUCGCAAUUUGACAACCCAUUAAGCCAACGAUCCUCCCUAAAUAGGGCAGUCGAUCCAUUCUCAAUAAUCAUGAAAGUAGAUACCGAAAGAACCGCGCUUUCAUCAGUGGAGAACUUAAGGUCGAGCCCCUGCCAUGCGCACUCUGGGUCCGUGCGAGAGAACCAGAGCCAACACAGCUGGAGCGGAAGCCCGACAUGCUCCAUGUCGCGAACUCCCAGACCACCAAGCUUGAGCGGGCGGCAAACAUGGCGCCAGUCCUUCGUUGGCGUCUCCCUGGAUUUUCUCUAGUUGCUAAUGGCGUAGCUAUGUANNNNNNNNNNNNNNNNNNNNNNNNNNNNNNNNNNNNNNNNNNNNNNNNNNNNNNNNNNNNNNNNNNNNNNNNNNNNNNNNNNNNNNNNNNNNNNNNNNNNNNNNNNNNNNNNNNNNNNNNNNNNNNNNNNNNNNNNNNNNNNNNNNNNNNNNNNNNNNNNNNNNNNNNNNNNNNNNNNNNNNNNNNNNNNNNNNNNNNNNNNNNNNNNNNNNNNNNNNNNNNNNNNNNNNNNNNNNNNNNNNNNNNNNNNNNNNNNNNNNNNNNNNNNNNNNNNNNNNNNNNNNNNNNNNNNNNNNNCCAACUUGUGAAGGAAAUUUUUUUUUGAGUGCUUAGGUGAAAACUUUUUUAGCUUUUGCCCGCAUCUGCCAUCCCGCCCGCAUCCGUGACCAUGCCGACGCCCCCCGCCCGCCGGCCCCGAUUGGCGCCGCCCCGGCCGGUGGCCACCGCGCAGUAGGCGAAGCCGGCGAAGGGACGAGGAGGCAGCGUCAAACGGCUGCCCAACCACAGCUGCAACCCGGCUGACAGUUCUACGCGGCCGUUGAAGCUCUCAAAGGCGGCCGCGGCGGCUCGGGGCGACGAGUCAUAGACGGUGCGGCCGGCGGCCUCCUCCAGCAGUCACACAUCCAUUCCGCGUGGAGGAAGAUGUGGCUGAACUGCGGCUGAGCAGUGGCUGGUAGCAGCCGUGCGGCCGUUUUCAUCUUCAUUUUGGAUCAUCUAUUGGAGUUGCAAAUUUGGACUAUCCGUUGGAGUUGAGCUUUUUCCGGAGCUCCAAAACGCAUUUUUUGGCGGUCCAAAUAUUACAUCUCCGGUUUUGAACUGCUAAAUUUUGGACCAUCUAUUGGAGAUGCUCUUAGGCUCUACCAUGCAUUGACUGAUUCACGUGUGAUCAGACUGUACUCAUAUUAUUUUCACUUUUUCAGCAUGAACUGCGCCGGACGGUAUGUGUAGGAGUACUAGUUAGCGUGGUCAGCAUCAACGGCGAAUUAACAACUAGUUAGCCAGCGAUCUCGUCCACAGAGAGACGUCUCAAUCGAUAGAUAAUGAGAGAGAUACCCAUGGAUCUUCUCUGGUGAUCGUAGUGGUGCUGCAGUAACGCAGGCAGAGAUCGGACUGUUCCUAUAUAUAGCACAGCACGAUCCGCCGUGGUCGUCGCUGCUACUAGCAAGUAAGGCGUGAGGUCCACUCUUGCGAAUCAAACCCAAUGAUCUCUUUCGUUUCUUUUUGUUAUCUUGAGAUCCUCGUGUGUACCUGAGACCACUCACGAGGGUAUAAGAGCAGCCAUUGUUUCCUUUCAUGACAUGACAUGCUCGCUCACCCUUCUCAUCAUUCUCACGCAGCCAAGAUGGGGAGUUUGCACAAGGCCACCUUUGUCCUCCUCAUGCUAUGCUUGUCAGCAUUGGGGAGAGCGGAAUAUCUCAAGUACAAGGACCCGAAUCAGCCCGUCGGCGCCCGCAUCAAGGAUCUGCUCGGACGAAUGACCCUCGCGGAGAAGAUAGGCCAGAUGACGCAGAUCGAGAGGGUAAACGCCACCGCGGAGGUGCUAUCGAAAUACUUCAUAGGUAAAAUCAUAUCCCACGCUCACGCUAAAACAUGUGCAAAUGGUGAAUGCCGGCUGCUGACUUUGUGUUUGACAUUGGUGUGCGGUGACGAAUGCAGGUAGCGUCCUAAGUAGCGGCGGUAGCCCGCCUUUUCCCCGAGCGUCUGCUGAGGAUUGGGCUUCAAUGGUGGAUGAAAUGCAAAGAGCCGCCCUCUCUACCCGCCUAGGCAUUCCGAUGAUCUACGGCAUUGACGCCGUGCAUGGUCACAAUAACGUCUACAAAGCUACCAUCUUCCCUCAUAACGUUGGUCUCGGAGCUACCAGGUAUAAAUGAAUUGCUCUUAAUUUUUUUUGUGAUAAGAUAGAUAUAUUUUGUAUAUUACAUCGAUAGGGUGUGACAAUUAUGUAGAAAAAGAAUAAACACAAAAUGUGAUAUGCAUAUAGUUUGCAAUGCAUAUGUUGAUUCCGUUUAUAUUGUUAAUGUCUCGUGGCCUUCCAGGGACCCUAUGCUGGUCAAGAGGAUAGGAGAAGCAACUGCUCUUGAAGUUAGAGCUACCGGGAUUCCAUACGUCUUUGCUCCAUGUAUUGCGGUAAUAGAUAAUAUACUACAUGUUGCAGGUCGGUCUGGAUAGCAAAGAUUAUUGUUCUUAGUUACUCAUUUGCUUAUUUUAUUACUCAGGUUUGUAGAGACCCAAGAUGGGGACGCUGCUAUGAAAGCUAUAGUGAAGACCCAAACAUUGUCCGGUCAAUGACCACAAUCAUCUCUGGCUUGCAAGGUGAUGUUCCCUCAGGUUCCGAGGGAAGACCAUAUGUUGGUGGAAGGUACUCCCUCCGGUCCUUUUUAAUUUGCAUAUAAGAUUUGACUGAAGUCAAGCCUCGUAAAGUUUGACCAACUUUGUAGAAAAAAGUGCCAACAUUCACAAUCUGAAAUCAAUACCACUAGAUGUGUCAUGACUUAAAGUUUCAUAUUAUAUAACUUUAGCAUGGCAGUUGUGGAUAUUUUUUCAUAUAAAUACGAUCAAACUUUGUGAAGUUUGACUCCAGAGAAUUCUAAUAUAUGCAGAGUAAAAAGGACCGGAGGGAGUAAUAUAUAUCCAACACAUAGUAGCCAAAUUGUCUCCUGGACGUGUAAAUGUGAAAGUAACGUUACAUUAGGAGAUGUGACUAACUUUGCCGCCACUCUGAUAUCCUCUGCAGUAAGAAAGUUGCCGCAUGCGCAAAGCACUAUGUUGGUGAUGGUGGGACGUUCAUGGGGAUCAACGAGGGCAAUACAAUCAUCGACAACCAUGGGAUGAUGACUAUCCAUAUGCCUGCUUACUAUAAUUCUAUCAUCAGGGGCGUAUCCACUAUUAUGGUCUCGUUCAAUAGUUGGAAUGGAAAGAAAAUGCACGCCAACCAUUACCUAAUCACAGAUUUUCUCAAGAACAAACUCAAAUUUAGAGUAUGUUGCUCAUUCUCGCAGAAGAUGUCUCUCCCUAGCUAUUUGUUUUUCUUCUUGUGUAUUAAGAUAUAUUGGUGUCAUUAAUUUAUUAUGACUUUGUGCAAACAGGGUUUCGUGAUUUCAGACUGGCAAGGCAUUGAUAAGAUUACGACUCCCCCACACUUGAACUAUUCCUAUUCAAUUGAGGCCGGAAUUGGUGCUGGUAUUGACAUGGUAAGCCAAGUCCAAUCAACUUGUAUCGACAAAACUCGAGUUGAUAGCUAGCAUGAUAAAGGAUGUUGCUUGUCUAGUUAUGAUACAUCCUUGACGAUUGUUAUCUCAUCUGCAACUAAUACAGAUGUGACAAUUUAUUCAGUAGCUAUUUUCCAUAUGAUCAUAAAAUAGUAUGCUAAUUUUAAGAUACAACUUCACUAGAAGGAAAAUAUACAUUUGUUAUACAAUUUAAACUGAGAAAACAUAUCAAUAGACUACACCCUCUCUCUAUCUCAAUACCCAAAAAUUCAUAUUUUUGUUGAAAAAAUGUUUAGCAUAUUUUAUUUUGCAGAUCAUGGUUCCUUUUGGCUACACAGAAUUCAUUGAUGAUCUGACAUCCCAAGUUGAGAAAAACAUUAUCCCUAUGAGCAGAAUCGACGAUGCUGUCUACAGGAUUCUUCGGGUCAAGUUUACCAUGGGUCUAUUUGAGAACCCUUAUGCUGAUCGAAGUCUUGUUGGUGAACUCGGGAAGCAAGUUAGUUUUUACCACCACAUUUUCUUUCACUGACACUUCAUUCGUUAAGAUACUAGAAAGCUUUACUAUAAAUUUCUUCCCAUCGUUAGGAACACCGAGAACUCGCUAGGGAAGCCGUCAGGAAAUCAUUGGUGUUGCUGAAAAAUGGAAAACAUGCAUCCACCCCAUUGUUGCCUCUCCCAAAGAAGGCUGGUAAGAUACUUGUAGCCGGGAGCCACGCCGACAACUUGGGCAACCAGUGUGGAGGAUGGACAAUCGAAUGGCAAGGAGACACCGGCAACAAUAAAACUGUUGGUAAAUGGGUGUCUCUUAUUUCAGUGCAUGUUGUACUAAUUAGUAGGAGCAUCGUUGAUCAUUGCAACAAAAGCUCAUGGAAUCAUGUGAUGAAACGCAGGGACGACGAUCCUUUCGGCGAUCAAGUCAACCGUCGACCCUAGCACACGAGUGGUCUUCUCUGUUAACCCAGAUAGCACUGUCGUGGAAAAUGGCAAGUAUGAUUAUGCCAUCGUGGUGGUGGGUGAGGCACCCUAUGCCGAGACAUUCGGCGACAAUCUAAACUUGACGAUCCCUGCCCCCGGCCCCUCGCUCGUCCAGACUGUCUGCAAGAAGAUCAACUGUGUGGUGGUGCUCAUCUCCGGUAGACCGCUGGUGGUGGAACCCUACAUUGGUGCCACGGAUGCGUUAGUCGCCGCCUGGCUACCCGGCACGGAGGGCCAAGGUGUCGCCGACGUGCUCUUCGGCAACUACGGGUUCUCCGGGAAGCUGGCGAGGACAUGGUUCAAGUCGGUGGACCAGCUGCCAAUGAACGUUGGGGACAAGCACUAUGACCCGUUGUUCCCCUUCGGGUUUGGCCUCACCACGGAGGCAAAAAAGUGAACGGGGUGAGAUAAUUGAAAUGGGAGGAAUGACGGUUGGUAUGCGAGAGACGAGACUGUCAACCGUUGAAUCAUGUCAACCUCCAUAGGGUGCGCAUGGCUUUAUCUAUCUACUAUCUACUCCCUCCGUUCCCAAAUAAUUGUCUUUCUAGCCAUCUCAAAUGAACUACAACAUACGGACGUAUGUAGACAUGUUUUAGAGUGUAGAUUCACUCAUUUUAUUCCGUAUGUAGUCACUUGUUGAAACCUCUAGAAAGACAAUUAUUUAGGAACGGAGGGAGUACAACUUAUUACAUGUACUUGUAUAAAUAAAAAUACGAGUGAGGUGAAUCCAAAUAAUGUCACUCAUUUGACCACCUAUAUCCAAUGUGUCCAUGCACCAAUGAGCUGCCGUCUAUGUUUCGGCCUAGCAAAGCACCUAGCCAAGUCACUCAACCGGUGGUGCAUACGGAGGUUGCACAUCGAGCUAGACCAAAGCAACUCAGAAGCAACAUCGCCAAGGACGGCGAGCCAUAUGUUGCGAGUUAGGACCUUGUCUUACUGAGAAGCUGAAACCAAAAGGCACGACCAAUGAGGACACCAAUGAGUGGACAAUGAGGACACCAAUGAAGGCUGCAAUCGAUGCAAUGUUACCCGUCAUACAUGCACCUGUCAUAGCCAAAGGGGAGUCGCCGGAGUGAAGGACGUCAAGGUAAAGCUUGGAAAUAUGCUAUUGAAUUGGACAUGUGUUGCACCUGCACGAUUACUAGUAUCGAUAGGCAUAAGAGCCAAAGAAUUGUUCUAAAAAAACAUACAAGCAAAAUUAUUCUCAGAAAAAAACCGUACAAGCAAAAUUAAUAACUGAACAAACUGAAACCAGUGUAUAUAAAAGUAUAACGUUACUUCUUGAAUAUACGCUAACAGGGUGUCAUGAUAACUCACAAAACAUGCAUGUACAUGAGUAACCAACAUAAGAAUAAAAGUAACUAACUUCAUCCCACAAUACAGACCAUAGUAGACCAUACCAAGAUACAACAAACCAGGGCACCCUUCUUUAUCUUUGGUACUGAAGAUUAAAAGCUGCAGUCGAAAAUAAAAUCCCUUCACAACAUCGGACCAUGUCCCUUCUGAGUAACUGAAAAAAUAUUGGAGACCAGGGAGAGCUGCUGGACAACCAAAAAGAUCCCAUUAGUACGCAUGAGCAGACAUUUUCUAUCAAGUCUACUACUCCCCUGUAUUCAAUCAACUGCAUCUUCAAUGAACCUUUUUGAUGGAAUCAACAGAAACUUUCGAAUAUACAACUCCAGUGCUUCAAUUAAAAAUAGUUGGAGCCAUGGAGCUAAGCAAAAUGGAUGUGAAACACUGGUUUCAGAUUACAUGUAUUGUCUAAGCUGUGAAUCCCUAUUUCUCCUCUAUUUUCGAUAUCCAUCAUUUUAAAUUUGAUCUUUCACUGUGGGUUAAUUUACAGUUUGCAUUGUGGCGAUUCUCCUUUUCAAAACCAUCCAAGCUUGAGAUAUUAGUACUAUUUCACAAGCUGUCUAUCAAGUACCAACCAUCCAUUAGAAUUCCCCACAUGUUACCUCAUCUCACCCAAGUAUAGAACUUUGCAGGUAUCAAAAUUGUAGGCCACUGUUCUGGAGGCCCCAUGAAAGAAAACAAACUCUUUGUAAGGAUGAAAUCCAAGACAAUAAAAAUAAUCCCGAUAACCACCCUUGUCAUCCCAAUCAUCUGUGCUAACCACGUAUUCAUUGUCAGAGUCCCAGUCAAAAUCGCCUUCCGUCAUUGCUUUGUCAUUGUCAUGUGCAGGCUGAAGAUUGAUGUCAUUCUUCAACACCAGCUCCAUCUGAUCCUCCGACUGCACGACCCAGUAUGGGCCAUCAACGUGAUUGGCAGGAUAAAUUUCCACUACUCGCUGAAGGUCGAUGACAUUCCUCAGUGCCCACUCCAUCUGACCAUGCGAUUCAUCAAGGAACCAAAUCUGAAAUGUGUUGCAGUCGACGCGGAAUGCGCAAUACACCCCCUUCUCUGAUUUUCCUAUGCGAGGCGGAGUAUAUCCUUUAUUUCCAUCUGGAAACUUGAUCACUCGAUAGGUAUCGUGCAACAAGUUUAUUCUGCAAGAACCAAAUCAACAAUGAUAAACAUUAUAUAAUAAGCAAAAUUAUACGAACAUUGGUGGGCAAAAGAAACAACUGAACAUCCAAUUGCAUCUGGUGCCUAAGAUGGGGGGGUAGAUAUAUAGUACUACCUCAGAAGAAAUUCCUCUUCGCAACGAACAUAGAGCGCGUCCUUCCAACAGGAUAAUGAAUCUCACGUGAUGUAUUGCCUUAGUCAGAGCCGGUUACAUAUACACGGUGCUGCCCUACAUGCAGGACAUGAUUACAGGAGAUGGCGCUACACUAGGAAGGCUCCUGGAGACUAGGACUAAUAGUUACAACAUCAACAAGAUAUACAUCACAGGUUUACAAGAGUAACGUGACAGUUCAACACCCCCCCGCAGUCCGAACGGCGCCAGGGAAGACGUUCAGACUGGAGUGAAAGUCACGAAAAACCGAAGACGGCAGCCCCUUGGUGAAGACAUCGGCGAACUGGGACUCUGUCGGAACAUGCAGCACCUUGACCUCUCCAAGGGCCACACGGUCGCGCACGAAAUGCAAAUCAAUCUCCACAUGCUUGGUGCGCUGGUGCUGAACAGGGUUGGAUGAGAGAUACACGGCACUCACAUUAUCACAAUACACAAUGGUGGCUCGUUGAGGAGGGCGAUGAAGCUCAGCAAGAAGUUGGCGAAGCCAACAGGACUCGGCGACGCAGUUGGCAACUGCGCGGUACUCAGCCUCAGCACUGGAUCGGGACACAGUGUGUUGUCGCUUGGAUGACCAAGAGACGAGGUUAGAGCCAAGAAACACACAAAACCCGGAGGUGGAACGACGGGUGUCGGGGCAACCGGCCCAAUCAGCGUCACUGUAGGCGAGAAGAUCAUGCGAGGAAGAGCGGUAGAGCUGGAGCCCGUAGUGAGUGGUGCCACAGAGGUAGCGCAACACACGCUUGAGCAGCUGGUAGUGUCCCUCCAUCGGUGCAUGCAUAACAAGACAUAGCUGCUGCACUGCAUAGGAGAUGUCCGGGCGAGUGAGCGUGAGAUACUGGAGUGCACCAGCGAGGCGACGGUAGUGUGUGGGAUCACUGUAAGGGACACCGUCGGCACCAGAAAUCUUGCUGCUAGUGUCAACAGGAGUAGAGAUGGGCUUGCAGUUGAGCAUCUGGGCGCGGUCGAGUAUCUCAAGCGUGUACUGCUCCUGGGAGAGAAAGAGACCGGUGGUGGAGCGGUGGACGUUGAUCCCAAGAAAAUGGUGAAUGUCACCAAGAUCACUCAUAGAAAACUCGCCGGUGAGAGCGUGCACGAGCGACUCGAGGAGAGAGGUGGUGCUGGCGGUGAGAAUGAUGUCAUCAACAUACAAGAGUAGAUACGCUAGAGAGGUGCCGCGCUGGAGGAUGAAGAGCGAGGUGUCACACUUGGAAGACACAAAACCGAGGGAGUGCAGAAAACGGGUGAACCGGAGGAACCAAGUGCGAGGCGCCUGUUUAAGCCCAUAGAGGGACUUGUUCAGACGGCAAACAUGUGUGGGAGAGGUGGCAUCGACGAAACCGGAGGGUUGCUGGCAAUACACAACGCGGCAAGAUCACCAUGGAAAAAGGCAUUCUUGACAUCCAUUUGUCGAAUGGGCCAAGAUUUGGCGGUCGCAAUGCUGAGGACCACCCGGAUCGUGGCCGGCUUGACCACAGGACUGAAUGUCUCCCGGUAGUCCACACCCGGCUGUUGGGUGAAACCACGCACCUCCCAGCGUGCCUUGUAUCGCGCCAGAGAGCCGUCGGGAUGGAGCUUGUGACGGAAAAUCCACUUCCCGGUCACCACGUUGACACCUGCAGGACAAGGAACCAAAGACCACGUAUCAUUCCGAGUUAGCGCGUUAUACUCAUCGACCAUCACGGCAUGCCAGUGCGGGUCCUUAAGGGCUGAACGGUACGAGGAAGGGAUAGGGGAAGGUACGUCGGCAACAUGGAGAUCAAGGACUUGUUUGGGCAUGGCAUAGCCAGUUUUGCUCCUGGUACGCAUCGGGUGUGGGUUGCUGGGCGGGGAAACAGGGACGGCACGUGGUGGUAGCUGGGGUUUGGGAGAAGGCAGCGGGAGGCGUGGCGGCGUGGGACUGGGAAGGAAAGGAGACCUCACAGAACGCGAGUGCGAUGCGCGGGGCGAUCCCGAGAGAUGCGAUGGGGUCAAACCCCCUGGCGGUGAUCCCAAGGGAGGCACGGUGCGAGGCGUGAGUGGUGGGGAGUCGGGCGCAGAGGACGGGGAACACGCGGGAGACGUGGGCGGGGUAGGUGGUGCAUGGCUGGAGGGGCCCGCAGCUCGCGGCUGGUUGGCUGCAUGGCGGGCGGGUCUAGCGGCGGGACUGGGAGGGGAUGGUGGAGGCGCGGUGGUUGGGCCAGCUGGCAGUGCGGGAGGGGCGGGCUUGCCGGGCGGGAGAUCUGGCAGGGUGCAGCGGUACGAGGUACGGGGAACGUGGGGGUUAGGAUUUUCUGUGGCUACGAAUCCGGCGGAAACAGAGAAGGGAAAAACGCUUUCGUCAAAAGUGACGUGCCGGGAAACGAUAACCUUACGGGUGGCUAGGUCGAGACACCGGUAACCUUUCUGUUCGCGUGGAUAGCCAAGAAAAAUACAACGUGCGGAACGGGGCGAGAGCUUGUGUGGGGUUGUGGCGGAGAGGUUCGGGAAGCAGAGGCAUCCGAACGUCUGGAGGUGGUCGUAUGUAGGAUGGACACCAUAUAAAAGGAAAUAUGGGGUGAAGUGAUGAAUGACACGAGAGGGUUGGAUAUUGAGAAGCAUGGUGGCGGUGUGUAGGGCCUCAACCCAGAAGGGAGGUGGUAGGGCGGCUUGGAGGAGCAGCGUGCGGAUGACGUUGUUAGUGGUGCGAAUAUGGCGUUCCGCUUUCCCGUUUUGCGGAGAGGUGUGAGGGCAGGUGAAACGGAACACAACACCGUGGGAAGAAAAAUAAUCACGAAGAGACGUGGUGAGAAACUCGCCCCCGUUAUCGCAUUGCACACACCAGAUGAGUACAUCGAAUUGUGUAGAGAUAAACUUGAAGAAGCGAAGAAGGGUGUCACAUGUGUCAGACUUGGCGCGUAGAGGGAAAGUCCAUGAAAAAUGCGUGUAAUCAUCAACAAUAACCAGAUAGUACUUGUAGCCAGAGUAACUAACAACAGGGGAGGUCCAAAUAUCACAAUGGAUUAAUUGAAACGGGGCACAAGUAUAAGAGGUGGAUGUGGGAAAAGGUAGCCGAGUAUGUUUGCCCAUUUGACACGCAUCACACAAGUGCGAGGAACGAGCCUCAUUAUUACAUGCAGAAAGAAAAUCUGAAGGAAAAUGGGAAAACGUGGAGGAGCUAGGGUGCCCAAGCCGCCUAUGCCAGAGAUCAGUCGUGGAGAUGACGAAGGCAGUGGAGGUGGUAGCGCCAUUAUUGCCGGAGAAAGGAUAAAGGUCCCCGUCACUGUUGACCCUCAGGAGCAGCGCCUUGGUGGCUAGGUCCUUCACAGAAAAACCAUGAGGGUCAAAUUCCACAGAACAUAAAUUCUCACGGGUGAACUUGCAUACGGAAAUAAGAUUUUUGACAAUAUUGGGAGAAAGAAGGAUAUGGCGCAAAUAAAAGGGCUUGGGAGGGAGGUGAGCAGUACCAACAGCAAGGACGGGAAGGCGAGAACCAUUGCCAACGAUGAUGUGACGAGUAUAAGGAGCUAAAACAGAAUGAUAAGAGGACAAGGUACCUGGAUCCCCGGUGACAUGGGAGGCGGCGCCGGUGUCCAUGAUCCACUCGGCGUUGGCGGGGAAGGCGGAGCCAUAGCUGGGGGCAGCAUGGUACAUGGCCGCCGCGUCCCAGCCGGGAGGAGCGCUGUAGGGUGCAGGAGCCGGGGGUGGCGGGGCGUGGCUCAACAGGAGCGGAUACGCCUGGUGCGGCGCGCCGGGGCGGGGCCGAGGACGCCGGCAGAAUUGGGAGGGAUCCAGGGCGCGCGUGGGGGAGGAAACGGUAGUCCCAUCGGCGCGAAGUACCCAAGCCAGGGCUGGGCGCCGCGGCCGGCAGGAGCGUCACCACGCCCACGCCCAUGGCCGCGCCCACGGCCUCCACGCUGGGCGCGCCCUGCUCCAAGUUGGCCACCGCGCCCAUUGCCACCGUUGGGGGCGCGAUCGCCACCACGGUCGCCACGGUCACCGCGGUCGCCGCCGCGAGGACCGCCGCGAUCUCCAGCGCGGUCACCGCGCUCAUCAUGCUGGACAGCAAGGACCUGCGCCCCCUUGGCGUGCGCGCGCUUCUCCAUGGAGAGCUCGGCGAGGAUGAGCCGAGACCGCGCCUGGUUGAACAUCGGGAGGGGCACGAUCGACUAGAUGAUGGCCGCCUGCAUCGCAAACUUGGGCCCGAGGCCGUCGAGCAUCUGCAGAGUCAGGGUGCGGUCGGUGACUGGCUCCCGGACAUCAGCAAGAGCAGCGGCGAGGCCCUGAAGGCGACGGCAGUAGUCGUUGACGCUGGGAUCGCCGCGGAUGGUCGACCGGAACUCUUGGCCCAGAUGCAUGGCCUGCUCCGCCUCGUUGUCCAGGAAGUACUCGUGGAGCCGGGACCAGAUGAUGAAGGCAGACGAGCCGGCCGACGCGACCACGUCGAGAAGGUCCCCCUCGAUGGUGGAGAAGAACCAGAGGACGACGAUGUUGUCGUCAUCGCACCAGUCGGGAUCGCCCAUCCGACGAGCCGAGACAGCCCGCAUGUGGUCCUCCGUGUGAUAACGCGCGAGCAGCAGGGUGAUGUAGUUGCGCCAGCGGGCGAAGUUGGCCCCGUUGAGGGCGAGCUUGAAGUCGAUCACGCCGGCGACGCUAGUGGGAAGAGGUGGUUUGGGGUUGGAGGAGGACGGCAGGGUCACGGUGUUGGCAGUGGUGUUGGGAGGGAGGGUGGAAAGAGGAAGACCGGUGGAGUCGGAGAUGUCGACGGAGCCAGAGGCAUCGACGGUGGCUGGAGCGCGAGGGCGCAGGUCUACGGCAGGAAGGGUGGCGGCGGCGGCGGCUGCGGCGGCGGCGGCGGCUUGAUCGGCAUCAGCCUCGCGUGGAGAGGAGGGAGGAGUAGUCAUGGCUCUGAUUACCAAACAGGAUAAUGAAUCUCACGUGAUGUAUUGCCUUAGUCAGAGCCGGUUACAUAUACACGGUGCUGCCCUACAUGCAGGGCAUGAUUACAGGAGAUGGCGCUAGACUAGGAAGGCUCCUGGAGACUAGAACUAAUAGUUACAACAUCAACAAGAUAUACAUCACAGGUUUACAAGAGUAACGCGACAGUUCAACAGAAUAGGCGGCAUAGAGGAGAAAUGAUACAGUGUCAUAAACCGCUUUCACAUCCGCAACCGUCCCCGUGGCCUCCCCUUCGCGAAGAAGCGAUCUUUCCUUCCAGCAACCGGUCUUGGAGGAGAAGACGUGCAUGAUGUAAGGCGAGGGUGGCCAUUCCAUCGCGGACACCGACUCAUCAUCACCACAAAUGUGCAUACAGAUAUGCCUCGUCGGAAGCUUGAAGGAAAUGUUAGGGAUCAAGAACACCUCGUAGUACGGCGACAGGGCCGGAUCGUACGCGAGGUAGCGAUUCUCGCUGCUGCAACGUGUGCAGCCUGCCGCCGUGCACGAGGGCGGCAGAGGGGGCAGACGCACCCACUGCGGCGUGGCGGGGUUGACCACGUGAUAGCACAUCAGGAGGAGGCCGUUGCAGCAGUCCAUGAUCGGGAAAACGUCGUUGAGCAGCCAGUCCAGGUAGUCGAGCUUACCGGUGACCCUGCGGCCUGUGGCGGGGCCGGAGAAAAGCAUGGGUAUGUUAUAGGGACAGGUCUCGUAGAAGAUGGCGUCGAGCAUGAGCGGGAGCAGAUCCGGGCGGAGCAGGCGGUUGGCGUCGACGACGGCGCGCCACCCCUUGCACACGCAGCGGCACGCGGCCAGGCUGCGCGGCGCGAGGCGGCGGAGGACCUCCGCGAGGACGUCCUGGGGCGCCAGAUCCAUGCCGACCGUCGGGCGGUUGCUUGCUUGCUAGUACAUGCGGUGUGUGGAGGGGGCUGGCGGCCGGGACGGGGUGGUUAGGGGCUGAGAGCAUCUCCAACAGGUGCCCAACGCGCCGCACGGUAAAAGCGGAUUUGGCGCGCGCCUAUCGUCUGGUUUGGCGCGGCGCGCAGCGUUUGCUUCAGCAGCCGCGCUGAAAAGCCCCGCGCGCGCAGCUCCAGCAGGCGCGGUAAAAUGCAAUGCGCGCUCAUUCUACAAUAUUUUUUAAAUUAAAAUUACAUAGAUAAAAAAACGAUACAAAGAUAUUUUACAUCGGUGCAACUACUACGGCAUAGAUAGAUAGAUAGUUCGACAUACAUAGAUAGAUAGAUACUACUACGGCAUAGAUAGAUAGAUAGAUAGAAACUACUACGGCAUACAUAGAUAGAAAACUACUCCAAGUCGCUAUCAUCACCAUCAUCACUCUCGUCGGUGUCGUCCGAGGUUGAGAGCCAUAUGUCGUCCCAACGUUCAUCGUCCGAGGUGAAGAUGACCUCCCACCUGCGGAGACGAUGUCGCACUGCUCGUUCGCCACUGCCUUCCGCUGACGCCGGUCUGCCCGCUCCGAGCGGCGCCUUGCCGUCCUCUCCGCCCAGUAGGCACGCUCGGCGUCGACGUCCUCUGGGUGGCGACAGCGCCACUCCGCCAUGGCUCGCUCGUCCUCGUCGGCGACGAGGAGACGGCGCUGCCGCCGAGAGUGGUCGGCACGGUCCAUGUCCGUGAUGAGACGCGGCGGAGGGGCGAGGCGCUGCGCCUCCUCGCGCGUGAAGACGUUCCGGAAAUUCAUCUGCGACCGGGGCCUCUCCAAGCGCCACGCCGCCGCGUCGUACGCGCGAGCAGCCUCGCGCGCGCUCCGGAAUGUCCCGAGGCCGAGCCGGACGUCGCCGGACCGUAUCUCGGCGGAGUACCAGCCGUUGGGGCGCUUGCGGACGCCGCGAAAGCCCGAAGCACCCCGACGGUGCGGCGGCAUGGUGGCGCGGUGGUAGCGCAGAAAGCGGCGAAGCGGCGAGGUUACGAGAAGGAGGGCGCGUGGCUGUUCCGUGCGCGUGGCGAAGCGUGGGACUUUAUAGGCGCGCGUGAAGCGGCGCGUCAAAUCUACCGCGCCGUGUGCCGCUUUCUCCCGCGCGCGCGCAAACGCUUCCCACGCACGGUAACUUCCCGCCACCGCUGGAGCGCGCGGAAUCAACCGGCGCGCGAAAAACUGCUUUUACUGCGCGGGCGCGCGUUUUGGCGUGCCUGUUGGAGAUGCUCUGAGGGAGGAGAGAUGCCGCGGCCGGCGAGGGGCGGAUCUGGGAGAUUGGAUGGCCGCCGGCGCCCUGAAAAAUUGGUUCGAAGGAAGGAUUGAGCACCAGCUAGCAGAUCUCCAAACAUUUAAUUCAUCGAAUUUAUUAUACUCCUGGACGCGACCACCCCACCCACGCAUCCAUUUCCAGCUAGGAGCUCCAGCCGAUUGUUGACAAAAGUUUGGCUUUGCGUGCAGCCACGGUGAACGAGGUGGGGAGUGGAGGCGCCGCUAGAGACCACGCUCUAGAGCUUGCCGGCCUCCCACAGUGCCAGCCGAUCCUUGCACGUACGCACAGACCCAGCGUGUCACUCCCGUCCCGUGUGCGUGCGUCCAGACUAGAGUAUAUCGAUCAAAUCGAUCACCAUGGCUCGCGUACUUGCCUAGUACGUAUCUCCGAAGGAAAACAUCCAGCUGGUACGUACUCCACCAAGAAUCAACCAGCCUGCCUGUCUGUCUACUUGCCAAGUCAGCUCAUAGUGCGUCUGUUUUUGCUGCUAAAAGCAUUGCGGAGUGACACUCAGAGCUCGGCGAGGUAGACACGGAACGGACCUUAUCGGCUCUGUCGUGUACCGCAUGACCGGUGUACCCCACGCGCCGUGCCGCUGCCCCGGCUUCGACAGGACAAGAAGGUCACCACCGCGACAAGACGGCCGUCGGGAUUCACCGCAGGCUUGGAGCGUAUGAGAGCAUCCAGUGUGUCAAAUUUGCUGCCUCUAAGGACUCUCUCCACCAAGAGGCAGCCUCCACACAUUGUAUUGUAUCCACCAAAAAUAUGUUAGAGUCGCCUACAACGUUAGAGGCAGCCUCCAUUGAUUAAACAAUCCAAAGGGCCUCUCUUGUCAUUGUACGUUGUUUGUGCUAGCUCUUGUAGUUGUGGAGAAAAGCUAGGAACGGUUGUGAACACCUCUUCUUUCAACACAAGUUUACGCGUUCUAUAUGGUCCGUCAUUUAAAUAGCAUUCAAUUUGUAUCCGCCCACAAGUGUUGCCAAUAUAUAUGGUCACUGAUUUGACGGGAUACCAAAUACUUCUAGUACGCUAAUACGAGUGGGAGCGUCUGCCAUAUUAUGGUCGCUUUGGCUAUGUGGAAACGAUUGUGUCUUUAAUGGCAAAAACUUUUCUCAUGUGCAGGUUAUUUAACGUUGUACACACUGGCUUCGUAUAUGGUCUAUGCUACAAACGAAUGGAGUAUCAAUUGUUGUUCAAGGCGAUGUGUCUGCGGUUGGGACGGGUGGCCAGGGAGGUUUUUACCCAACAUGGGUGGCAACGUAAUCUCCGGAUCGGUCCACCUCCUUAGUCGACAUUGGCAUAGUUUCAGACUCAUGGCUUUACUUUUGCUAGCUUGUCGUUUUUUUCAUAUAUAUUUUGUUAGACUGUUCGUUUCAGGCUGUAUGCAUCUUAGCUAUGCAGAGGCCGGUGUCUCUCAUUAUGCUUUUGUAUCCACUUGAUGCUACAUUCUGAAUUAAUAAAAGCGCCCUUCUAUCAAAAAAGAAGAAGUUGUGAAGAAAUUGUAUUUUAUUUCUGUUGUGGGGGCCAUCUUAGAGGCUGAGUGUUCUGCUAUACACUACAGGGAUUUUAGCUAUGGCUGGAGACAGACGUGUGGGGCCCAUAAUAGAGGCAAUGAUGCCUCUACACACUGUUGAUGCCCUGAAUUUGGUGCGGGAGCGCGUCUGCAGAGCAAGCCAGGUGACCAUGGCCCAUGGGACCCAUGUGCAGGUAGGUGACUCACCCGAUCCCGUCCUUUCCGAGGCCAUGUACGAAUCCUCCGUUUGGAUACGACCUAAAGGUCAAAAACAAAUGGGAUCGGUGAGGCAAAUGUAUGGACUUCAGGAAUUUAAACAUCAGGGUUCAUUUGCGUUGGGCUCUACAUCCUCAGGGCUUAAAACAGACUUCACUCCUUUCGCUUGCAUCGCGCUUGCCACACAGGAGAGACGCCCACUUCCGCUUGCACUGCACUUGCCACACAGGAGAGACUCCCAACACCUGAGCCUCUGACCACAAUGUGACUGUCCCGCACAACGAACCCACAUCCUCCUCACCAGCCAUUGCCGUCAAACACCCCAUCAGUGUUUAUUUUAAGGACCUCCCCUGUUGGUGCCCGUAGAUACGCAGUCCUGAUACUACAGUGUUUGUGUGAGAGCUGUAUUAUUUUUGCUAAAUGACCCUUUAAAAAACUUGAACCCUUCACUGACCCUUAAAAAUCCUGGUCAAAUGUGAAUACAUGCCAAUUUAUUUGGCGUCAUUGACUUUUGAUACGUCACAUCGACUUCCAAUGUGGAUUUGGUGGCGCCAAAUAAUUAAACGCUAUUACAUGUAUUAAAAACACCAAAUAAAUUGGGGUCUAUCUCGAAGGUCAAAUUUCGAAAUCAGUUUUUUUGGGCCUACGUCACUAGCAACUCCAAUCUGUUUUUUUUCUCAGAGGUCGAUGUGACGUAUCAAAAGUCCUGACAAGUGCACUAUGCUUGUGCUUGCGUCCNNNNNNNNNNNNNNNNNNNNNNNNNNNNNNNNNNNNNNNNNNNNNNNNNNNNNNNNNNNNNNNNNNNNNNNNNNNNNNNNNNNNNNNNNNNNNNNNNNNNNNNNNNNNNNNNNNNNNNNNNNNNNNNNNNNNNNNNNNNNNNNNNNNNNNNNNNNNNNNNNNNNNNNNNNNNNNNNNNNNNNNNNNNNNNNNNNNNNNNNNNNNNNNNNNNNNNNNNNNNNNNNNNNNNNNNNNNNNNNNNNNNNNNNNNNNNNNNNNNNNNNNNNNNNNNNNNNNNNNNNNNNNNNNNNNNNNNNNNNNNNNNNNNNNNNNNNNNNNNNNNNNNNNUGCACUCAAUCUACCUGUGGCAAUGUAUUUAUUUUCUGAUGAGGUGCUAAGCGCAUUAAAGAGUUUAGCAACUAAAAUCUCCAAUGCAUAGGUGCAUAACUUGUUGUAGUUAAGUUCCCUUUAUUUAAUUAUUUAGCAACUAAACUCUUCUAUGCAUUGGUGAUCUUUCUUCGUUUAAGUGUUUUGCUAGGUUCAUGUGCGUGACGUUGUUUCUUCCCAGGGUCACAGGCCUGCUCUCUCUCCUUAAUUGCAUUUUCAUGUCAUUUUUUUUGCUUAUGUGGCAAUGAUUAGCAAUUGUACACCAUGAAGAAAGGGCCUAAUGCACAUGAGUUGUCAAUGAGCCUACAAUUUCUACUUGGCAAUAGAGGUUGCAGUCCACAUGCAGACAGUGACUACAAUUAUACUGGCUCAUUUCAUUCAGUUUUUGAGACGGAAACUUAAUUAAGAAGCAUCCUUUCGUGCCCAAUAGAAACGGUAAGUAUAUGCCCCCGCCAAUAUUGGCGACAUAUGUACUAAAACAAAAGAAGCGCUAUUGACACAAAAAUGUUGUUUGUGCAUGCACCAAAGAGGAAAAAAAAA
Molecule: long non-coding RNA, 90840 nt
Filed under: Triticum aestivum (bread wheat)
Lineage: Eukaryota; Viridiplantae; Streptophyta; Magnoliopsida; Poales; Poaceae
Description: long non-coding RNA (TAES_LNC006145)
Rfam family: MIR1120/MIR1122 microRNA precursor family (bases 3823-3946)
Source: RNAcentral